This 103769-nucleotide long non-coding RNA is filed under the name Capsella rubella. Its description in RNAcentral is "long non-coding RNA (CRUB_LNC001632)". The stretch from base 25226 to 25331 matches the Rfam family "Plant small nucleolar RNA R71". The record is from RNAcentral. Lineage: Eukaryota; Viridiplantae; Streptophyta; Magnoliopsida; Brassicales; Brassicaceae.
AGUAACAACAAUGAUUUCAGAACUAGUUGCAAAAUCUCAAUAACUCAAAAGAAAUAUGAAUUACAAUUCUCAGGAUCGUUUGGUGGCUACAACAAAAACCUAAUAAAAAUAAAACUAGAUCCCUUGGGCAAUCCAAAUGAAGCCUAUUUAUAACAAUGUUUGGGAAAACCUUAAAACAUAAAACGACAACGUAAAAGCGGUUCAAAGGUUGUUUUGACUAAGUUGGUCGAGUGAGCAUCUCGAGUGACCAUCUUCUCUGCUUUGCUCGAUCGUGUCACUCGAGUGAGUGUGUCGAGUGACCUGUAAAACCAUCAGCUACUUCUUUGCUUUGCUCGAUCAUGUCACUCGAGUGAGUGCAUCGAGUGACAGGUAGUUCUGCUUCGCUUCCCUUCUGCUCGAUCUGCCACUCGAUCGUAUACGUCUGCUGCUCACUCGAACGUCAAUGUAACUGCAACGCAUCCUUGCUCCUCACUCGAUCGUCCCACUCGAUCGUUUGCAUGUCGAGUAACGCUUGUUCCUCUGCUUUGCUCUGCAUGUCUCCUAAGUACCUGAAACACUCCAAAUAUGCACAAUGUAUGCAAGAUAUGCAUGAUAUGCAUACAACCUACCUAAGUAUGUAAAACAUGCAGAAAGGGAUCAAUAUGAUGCGAAUCAACAAGUGAAUGAUGCUGAAAAGAUGAUGAAUGCAUGCUAGAAAAGCGAUGAAAUACAGACUUAUCAAUAUAUCAGAAAUGAUUAAGUCAAGCAAGUAUAAAUGAUUUUUGGUUUUCCGUGAUCCUAAGCGAACAUGUUAAACAUGCGAUAAAUGUAAGGCUGUAAAACAUAGACUACCAUGCAUAAGCUAAAACGUAACGAUUAUUGAUACUGGCAAGAAAACAAAGCAGAACAAGUAAAUAACUAGAGAAUUAAACAGAAACCACAAAUGGAUAGAAGAUCCUGAGGAUGAGGUUAUUGAUGUAGGUGGAGUAUGCUAAUCUACUUCGAGUGUUUAUCAAACUGCAAACAUUCUAAUCCCUAGACAAUGAACUUCUAAUACUAGUCAAUCCAAUCUCUUGGCAGAAACUAUCAAGUUUACAACACUUCCUAAUCUCAAUUCUCAUUGAUGAAACAUGUAGUAAAAAGGCAUAAAGAAACAGCUCAUUAAUGUCAAUAAACAUCUUAGACAACCAAUCUCUUGGGCUAAGCAUGUAAAUCUCUGGCACUAGUUGGUUCAGACAUUUCAUCAUAUACCUUUCGGGUAUGAAAUGUCUAUGACCCAGUUCCAAUUGAUCAGAGAAGAACUAGCUAAUAAAACUCUAAUCCAUAAGAGAAACCAAACGAGUCUAACAUAAACACUCUAGCAAACUAACAUCCUCCACCUAAUAUAUCCCAUCCUCAAGAACCCUAACACUACUCAGACGCAGAAAUCAUGUUAAACAUCAUGAAACACGAAUCGUUCAAAACAUACAUAUUAAUAAAGAUGACAGGAAGAGUAACAAAAAUGAUUCAAGAACUAAUUGCAAAAUAUCAAUAACUCAAAAGAAAUCACGAUUACAAUUCUCAUGAUCGUUUGGUGGCUAACAACAAAAACCUAAAUAAAAUAUAACUCUAUCCCCUGGGCAAUCCAAAUGAGACCUAUUUAUAACAAUGUUUGGGAAAACCUUAAAACAUAAAACGACAACGUAAAAGCGGUUCAAAAGUUGUUGUGACUAAGUUGGUCGAGUGAGCAUCUAGAGUGAGCAUCUUCUCUGCUUUGCUCGAUCGUGUCACUCGAGUGUGCACGUCGAGUGUGCACGUCGAGUGACAGUUGUUUCGCAUUCCUUCGGUUCACUCGAUCACCCUACUCGAUCAACUGCUCGAUCCGCUACUCGAUCACCCUACUCGAUCACGUCCAUCGAGUGAAGUAUGUUCCCGCAACGCAUCCCUGCUUCUCACUCGAUCGUCCCACUCGGAUCAUAUGCGUGUCGAGUAACGCUUGUUCCUCUGCUUCGCUCUGCAUGUCUCCUAAGUACCUGAAACACUCCAAACAUGCAGAAUGUAUGCAAGACAUGCAUGAUAUGCAUGAAACCUACCUAAGUAUGUAAAUCAUGCAGAAAGUGAUCAAUAUGAUGCGAAUCAACAAGUGAAUGAUGCUGAAAAGAUGAUGAAUACAUGCCCAAAAAGUGAUGAAUUACAGACUUAUCAAUAGUAUACUUGGCAUGUGUGACCAUGCAUUCUCCUAUACUUGGUGAAGCUAGCCAUCUUUUUUCCUAACUUAAAAGCAUUAAAAGUUUUUGUUUCUACUUUGGAUAGAGAAUUAAGGUCAGACUUAACUUGUUUGAAUGUAAAAUUAUAUUUCAACGGAAAACCCGUUUUGACGACCAGUGCGACAAUAAGAUUUUUUAAAAAGAGCUUAAUAAAUCAAAUAGAGUAGUAAAAAUGUGUGAUCAUUUUUUCAAAUGAGAAAUGAGUUUUGAUGGGGAGGAACUUAAUGAUGCAAAGUAAAGUGAAAGGAAGAGAAGGUCAACUUUUUAGAAAACUUCAAUCUUGUAUACUUUAUAUUACUGUUAAUACCGGAGAACCAAAAUUCCAUAUCACAAUAAACGUAAGUCCAAUAAAAAAAAAUUCGAGUAAGUGGAGAAGAAGAUGAAGAUGUAUCUUUUGGGUAAGCAUAUUAGUGAGAUUAACGCUAAAGAGUAUCGCUACUUGCGCAUCGGUUAGCAAGCAAUGGAAAUCAAUUCUGGAAACUCUGUUUUUUUACGAGCUUUUCGUGUCUCAUCAUAAAAACUCUCAUUCCUCAUGGUCACUCAUGUGCAGGGACUCUCCAAAAAAAAAUUCAUAUCUUACUUUGGAUACAGUAUUUGGGAAUUUUCACGAUCUUUAGGAUCGUACAUCUCUUGUUUCAUAGUCGAUAAGUUCGAGUAGUCAAAGGAUCGGUGACUUUCCGGGAACUGGUUGUCGGAACUGUGUGAGUGAGGCCAUAACAAAGGAAAAUAUCAUGUGGUGAUUUGUAGGGUCGGUAAACAAGACUUUAAGCCUCCUCAACGUAGCUAACCGGCCGUUGGAUAUUAAUGGGCUCAUGGGCCUAGUGAGAGGACGUGAGCCUCACUAAGAGAGGUGGGCCCAUGGGCUGGUGGUGAACAUGGGCCCCACUGGAGAGAUGGCGGUCGCCCCCUAUUUCACGAUAAUGUCUUGAGAUCCCUCCUAAUCCUUAUCCUAAUUUUUAUCCUUCUCCUAGAGAAUAUGAUUUAUAUAGACACUUUGGCCUGGUAACACCUAUCAAAAACAUGGUAAUUUUAGGCUACAAAGUUGUUUACAUGGAUAAAAGCAACUUAAAUGAUACAAAGUUGCAUAUAUAUUCAGCUGAGACGGAUUUGUGGAGUUUCAAAACCCAUUUGAGGCUAGUACUAUAUACAUGUAGAGCAGGAUAAAUAAAUGUUUAGUAUCUGCUAAGUUCAAUGAAGGCAAGCUUUGGAUUCACAACAACUUGGAGCAUGGUAGUAGCCAUGGUAAUAUUUUGAGCUUUGCUAGAGAACUUAACCCAUUUUAAGUUCUCUAUGACAUACAUUAUAUAUACCCCGUUCGUUCCGCGUUGGCUAUAUCAGAUCUCUUCCUAACAAUCAUGAGCAAAGGUGAGGAAAUGUUUCCUUAUUGCUUCUUAUUUAUUUCUUCGUUAUUGUUUUUUUUCUUUAGAUGAAGAUAUAUUGGUAACUUUGAUUUGGUUAUGGGUUGAUGAUUGUUAACGUUUAAAAAUGAUAUAAGAGUAUAGGGAUUCAUACGCUACAUAACCCAUAGAAAUAAUAGAGUGAAAUAAACAGAGGAGAAGAGAGCAAAUAAUAAAGAAGAACUCAUGAAACCUAAUAACAUGAUGUUUAUUUUGGUGAGAACUUUUUUAUUAUUUCAAACAAGAUGAAGUAUUUCGAAUACGGGUCGGGUUUGAUACUGGUCUUUUUUUGUCAACAAAACACCAAAAUUAGUUCAACUGAGCCAAUUGGGUGGACAAUUGCUUACAUACAUAUUUGACGGUUUGAUUCCGGUCUAAUAAUAUAUUUUUUUCUAAUCAUAAUUUUAGGAUACACUAAAAUUGAUUAAAUAAAAAAAUCAGAAUAGAGAAAUUUCAAUGGAUUCGUUUUUCUUUCUAAUUCUUUAUUUUUGUAAAGAUGAAAUCUAACAUUUGGUUCUGUUCAAAAUAUUCCUUAUAUAUAUCAUAUCAUAUGUUAGGUAUAAUAUGAAUUGCAUGUUUGGAAUAUUUAAAUUUGAAAGUCUAGAACUGUACUGCUUAAAAAUUAUCUUAGAAGUUGAGAAAAUUUUACCAAAUCAUCCAAAAUAUUUGUCUUGAAAAAUUAUUAAAAAUUUGGUAAAUAAAUUGUUUAUAUCAUUAAUGUUGGCAAUUUGUUACCGUUGGGAUGACGGAAAAAAGAAGAAAAGAAAAAAAAAACAUAAACAAAAUCUCUUAAUUUCCCUAAAAAUAUAAUAAAUCUGACCGUUAUGAGAUUAAUUUAAAUUUCCUUAUUGUUUUUAACUUCAUAAUUAAUAUGUUUAUUCUCUCUCUCCCAAGACAACGCUUCUUCUUCAAAACUUCUUCUUCUUCCUCUUCUAAACCCUAAAACGAAUAAUAGAUACAGAGAGGAGACGAUGAUAAUGCGUAACGGUAAGAUUGGAAAUUUAAUGAUUGGUCAGAAUCGAUCUCCAUCGAUCCUCUCUUCUUCUUCUUCGUCAGUCUAAAUCAAUAUCGAUUUCACUUCGACGAAAUCCAAAAGUGAAGAGAAGAAUCGAGCGAGAGGUAUUCGUAAUAGUCCUCUGUUUUCUUGAUUUUGAAUUUGAUAUUCUAGACUUUAUUAUUAAUUAUUAGGAAUGAUUUAAUUAUUAUUAAUUAUUAGGAAUGAUUUAAGAGAUCAUGAUGUUUAGUGUCUAGAGAAUGAAUAGCUAACUGUAAGCUUAGGUCUUCUGAAACAAGGGUUUGAAAAUAGACCUGAUCUUAAGUUGGUUGUGAUAUGAUCACACAUGUGAAUCUGAAAAGUUUCAGGAAUAUAUUUUAGCGGUGGUUCUCUGAUGAAAGGCUUUAUCUAGUUGAGAUCUUUUACACUCAGGAGCCUGAGAGGGGACUAUCUUGAGGCUCCUAUUAGGACUGUUGUUCAGAUCCACAUGUGUGAGCCACUUGGUGAAAAUGCCUGCUGCAAAAUCAAACCUUGCAAACUCAGUUCUGAGUGUUCUGACCUUGAUGACUCAGCUCCUAGAAGUUUUGAAUUACUUGAUAAUGAAGGUAACUUGACAAAGACACGUGAAAUAAUGAGUGAGUUUCCCUUGGAUCCAAAGAUGGCGAAGAUGCUCAUAGUCAAUCUUGAAUUCAACUGCUCAAGCGAGGUUCUCUCGGUUUCAGCAAUGGUCUCUGAAAAUGUAUAGAGAAACGCACAGACAGUUAAGCUUGGAACGCGCCAAGCAAACGCUUUUUCCUUCGAUCUUUAUUAACAAAAUUUAUCUUUUCCUAGGAUACAAUUUUGUCUCGGCUCUUACUCAAUCUAUUCCUACCAAUAGAAUUGAACCCGACUAAAGAACGAGCACUAAACCUAUCUCUCCUACACCCGUGUAGUCCCAAGAGAAAACAAACACUCACCUUCUCAGCUUUUUGUUUUGCUAGCUUCGAAGUAUACAAUCACGUACAAAGAGUCUAAAGUGUUCAAAAUGGCUCGUGGCCAAACCCUAGACUAUUUAUACUCACUAGUCGAAACCCUAACCCUAGGAUCUUCGAGGAUCUCACGGAAACGGAAUAUACUUGCUUGUCAAGCUUAUCCUUUCCUUAUUUGAUGUGAAGAAUAUUCACNNNNNNNNNNNNNNNNNNNNNNNNNNNNNNNNNNNNNNNNNNNNNNNNNNNNNNNNNNNNNNNNNNNNNNNNNNNNNNNNNNNNNNNNNNNNNNNNNNNNUCAAACUCAUCAAGGUGAUCCAGGGGGUCUUCCAUAGGCAGACCAUGAAAUUUAUUCUGCUGGACCAUGGAGAUCAGACCACUCUUGAUCUCAAAGUUGUUGUUCGCCACGGCUGGAGGCACUAUACCCUGACGAUGGGUAUGGUUGCGUGGAGCAUCACCAGCUCCAAUCCGUGUAGGUGCCCGUGGUGGGGGUGGGGGUGGUGGUUGAAUGUUUUCCAUCUCNNNNNNNNNNNNNNNNNNNNNNNNNNNNNNNNNNNNNNNNNNNNNNNNNNNNNNNNNNNNNNNNNNNNNNNNNNNNNNNNNNNNNNNNNNNNNNNNNNNNGUUGCGUUGCUGUCGUGAUGCAGGUACCAAGCGAUCAAUACGGUCGGAGGGCUGGAACAAGUUCUCUGUGCCUUGCGACCGUGUGUGCAUACAACUCAAAUCAGCUUAUCCCUCUUAUCGGUUGAGUGUGUCAGUCGAGUAGGAGCAGUUGAGCAAGAGUUGUACCUGAAUCAAUAGACAAACAGAAGGAACAGAGUGAGUAACUUUAGUGAAUGUUGAGUAAAAACUUUAUCUCAGCAAGUCUGAAAUCUCAAAUGUAACACACAAACACCCAAAUGGCAGCGGCGCCAAAUUGAUACUAGGAUUUUUCUAUCAAUUACCCUAGAGUACUAUCAUGUCAUUGCAGUACAAUAGGUAUCAAUCCAAUCAGGUGUGAUGCUAGCAAUCAAGAUAUAUCAGAGAUGAUUAAGUGAAGCNNNNNNNNNNNNNNNNNNNNNNNNNNNNNNNNNNNNNNNNNNNNNNNNNNNNNNNNNNNNNNNNNNNNNNNNNNNNNNNNNNNNNNNNNNNNNNNNNNNNAAACGUAACGAUUAUUGAUACUGGCAAGAAAACAAAGCAGACCAAGUAAAUAACAAGAGAAUUAAACAGAAAGCACAAAUGGAUAGAAGAUCCCGAGGAUGAGGUUAUUGAUGUAGGUGGAGAAUGCUAAUCUACUUCGAGUGUUUAUCAAACUGCAAACAUUCUAAUCCCUAGACAAUGAACUUCUAAUACUAGUCAAUCCAAUCUCUUGGCAGAAACUAUCAAGUUUACAACACUUCCUAAUCUCAAUUCUCAUUGAUGAAACAUGCAGUAAACAGGCAUAAAGAAACAGCUCAUUAAUGUCAAUAAACAUCUUAGACAACCAAUCUCUUGGGCUAAGCAUGUAAAUCUCUGGCACUAGUUGGUUCAGACAUUUCAUCAUAUACCGUUCGGGUAUGAAAUUUCUAUGACCUAGUUCCAAUUGAUCAGAGAAGAACUAGCUAAUAAAACUCUAGUCCAGAAGGGAAAGAAAAUGAAUCUAACAUAAACACUCUGGCAAACUAACAUCCUCCACCUAAUCUAUCCCAUCCUCAAGAACCCUAACAUUACUCAGACGCAGAAAUCAUGUUAAACAUCAUGAAACAAGAAUCGUUCANNNNNNNNNNNNNNNNNNNNNNNNNNNNNNNNNNNNNNNNNNNNNNNNNNNNNNNNNNNNNNNNNNNNNNNNNNNNNNNNNNNNNNNNNNNNNNNNNNNNCUUGUCAUUAAGGAUAUAGCACAUACAUCCGAACACAUGGAAAUAGCUGACUGAUGGUGUUUUUCCUUUCCACAGCUCAUAAGAGAUCUUGUUGGUUCCUUUCCUCACAUAGACCCGAUUGAUGAUGUAACAUGCUGUGUUGAUUGCUUCAUCCCAGAAAUGUUGAGCGACUUGAUUACCAUGCAGCAUAGCUCUAGCUAUUUCUUGCAGCGUUCUGUUCUUCCGCUCUACNNNNNNNNNNNNNNNNNNNNNNNNNNNNNNNNNNNNNNNNNNNNNNNNNNNNNNNNNNNNNNNNNNNNNNNNNNNNNNNNNNNNNNNNNNNNNNNNNNNNGAAUAUUGAUGAGUUAUCCCUUGAGCAGCACAAAACUGAUCAAACAACUCAUUCUGGAAUUCACCACCAUGAUCACUUUGUAUUGUCUUGAUUCCCCAUUUUUCACUCUUGAGUUGCAGAGCAAGAAUUCUGAAACUGUCAAGAGUAUCCGAUUUCUCUCGUUGAAAACGGACCCAUGUGUAGCGCGUAAAAUCAUCAACCAUAACAAGAAUAAAACGCUUACUUGUCAGACUUUGGACAAGCAUUGGUCCCAUUAGGUCCAUGUGAACCAAUUCCAAAGCAUGAACAGCACGAACAUCAGGAACCGAUUUGUGAGCAACCUUCACUUGUUUGCCCUUGUUACACGGUCCGCACACAAAAUAAGGAUCAGCCUUUAGCUUUGGCAUUCCUCGAACAACCUCCUGAUGUGCAAGUCUCAACAUCGUACGAACAUUCAUAUGUCCUAAUUUCUUAUGCCACAACUCAGUUUGAAAAUCUACAGCUGCUUGAAAGCAAGGGUUACCAGAACUCCACAUGUAACAAUUGUUGCCAGACCGCUGUCCCUCGAGCUGAACACAUCCUAGUCGAUCCACAGCCUUGCAGUUGGCCUUGGUAAAAGUUACAUUCAGACCCUCAUCACACAGUUGGCUGAUGCUAAUCAGAUUGGCCUUCAGUCCAUCAACAAGAAACACAUCAUAUAAUCUUGGUUGAGAUUCACCACCUGUGGUACCUUUUCCUUUGAUUUUUCCUUUUGCACCAUCUCCAAAAGUAACUCUGCCUGCUGAAACCUGUGUAAACUCUGACAGAUUGUCUUGAGCUCCAGUCAUGUGUCUUGAGCAUCCGCUGUCAAAAUACCACUUCUCCUGAGUUGACUCCUGUUCAUCAGCAGUGUAAGCAACAUUGCAGUACAGANNNNNNNNNNNNNNNNNNNNNNNNNNNNNNNNNNNNNNNNNNNNNNNNNNNNNNNNNNNNNNNNNNNNNNNNNNNNNNNNNNNNNNNNNNNNNNNNNNNNGAUUUUCGGACAUGAGCUGAUUGUUCCUGAUUAAAUGAGGACACAGCACGUCUCUGAUUUUUCUGAGGAACAGACUUCCUUUGAGUAGCUUCUGAUGACUAUGGAGCUGCCUUAACAAACUUAGUUGUACCAUUGAAAUUUCCACCUUGAUACCCUAGACCCCAGUUGGCAUUAGCCGUUCGUCCCACAGUUAGGAGUUUGUCCAGAUCUUUAGUCCCUUUGCUCAGCAUCUUGAUGUUCCUGAGUUGAUCCUCCAACUGCCUCUCAAGACCUUGCGACUUGACUUUCUCAGCUUCAAGAUCCUUGGAUAUCACAGAAACUUUCAAUUGAAGUUCAUUUCUUACGGUGGUUAGAUCAGAGAUCUCCUUUGUCUUGCUCAUCAGACUCCUGAUCAAGAGAGCAACUUGUUCUUCAUUAGGAAGAUUUGCUUCAUCAUCCUCUGAUUCAUCACCAACUACCUGAUUGACAUCGUCUUGAGCUGUCACACCAACACUCUCAUCGCCUUCCUCAAUGAUGCCCAGAAAUGCCACAAAAUUGUUUAGCACUUCUCCUUUUCCUUCAUCAUCAUCAGUAUCACUCUCACUCCAAGUCACAUACGAUUUCUCUUUGGAGUCUCUCCCUAGGCAUUCAGCCUUGGUGUGACCAUAGCCCUUACACUCAUAACAUUUCAGUGCAUUUUUCUUCUUCAUAUUCGGGCAUUCAGCCUUGUAGUGUCCAUAGCCUUCACACUCAAUACACUGUUUCUCAGACUUAUCAUUCCUCUUGAAUUCUUUCUGCUGCCCUGAUCUGUUGUUAACUGCAGACCCACGUUGCUGACCUCGCUCCAUUCUCUUGAAGUACUUUCUCACAAGCAUACCAACUUUAUCAUCAUCUGCAGACUCCUGAGUGUCAACAGUAUUCAGUGCGAAAGUUUUUCCACUUGCCUGCUCCUUUUUCUUAACUUGUAGCUCAUAUGCCUGCAUCAUCCCAACUACUUGAUCAAAUUUCAACUCAUCAGAAUUCAACGAGACAUCAAUUGCAGACCUAUGUGGCUGAAACUUCUCCGGCAGACUUCUGAGAAAUUUUUUAACCAACUUCUUAUCUUUAUAGCGUUUUCCCAACACUAUAGCCUCUUGAGAGAUAUUACUCAGCUUGCUGCUGAAUUCCUCAAUAGUCUCACUAUCUCCCAUAGUCAAGUUCUCGAAAUCAGACGCUAAGAUGUCAAGUCUGGUUCUCUUCACAUUGCUGGUUCCUUCAAAGGUGACCUGAAGAAUAUCCCAUGCCUCUUUUGCAGAUUCACAUCCCUGAACUCUGGUGAACUGAUUUACAGGCAACGAUUUGAAGAUUAAGGACAUAGCUGUUGCAUUGUGUUUUGCUGCAAGUUUCUCCUCUGCAGUCCAAUCCUUCUUGGGUUUUGAAACAGCAUCUCCAGCCUCAUUUGUUUUCACAGGGGCUGUCCAUCCAUCUUCAUUAGCUAUCCAGGCAUCAAGAUCAGCACUCUGAAUAUCCUGUCUCAGUUGCACCUUCCAGAACCCGUAAUGUUCUGGAUCCAACUUAAACGGCUUAGUUAUAGCAACGUAUUGCUGUGAUUUCUCCAUACCCUCUGUUGCACGAUCUCACCUGUUGAAAAGACAAACAGAUCUUUUAUCAGGCGUCCGCUCUGUUACCAAAUGAAAAUGUAUAGAGAAACGCACAGACAGUUAAGCUUGGAACGCGCCAAGCAAACGCUUUUUCCUUCGAUCUUUAUUAACAAAAUUUAUCUUUUCCUAGGAUACAAUUUUGUCUCGGCUCUUACUCAAUCUAUUCCUACCAAUAGAAUUGAACCCGACUAAAGAACGAGCACUAAACCUAUCUCUCCUACACCCGUGUAGUCCCAAGAGAAAACAAACACUCACCUUCUCAGCUUUUUGUUUUGCUAGCUUCGAAGUAUACAAUCACGUACAAAGAGUCUAAAGUGUUCAAAAUGGCUCGUGGCCAAACCCUAGACUAUUUAUACUCACUACUCGAAACCCUAACCCUAGGAUCUUCGAGGAUCUCACGGAAACGGAAUAUACUUGCUUGUCAAGCUUAUCCUUUCCUUAUUUGAUGUGAAGAAUAUUCACCAUAUCUUCACACGCAAUUCGUCUCUAUCUUUGCUGCCAAGCAAGAAAUCUUCCUUAGCACGUCACUCCAUCCACUUAAGCUUUGCCACGUCAUCUCACGACUCCAUGUCAGCAACUUCAAGUGUCUGAUGUGAUCCCAGGCGUCUGAUGUGGUCUCAGGCGUCUGAACAGAUGCGACUUCCUGAUCUUCACAGCAAGCUGUUCUGGAACUGCAUCUUCAGUCUCAGGUGCGCCUUUACUUUUUUUUUUUUUUUUUUUAAUUCUUGGUAACUUUGGUUAGGUUUGUAGUUAAGGGUAGGCUUAAUUUUGCUACCAAUUUCCAUUAUGCAACUAGUCUAAUGUGCGUUAUUAAAACUCAUAUUUUUUCUUUCAUAUGUAUGAUUAUUGAUUAUCAUUUAGAAUUAAGUAUUAGUGUUAGGUUAUCAUCAGCAGUCUCUAGUUUCGAUUCUGCAUAUAGAUAAGUAUCAGUGUUUGUUGCAGCUUCUCAGUUAUUCUCUCUCUCAUGAAGCUAAUGGUAUCAGUCUAAUCGCUUCUAUGCAUCUGCUGACCUCUUCCAUAAGCUCUUCUGUUGUAUAUACCAAUUCUUUAUCUAGUACCGAACUGCUUUAUUCGGCCUAGAGACUAGAGAGGCUUAGAAAGCAGCAGAUGAAGCUGAAGCUAAGUUUGGACACAUUGAUGGAGAUGACCUCACACUGUUGAACUAGCUGUUGUCCAAUAGAUAAAGAUCCCAAUCGGUGCUAUGAAAACUUCAUCAAACAACAGAGCGCGUUGAAAUCUGCAGACAACGUUAGACAUCAGCUAGUUCAGUCCGGAUAAAGUCAAUAUCAACAUAAGGAAGGCCAUGCUUGCCGGUUAGUUCACGCAAGUGGAAACUUAGAAUGCACUGGCCAUUACUUGAUAGUCACAGACAACUAACCAACUAAUUCAGUUUAUAUUGUUGUUUCCAUUUAAACAUUAUUCUCUCAUGGUUAAAAAGUCUUCGUUGGCAGGUACUGGUUCAUUUGCAUCCAUCAAAUUGCCUGGAUCACAAACCUGAGUGAGUUAAUCUACAACAAAUAUUUUUUUGACUAGCCAGAAUUUCAUCAGAAUUUUAACAGAUAUUUGUGGUGAAUGGUAAGCUCUUACAUUUCAUGUUCUUUUUUUCUUUGGUUAAUAUCCUUCGAAGUUAAGAGGAUUAUAUUACAUAGUGAAUUGAGGUAUUAGCAGGUUUGUAAAAGUUGUCAUCUUUUAAUCUUAUUUGGAGAAUUAACCAGUAGUUGCUCUCUCUCGUUUGUUGUUUCAAAUUACAGAACAAACCACCAAGUCACCUCAGGACGCUCAAGACAUCACAACCUUGCAGGUAUACUAUAUAUUUUCUUCCCAUUUUUUAUAUUUACAAUUGAGAAUAAUGAUUUUGAUCUAAUAAUAUACAAAAAUGAAGCAUACUCAUGGACAUGUGCUUAGACAGAGGUUUUGAUUGCGGAUAAUCAAGGAAAAUCCCAAGACAACCAGCCCCGUCGGUGGACGGUAUUAUCGCAAGGGCUAUAGGACAUUCGUGCUUUAUUGAUGGUUCCUGAAAGGCUGAUAAUAAUUUUGCCGGAGUAGGAAGGUAUUGCACCGCACCGAGAGGCUCAUCAACAAUGGGUGCAGCUAAUCUACGAAGGAGUUUUUCACCCUAACAUACGGAGGUCGAAGAUUUGGUUUGGGCGAUGAAGUGUAUGCUUGACGCAUCUCGAAGUGAAGUGGCUUUAAUUACAGACUGUUCAGAUUUGGUGGAGAUGGUGUCUUCCCCAGCAGAAUGGCUAGCGUUCACGACAUAUCUAGAGGAGAUUCAAACAGAUAAGGAAGUGUUUUCUUUUUUCUCUUUAGUAAAAGCUCCUCGUUGUUCUAAUGUUAAGGCGGAUAAGUUAGCACGCCAAGCGCGUGCUGAACCGCUACUUUGUCUUUAUGUAAACGAUGUUCUUUCCUCUUGGCUCAUUUGAGUCUUAUAUGAAAGCUGUUGACAAAAAAAAAAGAUACAAAAAGCUUUUUUUUUUUAACUUCUUAUUUUUAUGAUUUAAAAAUUAAAACUAAAUAUCAAAGUUUUUACUAAAUAUCAAACUAAAUAUCAAAUGUUUUAAAUUUUAAUUUCACCAAAAUGGUUUUUUUUUUCCUUUUAUUGAAGCUAAGUGUUAAAUUUAAAAAUGAUCAAAACAAACCGGACCUAGCAUCCAGUCCAGUUGUAGUCCGUCAGUUUAUUUUAAAAGUUCAACAUGUUUUCAUGUAUUGUAAAUUUAACACUUAGAAACUUCAAAGUAUUUUUAUAAAUAUGAUUUUAUAUACAUUAUCUUAAUUUUUAAUUAAAAAUUAAAAGUUAUAAUUUAUUGAAAAUAGUUAAGUUUCAUGGACUCGGUCGUUUUAGAUAUUUUGUUAAAUUUAAGUUAACAAAGAAUAACGACAUUGUCGUUUUCAAAAGUAUAAAAACAAAAAAAAUUGAUACAACAUAGAGUCAAAUUUGCCAACGUUAAGUUUGUCUUGGAAAUAAAAUUUAACUCUUAUUAAAAAGAGAAUAUUUGUUACCGUUGCAAUGAAGAAAUAAUAGAAACGAAAUCUUUUUUAAUAUCCUUAAAAAUAUAUUUAACCUGAUCAUUGUGAAAUGAAACAUAAAAAUUCCUUUUCUUUCAAACUUCUUAAUUUAUUAGACACUAGGUAAGGACCCGGGCUAAAGCGCGGAGAAAAAGUAUCUGUUUUUUUUUAGUCUAAAUAUUAUUAUGUUAAGAUUGAUUAAUGGUGUUCUAUGUAGAUGUGUAUAUAGUUUUUGAAAGAAGGUAUGUGAUUAAAAUCGUAACGGAUUUGAGGAAAAUUGACAAAUAUAGGCCUUGGUUAGUUGCUGCUGUAGCUUUAUAUUUUUGUCUGUAGAUUUAGAGCGGUGGAAUUUUUGUCUAUGACUAUAGAUUUGUUAUGUAGUAUUUGGGCUGUAGGAAUUAAUUUUCUGGAAAGCUGAAAAUAUGUGCUUUAGGAAAAAUGGCUUUGUACAGCCAAAGAAAAAUAAUUAAGGAAAUAUUUUGGCUGUGAAUCAAAAAAGGAAAUACAAAAUUUAUAAAGUUUGAUUGAUGUGAAUUUGUAGCUUUGGAAAACAUAUGGCUGUGGAAAGACUUUAAAGCAGCAACCAAUCAAAGCCAUAGUGUAAUUUUAGAGUUUAUACGUGUAUACUAACCAAAAAAAUAGAAUUUGGACGUAUAUAAAAUAACAAAUGCUUUGUUAUAUUAACACUACUAUUUAUUUAGUAUUAGAAAAUGUGAUAUCUAAAAAUAAGGUAACUGUUUUUAGUAUAUUUGAAAAAUUGUUUCAUAAUGUUAAAUUGAAUUUUUUUUUAUUUAGUCAUCUAAUUUAAGACCCGUAAUUUACUAAAAGUGAAUAAUUUUCUAUGUAAUUUAAAAUUAUAUUUAUGUAACAUUUGGUAUUACAAAGUAUUUGUUUGUAAAACUUGAGUGGUGUGUAUCAUGGUCUGACCCGUUGCAAUAUUAUUUUAUAUAUUUAUAAUAUUUGAACCAUUUAAAAGUUUUAAUAAUUAUAAUAUAUGAACAUUCUAAAACUUUCAAUAUUAUAAUAUUUUGAAUCUAUUUAAAAUUAUUAAUUUGUUCAAACUUAAAACCAGAUUAUAUCAAAUAAAAGUUUUAAAUUUGGAUGCAUGAUAAAUCAAGUUUACUGCUCAUUUGUAGUUUGAAGCAUGUUACCAUGUUGGUCUUACACCUUUUUCUAUCAAUAAAGUAUAAUAUGAAAUUUCAUGAAAAUAUUUAACCAACCCGCUUAGAUUUAGGAAAUAUAUUUAACCAACCCGUUUUAGAUAUCCAAACUUUAUUUUAACAAGAUUUUAAGUUUAUAUUAAUAUUUUCAUUGUCAAUUGAGUAAUAUAUAUAUCCUUUUUGAAAAAUUCAAAUUUGCAACAUAUUCAAAAAAAAAGAAGAAUUUUUAUUAUAUUAAUAUUAUAUAUACUUACAAAUAAAUGUGAAUGGAGAAUAAUUAAUGUUUUAAAUUUAUUAUUUUAAAUUAGUUAUAGAAAUAUUAGGAAAUCCAAAAUCUAGAUAGGUAAAUAAUAUAAUUUGUUGGGAAAGUAUCCGAUUUAUAUCCAAACUCAAUUAAAUAUCUUGAAGUAUCCAGUUGUUUAAUUUUAGGUUAAUUUUUAAUUUUAAUCUGACCCAUCAACCCAUGUAAAAGUGUACUUUUAUUUUACUUUAUAAUAGGUAGUAACCCGUGCCACGGCACGGGCGAUUUGGUGUAGUUAAUUUAUGUGUAUAUGGAAUGUAUUUGAAUAUUAUGUAUGUUUGGGAUUUCCUACAAAUACCUCGGGCCAACUUACACUAAAAUGUUCUUGAGACAGUAAACACUCGGUCCGUUGGACUCAAACUCUCCGGCAAUGCUGUAGCACGGAUUGUAUGGACGUGGUAAGAAAAUUCAUCUAACCUUUUCAAAUAUAUAAAAAAGUUAUAACAUUUAAAAUUUAAAAUUUACAAUAGGGUUUUAGAAAAGCUAAACAAAAACUUAGUUACAUAUAUUAAACAUAAAUACAUUAUAUACAAUACAUACAAAAAUGAAAUUGCUAAAUAGUGUAAACAUUGAAUAUAGCAUUGGGACUACAAUUUAUGAAGAACUUGUUGACCUUGCUUAUUCGUCCUGGUUGUUUCUGAAAUAAUACCUUGCAGCGAACUCGGAUCUGAGAUAUAAUUUUGAUAUUAAGUGAUUACUAGGUUAUUUAACCUGAUAUCUUAACCGAAGUAAAGUAUAUGUGGGAUCGAUCACAAGGAGCAAUGGUACACUAAGGACUUGCGGGCCUCGUUCUUAGCUAAAGCGGAAAGGGUUUUUGUUUGGUUUUCAGUUUUGUAAAUAAAAAUACAAAUAAAAGAGAGAUUUAAACUUAUGAAUUAAAGACAUUGGGCUGCAGGGUAUUUUCAGAGAAUCAAUGAAUAACAAAUAAAAGCAAUAAGAAGUUCAAACUUGAAGAACCAUUCUUGAACAUGAACAGAAAUUUAGACUAAUUCUCUCUCAAAACAUUAAUCACUAAAUUUAACUAUUCAAUUACUAAACUCUCAUUUGUAAUUUCCUAGCCAAAUUCACAUUAUUAAACAGGUUCAUUUGGUUCAUAAAGCAUUCUAACAUCCACUCUCGCAGGUUAGAAAUACAAUGCUCAAUUUACAAUCAUUCAGGCCUUUUAUCGAACAUCUUUGAAACACAUAAAAGCCUAAGUUCUAAAACAGGGUGAUCAAUCCUAUUCUAGCAUUGAAAACAUGUAAAUUGAAGAACCUAAAGAUUAAGAAUUCCCUAAGACAUCUAAUCUAUCAAAUCAUUGAAAUCUCCUACUUGGAACCAUAAAACCCAAGUAAGAGACUACUCAGACAUAACAAUUGAAACAAAGCAAAUAGAUUAAAAAAAAAACAUGAUUCAAUAUAUUAGAAUAAGAAAAAGGUUAGAAAUCUUCUCCAAAUUGUCAAAGAGGAAUCAAUCUCUAUCCCAAAUGUUGCUUACAAGUCUAAAACUCAGAAAACUGCUGUAAAGAAAAGGGUAGAUGAAAAACAGGUCUUUUUGGGUUUUAAUACCCAUUACAGAAGAAAAUAGAUAUUAAUUCCGGUUAAGGAAACCGAAAUUGGAAUGGACCGAUCGGUCUGAAAGAUGGACCGAUCGGUCUGAAAGAUGGACCGAUCGGUCGUUUGGCUCCUGGUCUUGUCCGGGUGAAAGCAUCGAUCGGUCCAAAGUGAGGACCAAUCGGUCUCUGCGUUCUGAUCAGGGCCGGGUAAAUGAAUCGAUCGAUCCAUUGUGGGGAUCAUAAGUAUAGUAGAUGCUUUGACAAUAAAUCCAAAAAUAAUGACUUUUCCGGUUCCAUUCUUUCUCCUUUGCCGUUCUUUUUUGUGUUUUUCUCUUUUUCUAAGUUUUUGUUUUGUUUUUGUUUUUUUUUUACGGGGGAGUGGAACUGAUUCUCGUCUCACAAACUGCAUCAGCAAAACUCAAUCAUGAUCGCUCACAGCACAUGCUUAAAAAUAUAACAAUAUAACCACAAGAACUCAAUGUUAAUCACCCCAAACAACUACAUUUACAAUCCUAAUUAAAGGAAAGCUAUGUCGGUAGGUAUACUCCGUAGUUUUUGCACAUGAAUGCACAUGAUGACAAUGACAUAAAAAUGCAUGUGGUAUGAAGAAUGGAUAGGGCUAAAGGUGUGGUAUUAGACUAAAGAUAGUCUAGCCAUUAAGAGUUUACAAAGAGUGGCAAAAUAACGCGGAUUAAACUCUGAAUGUAUGAUCCAUUACAUGAUUACCAACCCCCUAAGUGAGAUAUAAUAAGUCCAUAUUAAGUUCAGAUAAGCAAGACUAAGCUCAAAUCAUCCAAAUUUCGAAGUGAGGGAUUAUACUAGUGAUCUAGUCAUGAAUUUUCCUAAAGUUUCAAGUUAUCCUUAAACAAUGCUAAAUGGUCCCAAGGCAAUGAAAUCAAGCAAGGUGCAAUUCCCUAAGAAAAGUUCAUAGUUCUCAAACAAAAUUUUGACUCAAGAAAACAGACCCGAUUUGACUCGAUAAAACAAACUGACAGACUCAAAAAAACAUCAAAAUGAAACAUAAGAAAAGCAAACUGCAUCAGUAGACAAAUGACACCGCCCCAAGACUUACUUCACACCGUCUCGGUGUGAGAAUAAAUCCAAAAGAAGCGUCGGACUGACUCAAAGAGAAGCAAAAUAAAGAAAAGAAAAAUGGUAUAUAACAACGAAAAUAGAGAGUUUUACACUGCUCAGUGGUUAUGUGGUGGACUAGAGCUGUGCGCCUGGCCGGGCUCCCUCCUGCUUCUGCUGAGACGGACGUCUGCAGAACGUGCAGCUGUAUCACUCGGGCGAGCAACAUCCUGACUAUGCUUGCGGCGGUUCUCCUGUCCAAUGGCUAGCCCAGGUGUGGUCUGAGCUUAUGUGGCCUCUUCUUCUGCGUCUGCUAAGCUUUGAUCUCCUGAAGCCUCAGAACCGUCAUCCUCUGUAUCCUCUCCCUGUGUACGUGAACCAGAAGCACAAGAACAGGGUCUAAUCUUCAUCAUCGCUCUCCACAUCCGGCGCAUCAUAGAGUUGUUAGUCUUCUGAGACUCAACAACCCACUGCAACUGUGCAGACAUAUCUCCAGGUGGAGGUGUAGGCUGUAGCCGGUAUCGUCCAGGACUGUGAGGGAGGAGCCUAUGAGGUUGAGGAGAAUACUCAUGUGAGGGGUCCUCCUCGUCCAUAUCAUCAUCACUAGCCACUGCUGCCUGUGCAGGCUGGGAAACUCGUGUAGAUCCUCUGCGUCGAGUAGGUACAGGAGCAGCUGUCUGAGCAGGGUUGAGAAUCAAAUGUUCAGAACUAGGGAGAAGUACCAAGUUCUCCCGAGAGAGAUGCACAGUGAUAGCUGGACUAGGGAGGUUACAGUACAAUGGUAGUCCUUCAAGAUCCCAAAACUUGUAAACAUAUCUCUUGACCAUAAUAUGACAAUGCAUUAAGUAGUCUAUAUCCACUUGCACUAUGUUCUCAUUCACUUCUGUGGUUGACAGGUCAAUACCACAAUGAAUGAACAAAGGGGUGAGGAAGGUACCCAUGAACAGCUGCUUAGGAGGGUUGAGCUUCACUUUCACAAAUAUCUCGCACCGAAUGGCUGCAUAAUUCGUUGUAAGCGUAACGGGGCCGUUGUAUUCUUCCAACCGAUGUCUAACUCCAUGAAAUAGAAUCCACAGCUCAUCGUCCCGAACUGAGCCUGACUCAGCCUUGAAGAAAAUGGCGUUGCUGAUUAUCUUGACACAAAUGCGGAGAACCGGAUUGCGGAUGGCAGUAAUCUUUGCACCCCUUGACGUCUACUGUCCCUGGCCAAUCAAACCCCAGAAAUCACUUGAGUCUUGUCGAGAAAAGCGUGGGAAACGAAUAUCAUCCCCUUUGGGAAACUCAUAGACCUCACAAAACUCAAAGAGUGACAUAGAAAAGUGCUUCUUGUUGAAGAAGAAUGUGAGCGUUCCCUCACUCGCCACGGGGUCUUGAGGAUCACUGUAACGAAGACGACAUAUGGCUAAGAACUCCUUCACUAAUUUGGGAUAUGUUAAGUGUUCUAGGCUCCAAGCCUUCUCAAGGCCUAUGGUCUGAAACAAUGUCUCUGCAUCUUCAAGUAGUCCAAGGUGGCUCAAACCGUCUCGACAACCACAUCUAGUGGGAUGAACUUCGACCGAGCUCAGUGCAGCCAAACACUUAGUAUCAAUGGAAUCCCAUCUCUUCGAGAUAGGCCGAGUAGAAUCCCUUGUUCGCCCCAUCACCUACUAAACAAGAGAGUUGGCAUCAUGAACCAGUUUGCAACUUACAAUCCAACAAUUAAGCUCAAAAUCCCAAUUAUUUCAACAGUUAAGCUUAAAAACUCAAUUAAUUCAACAAUUAAGCACAAUUGAUAAUAUGAAAAUGCAAGAAUGAACUAGUGUUACUUAGUUAUAAGCAUAGCACAAGAAUCCAUCCACAAAUCCAUGAAAAUCGAAUUCCCUAACAAAUUUGAAGUUCAUACCCGAUUUUACCCAAAAGUCAAAAAAUCAAAGUCCCAAAUUUCCAAUAAUUUAGCAAUUAAGCACCAUAAACAAGCUUUCCAACCUAGUAUAGACUAGAAUCCAACAGAAUUUUACCAUUCAACAUAAAGAAGCUAGAAAUUUGGAGGUUUAGAGACAAACCAUGCAAAAUUCGGACUGUAAAUAGGGAAUUUCGAACUCAUACCUUUGUAGAUCGACCAAAACACCACCACCAACAGAAAGAGAGCAAAAAAUCGAGUGGUUUAGAGCCAAAAAUCGUCCAAAUCCGUUAAGAAUCGAGAGAGUUAUGAAAAUUUAAAUUUUGGGCUCAAAGUGUUCUUCAAGAGGAAGAAGAAGACCAAAAUCGAGUUUCUAAUGUGAAAUAGCUCUUGAAUUCUCGAGUUUUAAGGGUUUUAACCGGUUUAGAUCGGUUUAGUUUUUAAAAAAUUUUGGUUCAAUCCCGAUUUUUCACGAUUUAUGUUUGAAAACUAACAUGGGACCGAUCGGUCCGAUGAAACGACUGAUCCGUCUGUUUCCCUCUGGUCUGGCACGAUGUAAUCGAUCAAUCGAUCGACGUAUGGACCGAUCGAUCCGACUCUACGGAUCUUGAAGCGAUGAACGACCGAUCGAUCUGAUGAAACGACCGAUCGGUCAGUUGUUGCCGGGUUUUCCAGAACCAAAUGGAUCGAUCGAUCCUUAGAGGGACCGAUCGAUCCUCUUUUCCUGCACAUAGAAAACUAAAAAGCAGCAUGAAACAGCAUGGUUUGAUCGGCCUAGAGUUGGACCAAUCAAUCCGUCACUCCCAGCAGAGUGGAAUUGAAACAAAAAGAUGGAAAAAUAAGUUUGAAAACAAUAAAACCAAAAUAUAUACAAGAUACCUGGUGGGUUGCCUCCCAUAAAACGCUUUUUUAAGGUCUUUAGCUUUACCGUAAUGAUCUCUUAAGCUUGAUCGGGGUCUGUAAGAGGAACCGUAGUGACCUCUUCAGAAUUGGACUCUGCAAGAUACGGUUUCAGUCUCUGUCCAUUUGCAGCAAAUGGUUUACUGUCGUUACUCAAAAGCACCACAGAACCAUUAGACCUCACUUCCUUAACGACGAAAGGACCGGACCAUCUUGAACGAAGUUUUCCGGAGAAUAGCUUAAGCCUAGAGUUGAAUAGGAGCACCUUAUCACCUUCAUUGAACUUCUUCAAGAUUAUAUUUUUGUCAUGAAGAGCUUUGGUUCGUUCUUUGUAGAUGCGAGAGCUCUCAUAAGCAUUCAAACGAAUCUCAUCUAACUCAUUAAGCUGAACCAAGCGUCACUCUGCUGCAUGCUUAAUGUCGAAGUUCAUCAAUUUUGUUGCCCACAAAGCUUUGUACUCCAACUCUACCGGCAAUUGACAUGACUUCCCAUAGAUGAGGUUGAACGGUGUAGUUCCAAUGGGAGUUUUGAAGGCGGUUCUAUAUGCCCAAAGAGCAUCAUCGAGCUCUGUAGCCCAGUCUUUUCUAGAUUUACCUAGAAUCCCCUUAAUCUCCCGGUUGGAAAGUUCCACUGGGCCACAUGUUUGAGGAUGAUAAGGCGUGGCAACCUUGUGCUUAACACCAUGCUUCACCAACAAGUUUGCAAAAACUUUAUUGAUGAAAUGUUUUCCUCCAUCACUAAUCACCACUCUUGGAACCCCGAAUCUUGGAAAGAUGAUCUUCUUAAACAUUUUAAGCACCACUGUAGCAUCAUUCUUUGGACUGGCUAUGGCUUCAACCCAUUUAGAAACAUAAUCUACACGACCAAGAUAUACUCAUUCUCAUAGGAUGAUGGAAAAGGACCCAUGAAGUCAAUUCCCCACACGUCAAACACCUCCACUUCGAGAAUGAAAUUCUGAGGCAUUUCGUUUCUCUUGCUGAUAUUACCCUUGCGCUGGCAAGCAUCACACCUUGCAAUAAACCCAUGAGUGUCUCUGAACAAAGUGGGCCACCAAAAACCAACUUGGAGAACCUUAGUGGCAGUCUUGAAGGAAGCGAAGUGUCCUGCAUAAUUUGAGGCCUGACAAUGGUGAAGGAUGCCAUCAACUUCACUCUUUGGAAUACAUCUUCUAAAAAGGUUGUCAGCACACUUAUUGUAGAGAUAAGGAUCGUCCCAGUAGUAAUGUCGAACAUCUCUCAAAAACUUUUUCUUUUUGUAACCGGUGAAUUCAGGAGGUGGAACAUCACAAGUAAUUAGCAAAAUCAGCAUACCAUGGCAAAUUACUCUCUCCAGUGUGUAGUGUCAUGAGAUCAAAAGCGUUUGUAACAGUCUUCAAUUGAUGCUAGCUCUUCUUCUGGAAAGGUAUCCCUCAUUGGGAUGUCGUCCUCAACUCUUAAUCUUGACAAGUUAUCAGCUACCAUGUUCUCAAUACCUUUCUUGUCUUUGAUCUCCAAGUCAAACUCUUGCAACAAGAGUAUCCAUCUCAAUAAUCUCGGCUUGGCAUCUUUUUUAGACAAUAAGUAUCUCAAAGCAGCAUGAUCCGUGUGAACAAUGACUUUAGACCCAACCAGAUAUGAUCUAAACUUCUCAAAAGCAAACACAAUUGCAAGGAGCUCCUUCUCUGUGGUGGCAUAAUUUACUUGUGCUCCAUCAAGAGUGCGACUGGCAUAGUAAAUAGCAUGCAACUUCUUAUCUUUUCGCUGUCCCAAAACAGCACCCACAGCAUAGUCACUGGCAUCACACAUAACCUCAAAAGGCAGCUCCCAAUCUGGUGGUUGCACAAUGGGAGCACUCACCAAAGACUCUUUAAUAGUUUUGAAUGCCUGCAGACAGCUCUCAUUGAACUCAAACUUCUGUUCCUUGCACAACAACUGCGUGAGAGGUCUAGCAAUCUUGGAAAAAUCUUUGAUGAACCUCCUGUAGAACCCAGCAUGACCCAGAAAGCUCCUGACUCCUUUCACAGAAUUCGGUGGCUGCAUAUUCAUCAUGACUUCAAUCUUAGCUUGGUGAACCUCAAUACCCUUUUCUGAAAUCAUGUGCCCAAGUACAAUGCCAUCCCGCACCAUGAAAUGACACUUCUCCCAGUUUAAGACCAUGUGUUUGUCCUCGCAACGCUGAAUUACCAUGCAUAGAUUAGACAAACAAGCAGCAAAAGACAUACCAUGCACACAUAAAUCAUCCAUAAAAACCUCCAUAAAGUCCUCAAUCAUAUCAUUAAAGAUAGACAUCACGCAACGCUGAAAAGUAGCAGGGGAAUUACAUAAUCCAAAAGGCAUUCUACGAUAAGCAAAAGUACCAUAAGGACAAGUAAAUGUGGUUUUCUCUUGAUCAUCGGGAUGGAUCGGGAUUUGAAAGAAUCCCGAAUAUCCGUCAAGAAAGCAGUAAUAUGGAUGGUUUGACAGUCUUUCAAGCAUUUGAUCAAUAAAGGGUAGUGAAAAAUGAUCUUUACGGGUUGCAGAGUUAAGUUUUCGAUAAUCAAUACACAUAUGGUGUCAUGUGAUAGUUCUUGUUGGUAUUAGUUCAUUCUUUUCAUUUUUAAUCACAGUGACAUCGCCUUUCUUAGGCACAACAUGGACCGGGCUCACCCAAGUACUAUCAGAGAUAGGAUAGAUUACACCCGCAUCUAGAAGUUUCAUUAUCUCUUUCUUUACAACAUCUCUGAGAUUUGGGUUUAACCGUCUUUGAUGUUCUACAGAAGUCAUUGAUUCAUCUUCUAGAUAUAUCAUGUGCAUACAUAGAGUGGGAGAGAUGCAUGUGAUAUCAUCAAGAGAAUAGCCCAAGGCUUUUCUAUACUUUCUCAAUUCACACAACAGCAAGGCACUCUCCACAUUGUUCAACUCAGCAUUAAUUAUCACAGGGUAAGAGGAAUUAGGACCAAGAAACGCGUACCUUAGCCUAGUAGGAAGUGGUUUGAGUUCCACUUUUGGAGCUUUCAGCUCGCUCCAAUCAUCGCAGUUUUUUGCUGUUGGGUCUGCUGCAACGUUCUCUCCCUUAGUUAUCUCAAGCUCCGAAAUCUUCAUUUCUUUACUCAUUUGUGGAGCAGAAUCCAGCAGCUUAGCAAACCCAGUAGUUGCUUCACCAAGAUACCCAAACUGAUCUUCUUCCUUAACCAUGGCAAUCUGAAGAGGAUCAUCCAUACUCAACUCCUCAAGAAGCUCAUAUGCUAGCUCAUUUAUCAUAUCAACCCAUAAUGUUUGCCCUUCAAUGGUGGGUUUAGACAUCACUCUCUCCAUGUUAAACUCUUGGACAAAAUCACCAAUAUGAAGUUUAAUCUUGCUCUUUCUCACAUCUAUCAAGGCUCCAGCUGUGUUUAGGAAUGGUCUACCAAGAAUGACUGGGUCUCUUGGCUCCUCAUCAAGCUCAAUGAUGACAAAAUCAGUUGGAUUAUAGAAAUUUCCAACUCGUACAUGCACAUCCUCAGCCACACCAACAGGAAGCGAUCAACAAGUAUCAAAGACAUCUUGGUUGGGGUGAAAUUAGUGAGCCCCAAUCUUUUUGAAACCGAGAAUGACAUCAAACUCACUCCUGCUCCCAAAUCACAGAGACAUCUAUCAAAGGUGUGCUCUCCAAUCCUACCAGGCAACACAAAACUGCUAGGAUAUUCCAUCUUCUUAGGCACAAUAUUCUGGAGGAUAACACUACACUCAUAACUAAUCAAAACAGCUCCUUCUUCAAGAGUCUUCUUGUUAGUCAAAAUUUCUUACAAAUGUUUCCUGUAUGUAGGAACAUUCAUAACCAGCUCAAGGAAUGGAAGUUUAACUUGAAGCUCCUUCAUAAUCUCAUCACACCGACCAUACUCUUUUUCUCUCUGAAUCUUCCUCAAGCGACCCGGGAAAGGCAGCUUAGGCACAUAAGGAGGUAUUGCAGCUUUUUCAGUCUCUUCUUUCUCUGGAACUUCCUCCUCAGCUUCUACUUCUUCAACCAGUUGUUUAGCAACAGAUUUCUCUCCAGCAAUAUCCUUUUCUGAGUCAUCAGAGAUGGCUAUCGCCUUCUCCUUCUCCAGAAUUGGAUUGAGUUGUUUACCACUCCUCAGCGACAUGGCUUAGACAUACUCCUUACUACCGUUGUAGUCCUUCGGGUUCGCUACUGCUUUACCAGGAAGAACUCCCAUUGGCCUUGUAGAAGCAGAUGCUGUCUGGGCUACUUGAUUCUCAAGCGCCUUAACAUGUGAAGCUAGUGACUCAAAUUUCACAUGGAGAUCAUUGUACAUGCUAUCAACUUUGACAUUGAUAUCAGCUGCAUUCUUUUUCUGGCCCUUAAGAAUCUGUUGCAUCAUCUGUUUCAUCUCGUCAUCUCCUGAAGAGGUGUUUCCAGGUGCUUGGUAACCUCCCUGGAAGUUAGAGAACUGGGGUUUCUGCUGAAAACCGGAGUUUCUGCUAAAAACCGGAGUUUCUGCUGAAAACCACUUUGUCUAGCGACAUGUGGUUUUGGUACAAACACCUUGUUGCUGAAAUUUUCAUUCCCUGAUGGAAAAGGCUUAGGCUGAAACUGCUGACCCUGAAAUCCCAUCUACGCUGGAUAUACUGAUCCUGCGGAUUCUCCACAUUAGUGCUUCUGUAAGAUUUGUUAGGAUGACUCUUGUAGUUCUGAUUGAACCCCUUAUUCUGAUAGUUACCCUGAAAGUUAUUGACGUAGUUCAACUCAGCAUGAAAAUCUUCUGAACCGUCUCCACUGAACUCUUGGUAUGCCUGAGGUUCACCACUAUCAUCACAGUAGUUAACCAUUCUCUGAUCUCUCUUAAGAAGUUGCUCAACCUUGGCUGUCAACUAAACAAUCUGUUUUGAUUCACGUCCACCGCCUCUCUGGGACCUGUCGUAAUCAAUAUCCUGGCUGCUGUUGCUACCUGCAAGAUUUUCAAUCAACAACUCAACUUCUGUAUCAGACUUGGUCAUGAAGUUACUACCACUACCAUUAUCUAGUGCCAUCCUGUAAACCUUAUCACAUCCUCUGUAGAAUGUGUUGAUAAGCGUGGCAUGUGGAAAACCGUGAUGAGGACACUCCCUGUAGUAAUCUUUGAACAUCUCCCAAGCAUCAUGGAAAGACUCCGUACCACUUGCUGAAAGGUAGUGAUCUUAUUCCUCAGAAGAGCUGUCCUGGAUUGGGUGAAGUAAUAUGUUAAGAAAACAGCUUUGUAGUCCUCCCAUCUUCGUAGAUUAUCAAAAUUCAACGACCUGAACGUGCAUCGUUCCUGGGAAUAAGAGGAUACUGGAAUCUGUCCCGAUAAUGUUCAGCAUUAGGGGUAUCAUGAUCUCUCAGCGUUUGCCGAACAGGUACAGGUCUUUGGUUCUGUGCUGCUAAACGUGCAGCUUCAGCUUGUGCAGCAGCUUGUACAGCAGCAGCGUUCCUAGCAUAAGGUAUCUGAGGAAGUUCUUGAAACUGAUGUUGGUGACUUCAGCCAUUUCAACAACUCUUGCUUGUGCUUGCUUUUUCCUUCUGUUUGCUCUCUCAAACUUUCCAAUAUCAGCUUGGUAUUCUGCGAGAUAUGAUGAGCCUUCGCUACGGGUCAUACACCUGAAAACACCACAGAGAGAACAAAAGUGAUAAUUAGUAACUGUAAAAAAAUGCUCUAGACUAAAAACUAAUCCUAAAUCUUUAGGUAACGCAAUUUCUCCCCAGCAGCGGCGCCAACUUGAUUACUUGAGUAUUUAACCCGAUAACUUAACCGAAGUAAAGUAUAUGCGGGAUCGAUCACAAGGAGCACUGGUACACUAAAGACUUGCGAGACUCGUUCUUAGCUAAAGAUUAAGAACAUGUAUAUUGAAGAACCUAAAGAUUAAGAAUUCCCUAAUACAUCAAAUCUAUCAAAUCAUUGAAUUCUUCUACUUGAAACCUUAAAACCCAAUUAAGAGUCUACUCAGACAUAGCAAUUGAAACAAAGCAAAUAGAUAUGAAAGAAACCAUAAUGAAAUUGCAAAUAUAAUAAGAAAGGGUUUAGAAAUCUUCUCCAAGUGUCAAGAGGAUGGAUUCUUCUCCCUAAAUUGUUUAGAAAGCAAAGGACAAUGUUUAGAACUCAAAAAUAUGAAGGAUCCAUGCUAACAAGUCGAGCCUAGGGUAUAAUAACAAUAGGAGACGAGUUGGAUCUGUUUCGGAUCGAAUAUGCGCCAAAAUCUGCGUCAGAGGUAAGGGACGGAUCGAUCCAAAUGUAGACCGAUCGGUCUAAUGCUCCCAGGUUUUACUUCUCCAUCAGCUUCAACAACUCGUCAGAAUGACCUGUCUUCACGAAAUCGGGUGUAACUCUUGAAUGCACCGUUAGAUUUCCUUGAAAUCACUUUCAAAUGAAAGCUAACAUCUGUAUAUAUCUUGUGUCAAAAUAAGAGAAAGAUCUAACGGUGGAAAGGCAUCCAUAUGAUCCCAAACAUCUGACACUUCUACAUGAAUCUGCAUCUCCAAAUGUGUGUUUGCAUCCCAAAACAGCUCGUUUUAUUCCAAAGCAACCUAAAACCUGUGAAGACUCAAAAAUGUACUAAAAGACUCUAAAAACACACUUUGACUCAAUAAAAUUUAUAAAAUGAAAGAGGAAAGAAAGACUUAAAACUGAUAAAAACACAGUAUAUCAUGUACAUUUGCUCAUGCAAACUUAAUUUCACUCUCUGUAUAACAAAGAUGAAAUUCCAAUUUAUUACAACUGAAUGACAUGAGAAUUCUUAUAAAUAUGUGUUCAUUUCGUUUAACAAUGAUCAGCAUCUUUCAUUAAAUCAUUUACAAUGUGUUACAUUAAUAAAUUGGAACUACAUUACUUACAUAUUAAAGGUAAUAUAAUUCUAAUUCAAUUAAACUUGUUUUCCAAUAUUUUUUACAACUAUAAGUAAUUAGCAAACCAAAAAUAAAAAUUACAAAAGAAGGACGACUUUGGAUCUUGAUUCUUCGUUCCCUGGCUUCAUCUUCAUUCUUGAUUUCUAAAAUAAUGCCGAACAGCGAACUCGGAACUGUGAAUUGAAAGUUAGAUUAUUAUCAAAAUAUUAUCAUAAACAUAAAGAAACCAAUCAACACAUAAGAGAACUUACAUGGUACGAUGACUUUGGAGACCUUCUUCUUGAACAUUUAGGUAAAUCCUAGUUGCUCCACUACCAAUAUGUGGAUCAUUGGUAAUGCAAGGGACUCCUAUAUUGUUCAUGUGGGUUUAAAAACUGUAGUCAGUUAAAAACCUUAACAACAAUUGAAAUUAACAAACAAAAUAUACAAUACUUACCUUCAUACUUAGACACUCGCCAUAAACGAAAGAUACAAAACACAAGAUCCGUUUUGUAUGUCAGAUGGUACCCACCUUCUUGCCAAAGGUUGUUGAAGUAUUGAACAGCACCGCCAAUCAUAUGGCAUAGAAGUUGUUCAUUCCUGAAAAGAUGUAACAUUUUAACUAAGACUUCUCAUCAUCACUGAAUAAGUAAUCCAGAUGGUAAAUAAGUUACUACAAAUCUAACCUCCCAUUGAUCAAUUUGAUAACUAAUCCAUUGAUCUUUAUAGUCAUCGCAUCUUUACUGUCAGUAAAAUCCUCUUCUUUCACUUGACUAACAUCAACAAUGCAGCUAUAGAAAUCUAACAUAAUCACAAAAUCCAAUUUUAUGACUAAGUGCUAUUAAAUGUAAGGAUCAUAUAGUUGUACGAUUAUAUAUUUGUUUUGUAGAACUAAAAAGUAAAAAUCACUAACCGUAAGAGUUGUUAGAUGGAAGCAACUCUCUAGCAACAUGGUGGAAAUCUUCAAACCUGUAAAACUUCUUCAGUGAAUCUGGACUAAUCUCCAUCAUGUAGGUCUUCUCUGUUAGCUUUAUCUGGUAUGGAUAAAUUGUAUUCCUCUCUUUAAGAAUAGCAGGGAUGACUUUGAAGUCCCUUAUAAUAUACCACUCACCAUCAUAGACGUGUCGUGGUAUUUCAGGAUUCUUCAAACCGGGAGGAAUCGUUAACUCUAUUCUAUCACCCUACAAAAAUUGUUCCUUUUCUUAAUCUAAACUUAUUGACUAAGUAAUCUAUAAAUAUAAAUUUAAACGUCAAUUUAAGAAAGUGAAUUACCUUUAUAUCAGCGAGUACCAUAACCCUUUUCAUAAAGAAAUCACGAGCAUGCCAAGUACUUAAAACCUUGGCCCUUACGAUGGAACCAUUACUUCUUGGGGUUAAAUCAGCUAUUGCAUCGAUCUUCAUGGUUGACAUGAUUAAGUUUUUGAAAGAUUAAAUUUAAGGUUGGAGUUAGGGUUGAAUAGUUUCGUCUUCUUUGACGUUAUGUUAAUGGAAGUAAAAAAAAACGGUUUUUAAUAUAGUGAAUAUAUGCGACUUUUGAUCUGUAUCGUUCCGAAGGUUAAUAGGAAAAGAAUAAUGCCUUUUCGUAAUAUUAAAAUAUUUUAGAGUGAAUUGAGAUCAAUAUAGAAGAUAUUAGUGUCUUAUGGUUUCCAUAUCAAUCAUAUCAUAGACUUUAGCUUCUGUAUAAAUGUUGACUAUUUGGUAAACAUAUGUAAGAUAAGUUUAUAUGUAUUUUAUUAUUUCAAUGAUCUCUGAGCUGUCUAAUAAAUAUAUAAGGGUCUGCAUGAAAGUGAUUUUCAAAACAUAAGAAUAUUUGGUAAGUAUAAUAGUAAUAUAUCAUAAAAUGAUGUAUUCAAUAAUAAGGAUUUACAAAGAAAUACAAAUUACACUACAUAACUACAAUUUUCAAUUAUUUUCCUCAUUAUUUUUCGUCAAUUGUGAAUUUUUAAGAGAUGUAUUCAAUCGAUAAACUGAUCUAUGUAUAGGAUUGAGUAAUCAUAAUCAUGACUAAUUUUAUUUUUCCUAUGCAAAAAAAUUAUUGGAACUUGGUUUUUUCCUUUGUAUGCCCAUUUUAAGUAAUAAUUGUAUAAGCUAAUCAUAUUUAAAUUUGGGCUAAUUUUGGGCCUUCUUUUUUGGUUUAAUUUCAGUUAAACCCAUUACUUUUAAAAAUUUUAAAAUAUUAAAACCGAUCAAAAUAUAUAAAAGCAAUAGAUACUCGAAACUAAAUAAAUUAAACCAAACAAGGAAAUAGUUAUGAAAUAAAAAAAAAUAAAAAAAUCCUAGAAUGUUUGUAAAACCGAGACAGAAAAUUAGUCAAGUUUAUGUUUUUCCUUCUCUUCCUUUGUAGCAACCUUGACAUCAUCUACUUCACCCAUCUUCGAACAUUGCUUUUUGGAUGUUGAUGAUUGGACAUCUCCUUCUUUCAGGUUACUCGAAUCUCUUUUUGAUGAUGGAGUUGAGGAAGUAGAGAUACCAACUUCAGAGGUCUCAACACCAUUGCUUAUCAUCAGAGAACCCUAUAAAACUUAAAUUAUGUAAGAGAUGAUAUAUAAAUCCUAACCCUUGUGUAUAUAGAAUAAUUUGAUGACAUUACUAUUGAUAAAUUACCAUUUUAAAAUUACUAACCUGAUCAGCCGAGUAAAAUGAUGAUUGAUCAACAUAUGUAUCUGAUAAGGAAAUUUCAGGGACUGAUGAAAUUUUCCCAUCAGAAACUUGGGCAACCCUAAAAAUGUCACAUUUACCAUGAAUAUGUUUGGGCUCGAUGCAAAGAAGGAAAACAAAUGAUUUCCCAACUAAAGCUUUGAUCGGAUCUAGCAAAUCUGUGGGAUCUUCAAACUAUAUAAUCAUUGAGUUAGUAAUGUAUUCUGAUUAAAUUUUUAUUUGGUAUAAUGUUAAUAAAUAAUAUACCAAAUCAAAUGAUCCUUUAGGUAUAAUGUCAGUUGCAGCCGUCCCAACGAUUUCUUCAGCAAAACUGUCAAACAACAUAACUCUUGUCUCACCAAUAUGGUCCAUGACAUUAAGGUGAAUCCAGAACCUUAUUAUAUGAUAAUGACAACACAUAUCAAUACUAAAUAAAAUGAAUCAACUUUCAUCGGAAUAUAAAAAUAUUUUGUUUUAAAAAAACUCACUUUGGAGAGACGCCUUUAGCGUAAAUUUUACAGACCUCACACCAGAAUUUUGGUAUAGGUUUUGUUUUAACAUCUUCCAGCUUAAUGACGUCUUCCUUGUUAAUUUUUUGGUGCAUUUUUGACAUGCAUAUUAGAACCAAGAAUAGUCGGUAUCAUUUUCUUUAACCGUACAAAGAGUGCGACACGGUCCAACCUAAAAUUGGGUAAAUGGACAUGUGAGUAGAAUGGAUUGUAAGAUAAAACAUCUUCUUAAAAUAAGUAAACGAAAAUAUGAAACUUACCUCAGUUGCUUUCAGCAUUUCCUCAAUAGUCAUGAUAGGAUACUCAUCCAUGUCUUCUUUUUUAGUACGACCAAAAAAGACAAUUGUCUGUAAGUUACUCACGACCGUCAAUUCCAAACCAUCACUGGUAAGGCUGUUUACAUAAUAUUCAAAAUAAAAUGAUAUUAGUUAUAACAUUUAUAGAGUAAAUAAUUACUAAUUUUAAUCUUUUUCGGAAACAUACCUUUUCUUAAUGUCUUCAAACAUAGGUAUGGCCAUAUUAGUAAGCAAUUGUGAUGAGUCAUAAGAAUUAGAAACACUCCAAACAUCUGAAUUAGUGAAUAAAUAUUUAUGAUUGUAAUUGUGAAAGUCUUUUACUCUGUAUACAGGAUAUAUUUUUAUGUAAAACCAUAUAUCACGUAAAUUGUUAUGUUACCGUUGAAAACAUUGACUUUGGCAAAUCGUAUCAAACAAAAUACAAUACUAUCCGUCGAUUCUUGACAUGCUUGACUUAGUGAUUCAUCAUAUUUUCCCCACAGUGUACAUAACACUCGAGUACCCCUAUUAUAGCGAAUAAUUAAUAUUUGAAAAUAAUAGAAAUAUUUCCUACCAAGUAUUUUCAUGAAUUGUUAAUUUAAACUUGAAAAUUUGUAAGCUUACUCGUUGUUUCUCAAGUGAAAGUCGAUGUUCUUGGUAGGCUUAGUAGAAGUAGGAAUAUCUUGAAUCUUAGCACAAUUAUCGACUUGGCCCAAAAAGUCUGCAAUGUGAAAAGUAAGCAAAAUUAGUUAUAGAUUUUAACUAAACAUUUAAAAUAAUUUAAAACUAAUAAAAACAUAACUAACCAAAUAAAUAACUCUUGUUUUGUUUCCCAUUAAGAACGUCAUCAUAACUGGCCAAUUGAAGAAACAUAUCGUCGGAAAUGUUUUCAGAAGCGGUAACAAUUAUUUUCGACGUGAAACCAAUCUUAAACUUUAUGUCCGAUAUUUUCAAUGCACCAUAAAAAGGAGUUAAAGCAAAAAUAGAAAUAAUGAUCCAAGAAUUUGGGAUUAAAAUUUUUUCAAACUUUUUGAUAUGCUCCUUUUUGACUUUAGCAGCAAUCUAAUGACCCUAUGAAAAAUUCAAAGCAAAUAAAAUUUAAUAUCAAACUUAUAUAAUUAAAAUCAAUACUAUUAUAAUGAACAAUUAUUAUAAUUGUAACUUACAGAAAUGUCGACCAAAAACAUCUCAAUUGUUUCACCAAUUUUGGUGGAAUACUGCUUCCAAAUAUGCAAAACCUUCACUUGAAUACGCCAAUUAACUUUGUAUGGUUUUAGCGCAUUAAGAGAAGUGAUGGGGAGUGUAGCGGCUAACAUCUUAUGAUUCUCUAGUUUUAGUUAAUCGUUUAGUUAUGAUAGGUAUAAAUAAAAAUUGGUUUGUUUAUAGUGUUAUAGAUUAAAUAAAUUUUAAUGUUUAUAACACUUUUACAUUUUAUUUAUUUAAAUCAUACAAUAGAAGCAUACAUCCAUCUCUUUUGAAUUUAUUCGUUGAUUAAUUGUUCAAUUUUGAUAGUAAUUUUCUUUAGUGCUUUUAAGUAUUUUUUGAUAAAACAAUAAUAUUGUUAAUGAUAAAAAUAGGAAUUAUAUUGGGAGAAUUUAAAAAUACCCUUUUAAAAAUACCACUUUUUAAAUAUACCCCAUUUUGAAACUUUAUCAAAACAACCACUAAAAAUGUUAAAAUUUAUCCACAUAUAUGUGUAAACUUAUGAAUAUACACACAAAUUACCUUUAUUUGUGUAUAAAACUUUAUUUAUUUCAAUGUCUUACAAAUUGUUUUGAAUAUAACCAAAAAUUAUUUUGUUAAAAUAAUUACAUACUUUGAAAAUAAAAUAAAUAUACAUGAAUUUGUGAGAAAGAAAAAAACAUAUAAAGUAAAACAAUGAAGAUGGUUUAUUUAGCUUGAUUUUCUUAUGGUGCGAUGGUCAGAAAUCAAUAUUUUUGAAUCCCAUCGAUAAAGUAAUUUCCUUAUAGCCAUAAAAUAUUAUUAUACAUAUGUAUUAUAUAUUUAAUAGUAUAAAAACAAUGAAAAAUAAAAAAGUACAUAAAAUAAAGAAGAAAUAUAAUUGAAAACAAAAGUUUUAACCAAAUAUAUAAUCAAGCUCUUACAAUGAUAUCUUAAUUGAGCUUUCAACCCAUGCAAGAACUUUAAAAAUUAAACAAAGAAAAUAUUGAAAAUAUCAGAUAUGGUGGAGGAGGAUGUAAAAAUGAGUAUUUAUAGGAUAAAAUAUGAUGUAAGUUAUAAUUCUAAAAUAAUUAAAUUAGAGGAGUUAUAAUUAUAUUUUAUAGUGUGUUAAUUGAAAUUGAAUGGAGGAAACAAAUAGUCAAUUGAAAGGUUAUAUAAUUUAAGUUACAAUUUAAUAGUAAAGUGUGGAUUUCAAGUAUGAAUUAAAGUAUAUGACUAAAUGUGUUAGAUAUUUGGUCUAAUUAAAAAUAAAUAUUAUAAUUAAAAAAUAAAUGCUAAAUGGACCAAUAAGGAGAAACCUUAAAAAAAUUCCCAAAGAAUAAUUUUAUNNNNNNNNNNNNNNNNNNNNNNNNNNNNNNNNNNNNNNNNNNNNNNNNNNNNNNNNNNNNNNNNNNNNNNNNNNNNNNNNNNNNNNNNNNNNNNNNNNNNCUCUAAGUUUAAUUAUAUUUUUCAUCGUUGUAGUAUAUAUAAUAUAUAGAAAAUUGAAUAUCCAAUUGUUUUUUAUAUAGGAAAUCAAGUAUAAAAUUCAAAGUUAACAAAAAUUAUAAUGUUGUUUAUAUUAUUACAUGUUGAAUCACAAACUAUAUAUAAGGAUCAUUAUUCUUAAAAGAAUGUCUUACAAUUUGGUUUAAUAAUUAUAUAACAAAAAGUUUAUUUUGUUAAAAAAUUACAUACUUUUGAAAUUAAAAUAAAUAUACAUGAAUAUGUGUGAAAGAAACAAACAUCCAAUGUAAAAUAAUGAAGAUGGUUCUUUAGCUUGAUUUUCUUAUAACCAUAAAAUAUUAUUAUACAUAUGUAUUACAUUUAAAAAUAUAAAAAACAAUGAAUACAUAAAGAAAUACAUAAAAACAAAAAUAAAUAAAAUUGAAAACAAAAGUUUAAACUAAAUAAUUAAUCAAACUCUUACAAUGAUAUUUUAAAUAAGUUUUCACCCCAUGCAAGUAAAAAAAAAAAACAAAGAGAAUAAUGAAGAUAUGAGAUAUGGUAGAGAAGGAUGUGAGAAUGGCUAUUUAUAUGAUAAGAAGUGAUGUAAGUUACAUUUUUAAAAUAAUUAAAUUAGAGGAGUUAUAAUUAUAAUUUAUAGUGUGUUUAAUUGGAGUUCAAUAAAGAAAAGUGUGAAUUUAUAGUGUGUCUUUGGAAAUUUAUAUAAUAUUCAGUUUCAUUUUAGUAGUAAAGUGUGAAUUUAAACUAUGAAUUAAUGUAUAUAAUUAAAUAUGUAUUUUUGGUUUAACUAAAAAGAAAUAUUAUAUUUUAAAAAAUAAAUACAAAAUGGAACAAUAAAGAGAGUGAAACCUUACUUUUAUAUAUAUGAUUUUAAAUAAUUUUCCACCAAUAAGCCUUAUAAAAUUUGUUGAAUGAUAUAUGAUUAAGUCCUUUCAUUUUCUUUGCCAUUUGAUUAUAACUUAUAGUGUAAUUAAAUUUUGUAUUGAAUGAUUGUCAUAAACAUUUAUUUCUUUAUUUAUUUUGUUGAAUGAUAUAUGAUUAAGUCCUUUCAUUUUCUUUGUCAUUUGACUAUAAAUUAUAGUGUAAUUAAAUUUUGUAUUGAAUUAUUGUCAUAAAAAAUUAUUUAUUUAUUUAAAAAAAUAAAAUUAAAGCCUUAAAUAUUUUUCCACCAAUAAGGAGAGAGUGAAACCUUACUUUUAUAUAUAUGAUUUUUUUUGACAAAUGGGUUUUUUAUUAUAUACUAAAAACGGGCCUUUAUACAUAAGGGAAAAAAUUGGACCCUUUAACACUGAAAAUAAUAAAAUAAAAAAAUAAAACAAUUGGGCCCUCUUUCCCCUUAAAAUGUUUUUUUUCUUCACGGGCCAUUGGGCCGUCGCCCCUCUGCCCUACCCAUCCGAGCCGGGCAUGUUUGUGUGCUAAUAGUUCAUAAAAUAAAGAGUUAAUAGCAUUGUAAGUCACUUUUUGAAAAGUAAUACCAAGGAAAGUCACUUUCUCUUUUGCUCAUGAUAUAGUUAAAAUAUUGUGCACAAAUAGCCUUCAUUAUUAGGAUUUACCCCGUGGUACACCAUGGGUCCAUAAUUUAAUAUAUUUCUUUGGUUAAUCAUUUUUGUAGUUGCUUUAUGUAGUUUAUUUUUAUACGUGUUUAUUUCAUUUAACUUAAUAUAAUUUUAUGAAUUGGCAUUAUAAGAAGAUUCAAAGAUAUAUGUUGUUAACCCGUGGUACAUCGCGAGACGAUUUUGUUGUAAAUAAAAAAUUAUAUUUUAACUUAACCCGUAAAAGAUUCUAAAUAUAGACAGCCCGCAGAAAAAUAUAAUCAUAUUUAUGUAAACUUAAACCCGUUCAAUCAUAUAUGUACAAUAUUAUUAUAUUUUAAAUAUUUUUAGAGUUAAAGUAUUAAUAUAAUUUUAAUUUUUGUAGAGUUUAAAUAUUAUUCAUUAUUUUAAUAUUCUAUAAAACUGAAAUAAAUAUCAUAAUUAUCAGCUUGUUUAAAAAAUUAAAUUUUAUAAUAUUCUGAAACUUUAUAAAAUUUUUAUUUUUCUUAAAUAAAGAACCGGAUUAAACUAAUAAAAUUUUUAAUUUGGAUACUUGAGAAAUCAAAGUUCAUGCUCAUUUGUAGUUGUAAACAUAUUAGUCUUAUUUAUAAUGGUUUUGAACUAUUAUCUAAAUUUCUAUCUUAUAUAGACGUUGUACAUAUAUUUUUUCCUUUAUUGAUUGAGUUAAAUAUGUCUGUUUUCAAAAUUUUAAAUUGCAAAAUGUGUGGGAAUUUUUUUAUUUUUAUUAUAAAUAUAUUUCAUGUAAUGAUAUAAAUUUAAAACAAAUAUGAUGAUAUAAAUAUUUUGAAUAGAGAUUCAGUUUAUUAGAGAGAGAUUUUAGGAAAUUUUUGAUGUAAUAAAUAUUUGUAUCCAAUUUUGCGAUUUGCUUAUGAUUUAAUUACAAAAUUUACUUUUAAGUUUUGUUAUUUAUUCAAAUGGCAGGGGUUUGAUUUUGCAAAUAUUAAAAAAUAAAAAAUUAUAAGUCAAAAUAAAUUUUAAUAAAAAAUGUACUUCAAAAAUGUUAAGAUAGAUUCUCUAUAAUAUCUAAUUUGCCAUUGUAAUCAAAACAAAAUCCUCUCUCCUACCACUGUUAUAUGUAUCUUCUUCUUCCUUGUAACUCUUCUUCGGUGUCAUAUUCUCAUACAUAUUAACUUCUUUAUGUACUUUGAUGGGAUAGCAGUGUUAUUGAUUCAGUAUGAAUGGGAGAGACGGGUGUGGUUAAAUGCGAACAUAUUCUCAUACAUGAAUGGGAGAACUGGUUUAAAGCUUGUUCUCGUUGACGGUCAAAUAUUUUUCAUUUUAUUUACCGGGAGAAUCUACUACUUUUACUUCGCCACAGAAGAUACAUCAUACCCAAAGAUCGAAUCUGUUAUGUUUACCUAUGUCGUUGAAAUACUCUUACUUGUCCACAUCCACAUGUACUUGUCCAUAUAUCGUAACUUAUGACAGAGAAAUAGAAAGCCUUAAAUCAGUUAUUUUCUUCUUCUAAUGUCACCUAUAUCCACAAGUGCAUGUCCAUUUAUACAUACUCACCCAUAUCCACAAGUGCAUGCACAUUUUUUAAAACUUAUUUCUUUCGUUUAUAAAAUUGUCGUAAGGUUUUAGGGUAUAGGUUUGGACUUUUAUGUGAUUUUUAGUGUUUGUUGUUUAGUUUUAAAUUUUUCUUUAUUUACUUUUAUUAUCUAUAAAUAUGACCACAUUUACGUUCAAAUUCACCUUAACCUAAUUGUCAUGUGGACAUUUACGUUAGUCAACUUGUCCAAUAAAAUGACAUCAUGUGGAUAGUUACAUCUAUCAUUUGUGAGUUGUUUCUGAUUCAACUAGGGGUAAUUCAUCUGGACACAUUGUAUUGGUCAUUACAGAAAACUAUUCAUUCAACAACUCAAGCAUACUUUCUCAAUAGCCAUCUCGAAUUCCCGUACCACUGCUGCUCUACAUUCUAUUAGAUACAUACCAUUGUAAAUCGGAACCACCCUCAAAACUUUAUUACUGUCCAUAUCGAACUUCCAAUUCCCUUCUUUGCAACACCGCAUCUCCUGCAAAUCACUAUAGUGAAAUCAUCCAUUUGUUCCUGUCCAUUUUAACAUUUCAAAAACAUUGCCAAGAAUCAUAUAGGAUAACAUUUUGCUAGAUCCAUAUCAUUGGACGGUAUAGGUCAUCGAUAUCCAAAAAAACCUCAUUCAAAUGAUCGCUUUUUGCAACAUCAUACAUAUACAGAUCGUUCGUCCAUUUUCCUUCAACCAAUUGUUUACUUGUAGAUGGACAAAUUCUGACCAUGUGAGGAACGUGGUUGUUCAAAAGUAACCACUGUUCAAAAUUAAGAGCAUGGCCUAAUUAACUGCUCUUUCUACAAUUUAAAACCAGAAAUUUUUAUUUUUUUAAAUCAAAGAGACGGGAAAAGACCAUUGCAGACACAUUCGUGGUUAAAAAAAAAUUUAAGAAGCAACUUUGUUUCCUAUAAUAAAACUUUGAAUUGUAAGUAACGUUACUAAAAUAUAACUAAAAUCCAAACCUUUGUUACUUGUUGGAUUUAACUUUCCAGGGUUAUUUUAGCCCAUUUUGGGGACAAACAGUCCAAUAUUCUCCCACCGCUUAUAUACUUACCUUUUCCAAAUAUCACAACUUGAAAGUGACUUAUAUGGUAAAUCACUCUAAACUAAAUUGUCCUAUUUUUCCGAAAAUACCCUUCUCAAUUUAGAAAACUAUUUUCUCUUCAAUGUAAUUAAGGGUAAUUUUAGGAAUCAAAGCCAAUAUUAAUCAAUGAUUAAAUGUGUACUUCUCUUUUAAUAUAUAAGAGGAUAUAAGACAAUGUGGGUUACAAGGUUAUUUCGAAAGUCCUAUGUGAGAGACUAAAACCGGUUCUCCCAGGUAUCAUCUCGGAAACACAGUCUGCAUUUGUUGCAGGGCGGCUGAUAUCAGAUAAAAUUCUGAUUUUCAGGAAAUGUUUCAUGGACUUCGUACUAAUGCGUCUUGUAAAAGUAAAUUUAUGGCUGUGAAAACGGAGAUGAGUAAAACAUAUGAUAGAGUGGAAUAGGUGUUUAUUGAAAACUUGUUACGUAAAAUGAGGUUUGCGAAAAAAUGGAUUUCAUGGAUUUUAUUUUGUGUUUCUACAGUAGAAUAUAGUGUCUUGAUAAAUGGGGAUCCUAGAGGGUCGGUCAUCCCGGGAAGGGGGUUAAGGCCAUGGACAUUGCAAGGACUGCAUUUGGUCCCAAAAAGAAAAAAACUUUAAUUUUUUUUUACGAUUUACGAUUUAAAAACAAGACGACCAAUCGCAGGCCGCCACGUAUCAGUGGAGCCCUCGAAGAAGGCAGGGACCGUCCCUCUUGGACGUACGUCCCGCUUUUUCUUUUCUUUUUUUGAUUUUUUUUUGAUUUUUUGGGUGGGGACAGGGCAAGGACUAACAAUGCCCCUGCCCUAAGGUAGGGGUACCCUUUAUCCCCCAUAUUUGUUCAUUUUGUGUACUGUGGUAUUAAUUGCUAAGAUUCGAAGGGCGGAACAGGAUAAGUUACUCACUAGAAUAAAUUUGGCGAAUAAGGGUCCGUCUAUUUCACACUUAUUGUUUGCAGAUGAUAGUUUAUUCUUCUGCCAGGCGAACAAGGAACAUUGUACGGUUAUUUUGGGGAUUCUAAAGGAGUACGAGACCGUUUCUGUGCAGCAAAUAAAUUUUGCAAAAUCGUCCCUUCAGUAUGGUCAUAAGGUUGAUGGGACUAUUAGAGUGGAAUUACAGAAUAUCCUGGGAUAUCAAACCUGGGAGGAAUGGGGUCUUAUCUAGGUUUACCAGAAUGUUUGGGAGGAGCAAAGUCAAAUGUUUUCUCCUUUGUACGGGAUAGACUAAAUUAUCAUAUUCACGGUUGGUCUGCUAAAUUGCUUUCGAAGGGAGGAAAAGAAGUAAUAAUUAAGUUAGUGGUAUCGGCUUUGUCGACGUAUGUGAUGUCUUGAUUUCGGCUACCGAAGACAAUUACAUCAAAACUUACCAGCGCCGUAGCGAAUUUCUGGUGGAGUACGAACGGUAUAUCAUGCAGUAUGCAUUGGCGAGCAUGGGAGAAAUUGUGCUCUAGCAAACAGUCGGGUGGACUCGUUGUUAGGGAUGUCUAUGAUUUUAAUCCGUUGGAACCACUUAAAUCAUACUCUCCCUCAUAUGGGUGGAGGAGUAUUACUUCAGCUAGAUCUCUGGUUAAUAGAGGAUUUAUUUUACGGGUAGGAUCGGGUGACUCUGUGUCUGUCUGGACAUAUCCCUGGAUCCCUGCUCAAUUCCCGAGACCAGCCUUGAGUAAUGGGUCGCUUAUGGAUCCAUCUCUUCAGAUAUGACAUUUGAUUGAUUGUCAAACCAAUUCAUGGUGUUUGGAUACGCUUAAUAUGUAUUUUACUCCUGUUGAUGUUUCACUGAUCUAUGCUUUACUUAUUGGUAAUAGGCCUGCGCCAGAUGUUCUUGGAUGGCAUUUUACAAAAAAUGGGAAAUACACGGUUAGAUCUGGUUUUUCAUGUGGCUCGAAUGCCGGAUUCAAAAUUUUCUAUUAUAACGGUGGAGGGGCCUAACAUAAAUCCGCUUUUCAUGGAAAUUACAGUGCCCACCUAAAAUUCAACAUUUUCUAUGGCAGAUUCUGACAUGCUGCAUUUCGGUCUCAGCAAAUUUAAGGGCUCGAGGUUUACGUUGUGAUUCUAACUGUUUAAGGUGUGGUGAUCCAGCGGAGACAGUUAAUCACACUAUGUUUGAAUGUCCACCAGCUCGCCAAGCAUGGGUUUGGCGAAUAUCCCUGUGGGCCCGAAUAACUUUCCGACAAACUCGGUUUAUGCUAAUAUGGCUUAUCUAUUCGAUUUGCCUUUAAUUGACGAAUGGCUUCUAUCCUUGGUUAUUAUGGUAUAUAUGGAAGGCUAGAAAUGAAAAUGUGUUUAAUAGUGGGGAUGAGAGUCCGCUAGACGUGGUUAAGAUUGCGAAAGAUGAGGCAAAGACCUGGCAAGAGGCCCAAGUUGAAGAUGUGGAGCUCGAUCGGCACCCUUUAUCGGAAAUUCCUCGGAUACAACCUCGUGGACAUAGAUUAUCUUUGUAUUUUACAGGGUACAUGUGCUUCAUUGAUGGCUCCUGAAAGGACACAUGUAAAUUCUCAGGCUUACGAUGGUUCUGCCAGCACGCUGAGGAUGGCUCAACAACUAUGGGAGCAAAAAACUCUCAACGGAGACUUUCACCUUUACAUUUACAUUCUGAAGUAGAAUCUUUUGUGUGGGCGAUGCGAUGUAUGAUCGGGCAUAAUUUCAGAGAUGUUGCUUUCCUUACAAACUUUUCGGGUCUUGGGAAGAUGGUGUCUUCCCCGCUCGAGUGGCCGUCGUUUUCUGUAUAUCUUGAUGAUAUAACUGUCGACAAGGAGGAAUUUUCUACAUUUUCACUGUCUCUUAUUUCUCGAAAUGCAAAUGUCCAAGCGGAUAAGUUGGUACGGAAUGUCCGUUCCACUCCGCAUUCUGUUCUGUAUGUGAACAAUUUUUCCUCUAAUUGGCUUUUAUAAGCCAGUUCUAUAGUUAUUGUUGACAAAAAAAACAUGUAUAAUAAAAGUUAUUUUUUAAAAAUUGGUAUUAUGCAAUCUUAAUAUUUAUUAAAUAAACUCAAAAAACAAAUUAUGUUAAAUCCAAAAAAAACUAUAUCUAAAAGAUAAUUUUAAGCAAAUCAUAUAUAUAAAAGUAAGGUUUCAUUCUCUCCUUAUUGGUGGAAAAAUAUUUAAGGCUUUAAUUUUUUUUUUUAAAUAAAUAAAUAAAUGUUUAUGACAAUCAUUCAAUACAAAUUUUAAUUACACUAUAAGUUAUAAUCAAAUGGCAAAGAAAAUGAAAGGACUUAAUCAUAUAUCAUUCAACAAAAUAAAUAAAUAAAUAAAUGUUUAUGACAAUCAUUCAAUACAAAAUUUAAGCACACUAUAAGUUAUAAUCAAAUGGCAAAGAAAAUGAAAGGACUUAAUCAUAUAUCAUUCAACAAAAUAAAUAAAUAAAUAAAUGUUUAUGACAAUCAUUCAAUACAAAAUUUAAUUACAAUAUAAGUUAUAAUCAAAUGGCAAAGAAAAUGAAAGGACUUAAUCAUAUAUCAUACAACAAAUUUUAUAAGGCUUAUUGGUGGAAAAUUAUUUAAAAUCAUAUAUAUAUAAAAGUAAGGUUUCACUCUCUUUAUUGUUCCAUUUUGUAUUUAUUUUUUAAAGUAUAAUAUUUAUUUUUAAUUAAACCAAAAAAACAUAUUUAAUCAUAUACAUUACGUUUCACACUUUACUACUAAAAUGAAACUGAAAAUUAUAUAAAUUUCCAAAAACUAUUGGUUUUCUUUAUUGAAUUCCAAUUAAACACACUAUAAAUUAUAAUUAUAAGUUCUCUAAUUUAAUUAUUUUAAAAAUGUAACUUACAUCACUUCUUAUCAUAUAAAUAGCCAUUCUCACAUCCUUCUCUACCAUAUCUCAUAUCUUCAUUAUUUUCUUUGUUUUUUUUUUAAGUUCUUCCAUGGUGUGAAAACUCAUUUAAAAUAUCAUUGUAAGAGUUUGAUUAAUUAUUUAGUUUAAACUUUUUUUUCAAUUUUAUUUAUUUUUUGUUUUUAUGUAUUUCUUUAUGUCUUCAUUGUUUUUUAUAUUUUUAAAUGUAAUACAUAUGUAUAAUAAUAUUUUAUGGUUAUAAGAAAAUCAAGCUAAAGAAACCAGCUUCAUUAUUUUACAUUGGAUGUUUGUUUCUUUCUCACAUAUUCAUGUAUAUUUAUUUUAAUUUCAAAAGUAUGUAAUUUUUUAACAAAAUAAAAUUGGGAGAUUUGCACAACUAACCUUUAUUAUGAUACCCUUUUCUACAAAUACCCUCUCUAGGUGUUCAUUUUCAAUAAUACCCUCUUCAAUGUACAAAAUGACUAAAUUACCCUCCUUUAUUAUAACCCAUGAUGAAAAAGGAAUAUUCUUUCCAACAAAAAGAAUAUUCCUUCCGAAAAUUUUCCCGCCAAAUUUUCCCGCCAAAAAUUUUCGACAAAAAUUUUCCCGCCAAAAAUAUUUCGGCAAAAAUUUUCCCGCCAAAAAAAUUUCCCGCCAAAAAUUUUCCGCAAUUUCUUAAAAAAACCUUGUAAAUAUUUAUAAAUCCCUUAAAAAUCCUUUAAAAACCUUUGUAAAUCUUUUAAAAGUCAUUCAAAACCUUUCAAAACUUGAGUAAACCUUUUAAAACCAUUGUAAAUCAUUUUAUAACAUUUAUAAACACUUGUAAAUCCCUUUAAACCACUUAUAACCGUGAUAAAUCAUUUAAUAAAAACUUUUGUAAACUUAUAAAACCCGUUAAAAACCCUUGUAAAUCCUUAAAACCCAUUUUAAAGAACUUGUAAUACCUUUAAAAACUUUUGUAAACCCUUCAAAAACCUUUGUAAACUUCUAAAACCCUNNNNNNNNNNNNNNNNNNNNNNNNNNNNNNNNNNNNNNNNNNNNNNNNNNNNNNNNNNNNNNNNNNNNNNNNNNNNNNNNNNNNNNNNNNNNNNNNNNNNAACUUCUUGUAAAUCCUUUAAAACUAUUUUUAAAUCUUUGUAUGCCUUUAAAUAUACUUUUAAAUCCUUUUAAAAACACUUGUAAAUCCUUUUAAAAAACCUUGAAAAAUCCUUGUAAUUUUUUAAAAUCCUUUAAAAAUUCUUGUAAAUCCUUUUAAAACUGUUAUAAACUUAUAAAAACUUUUAAAAACCAUUGUAAAUCAUUUAAAAAUCAUUUAAAAACCUUUGUAGGCUUCUAAAACUCUUUAAAAACCAUUACAAAUCUUUUAAAAACCAUUUAAAAACUCUUGUAAAUACCUUUAAAAACCCUUGUAAACCCUUUAAAAGCCCCUUUAAAAAAUCUUGUAAACCCUUUAAAAAAAUUUGGCGGGAAAAUUUUGAAAAAAUAAAAAAAUUUUGCGGGAAAAUUUUUUGGCCGGAAAAUUUUCUCGGAAAAAUUUUUGGCGGGAAAAUUUUUUCUCAGAAACUUUUUUGGCGGGAAAUUUUUGGCGGGAAAUUUUUGGGGGAAAAAUUUUUUGAAGGAAUAUUCCUUCCCUUGGGAAAGAAUAUUCUUUCAAAUAGGGGUAAAAUAGCCAUUAAAAAUUAAGAGAGGACAAAAAUGAAAAUGGUAAAAAAAGAGGGUAUUUUUAAAAGAGGGUAUCAUAAAAAGGUUAUUGGUAUCAAUUUCUCAAUAAAAUUUUUGUUAUAUAAUUAUCAAACCAAUUUGUAAGACAUUCUUUUAAGAAUAAUGAUCCUUAUAUUUAGUUUGUGAUUCAACAUGUAAUAAUAUAAACAACAUUAUAAUUUUUGUUAACUUUGAAUUUUAUACUUGAUUUCCUAUAUAAAAAACAAUUUGAUAUUCAAUUUUCUAUAUAUUAUAUAUACUACAACGAUGAAAAAUAUAAUUAAACUUAGAGAUAUAGCUUAAAUUAAGAGGAAUAUAAAAUCAAAUUAAAAAAUAAAAUUAUUCUUUGGGAAUUUUUUAAGGUUUCUCCUUAUUGGUCCAUUUAGCAUUUAUUUUUAAUUAUAAUAUUUAUUUUUAAUUAAACCAAAUAUCUAACACAUUUAGUCAUAUACUUUAAUUAAUACUUGAAAUCCACGCUUUACUAUUAAAUUGUAACUUAAACUAUAUAACUUUUUCAAUUGACUAUUUGUUUCCUCCAUUCAAUUUCAAUUAACACACUAUAAAAUAUAAUUAUAACUCCUCUAAUUUAAUUAUUUUAGAAUUAUAACUUACAUCAUAUUUUAUCCUAUAAAUACUCAUUUUUACAUCCUCCUCCACCAUAUAUGAUAUUCUCAAUAUUUUCUUUGUUUAAUUUUUAAUGUUCUUGCAUGGGUUUAAAGCUCAAUUAAGAUAUCAUUGUAAGAGCUUGAUUAUAUAUUUGGUUAAAACUUUUGUUUUCAAUUAUAUUUCUUCUUUAUUUUAUGUACUUCUUCAUUUUUUCAUUGUUUUUUAUACUAUUAAAUAUAUAAUACAUUUGUAUAAUAAUAUUUUAUGGCUAUAAGGAAAUUACUUUAUCGAUGGGAUUCAAAAAUAUUGAUUUCUGACCAUCGCACCAUAAGAAAAUCAAGCUAAAUAAACCAUCUUCAUUGUUUUACUUUAUAUGUUUUUUUAUUUCUCACAAAUUCAUGUAUAGUUAUUUUAUUUUCAAAGUAUGUAAUUAUUUAAACAAAAUAUUUUUUGGUUAUAUUCAAACCAGAUAUUGAAAUAAAUAAAAUUUUAUACACAAAUAAAGGUAAUUUGUGUGUAUAUUUAUAAGUUUACACACAUAUAUGGAUAAAUUUUAACAAAUUUAGUGGUUGUUUUGAUAAAGUUUGAAAAUGGGGUAAAUUUAAAAAGUGGUAUUUUUAAAAGUGUAUUUUUUAAAUUCUCCCAAUAUCAUUCCUAUGUUUAUCAUUAACAAUAUUAUUGUUUUAUCAAAAAAUACUUAAAAGCACUAAAGAAAAUUACUAUCAAAAUUGAACAAUUAAUCAACGAAUAAAUUCAAAGAUAUGGAUGUAUGCUUCUAUUGUAUGAUUUAAAUAUAUAAAAUGUAAAAAUGUCAUAAACAUUAAAAUUUAUUUAAUCUAUUUUUUAUAAGUAAUAAAUAAAUUAAAAUAAUUAAAUAAAUAUACAACAACCCGCGCAUAUGCGCGGGACAUUACCUAGUUUUAGCAUAAUAAAAAAUGUUAAAUUUUAAAAUUAAACACACAGCAGUACUCUCAUUGUCAAAAUCCAGUAAACAUAUAAGAAAUUAGUAAAUUACAUAACUAGUUUCAAUUUUCCAAAUUUUGUUUCUUCUGAAAGUUCCCAACUAGUUCGCCGAGGUUUCCACUCCUCCACUUCCGAGGCCGAUGAGUAGAUAAGUCAAAUAAAGCCCCAAAACAACGAAACUGUCGUCGUCCCUUAUUAAACAAAUAUCAACUUUUUCUACUAUAUCAUUAAACAAUGCUCCAAUGGCCGAAUGAUAAAUUCCUGGAAAUUAUCUUUCGCAGGUCCGUGUAUAAAUAAGUCUUCUUGAGAUUGACCCUUACAAAGAUUCAUCUCUUCAAUUCAAUUCUUUCCAAAGAACACACAGGUACACUAAUCUUGGAAUCCAAACUUUUCUCUAUAUGGGUUUUUUUUUGUUUUGUCUUAAAGUCCAGUUUUUGUUUGGUUUUGUUUUUUCUCUUUUCGUGUAGCUGUUUUUGAUAAGAAGAGUGAUUGUAAUGGAUACUAGAGAGAUCUCUUUACUUGAAGGUGAGACUGAUAAUUACGAUGGUGUUACUGUAACUAUGGUGGAACCUAUGGAUCCUGAGGUUUUUACUGAAUGUCUUAAGGCUUCCCUUUCACAUUGGAGAGAUGAGGUAUUAACAAUGGUUCUUCUCUAUGGUUGUGUUUGUUAAAGAAGACUUAGUCAAGAUUUUUUUAUUCAUCAUAUACUGUUUCUUUUUAAAGCUUCGUUUUUGGAAUGAUUGUGUUGUUAAAGUUUUGAUUUUUAUGAUUUUUGUAGGGGAAGAAGGGAAUUUGGAUAAAGUUGCCUCUUGGGUUGGCUAAUCUUGUGGAAGCUGCAGUUAGUGUAAGUUGCUUUAUAUGUUGAUUGGAGUAUUAGUUGGUUUGACUUUAGUGAUUUUGAUGAGAUGAAGUAUAUUGUGUAUUGGUGAUUCUUCAGGAAGGAUUUAGAUAUCACCAUGCUGAGCCUGACUACUUGAUGCUUGUAUCUUGGAUCGCUAAUACCCCUGACACGAUCCCAGCCAAUGCUUCUCAUGUUGUAGGUGCUGGUGCGUUGGUCAUUAAAAAAAGUACUAGAGAGGUAACCAUACUUUCCCAUUUUUUUAAUCUUAAGGGACUGAAGAAGAGCAUAGAUAUGCAUUUGACUGAAUCGAGAUGAAACCACUUCGAUGAGCAGGUUCUCGUUGUUCAGGAAAGGAGUGGAUUUUUCAAAGAUAAAAAUGUGUGGAAGCUGCCUACUGGUGUAAUCAAUGAGGUGAUUUACAUAAUAGAAAUUUCUGUGAUCUUUGUUGUCUUAUUAAAUAUUUACAAUCCUGGUGAAUGAACUGAAGAGUUAAUCUUAGAAAGAGUUCUUGCUAUCUUGGUCAACGAAGCUCGUAAGAUCCUAUACCUUAUUGCCUUGUGACUAGUGACGGGUGAACUGCUAGUGAAGGUUUGGAUAAUAAAAGGUGUCAGCAUGUUGUUUAGGGUUGUACUUUCUAGUGCUCGGCAGGACAUUUAGUAGUUGGUGAGUUUGAUAAGAAGCAGUUUUUACAGCUUCUGUUUGUAACAGAACCAUAGAGUGUUUACAUUAACUAGGAUAAGCUCUUGCGACAUAAACAUUCUUUUCACAACUUAGGUAGUCAGCCUAGUAUUCAUUUUCGUGGUAGGACAAUGAUGUAAUGUCAAACAUUGGUCCCUGGAAAGAUGAUUGAUUAUAUCAAGUUUGGAAUACAAAGAGAAUGGUGGAAAUGAAGUUCUGAUUGUUUUUUCUGCUUCUAACUAAAACAUUCGAAUUUCCACAGGGUGAGGAUAUUUGGACUGGAGUAGCUAGGGAAGUUGAAGAAGAAACUGGUGUAAGUCUUUGUCUUUCAGAAAUAAAGCAUUUCAGUUAUAAUGAUCUUUUACUUGACAGUCUCAUCUAAAAUCUGUGUUUCACUUCAGAUUAUUGCAGAUUUUGUCGAAGUAUUGGCUUUCAGGUAAAUUACUUGCAUUGCUUUGAUUACAUUUGGUCAGGCUUACCGUAUCAGGUCAUGAUUGAUUUACCUUUUACUCGCAGGCAAAGCCAUAAAGCAAUCUUGAAAAAGAAAACGGAUUUGUUUUUCCUCUGUGUCUUAAGUCCGCGCUCGUAUGAUAUUACCGAACAAAAAUCUGAGAUCUUGGAAGCCAAAGUAAAACAUUUCUCUAACUUUCAAUGUUGAUAUAAUUAAGAAAAUUUUAAAGUAACUGUCACCUAACUGAUAUAUCAUAUUACAGUGGAUGCCUAUCCAAGAGUAUGUAGACCAACAAUGGAACAAGAAGAAUGAGAUGUUCAAGUUUAUGGCUAACAUCUGCCAAAAGAAAUGUGAAGAAGUAUACUUGGGAUUCUCUAUUGUUCCAACUACCACAUCAUCUGGUAAGGAGAGCUUUAUAUACUGCAAUGCUGAUCAUGCUAAUCGCCUUAAAGCAAUGUGUGACCAAGCCUCUGCGUCUCACUGAUAAUAUUCUCAUGUCUCAUCCGAUUAUGUUGGGCCUAACGCAUCUAUGUGUCCAGUGUGUGCACAAAAGGGAACUCUGUUAUAUUUUAUCCGAAUAUACUAAAUUGCGUGCAUGUAUUUGAACUAGGUUUUAACCCGUGGUGUGCCGCGAGACGAUUUCUUUUUAAUCAAAAAAUUUAUAUUUUAAGUUAACCCGUAAAAGAUUUUAAAUAUAGACAAUCUGUAAAAAAAUAAUUAUCAUAGUUAUGUAAAUAUCAAACCUGUUUAAUCAUAUUUAUGUUCAAUAUUAUUAUAUUUUGAGCAUAUUAGUCAUAUUUAUAAUGAUUUUCAACUAUUAUCUAAAUUUUUUAACCUUAUGUAGACAUUAUACAUACAUUUGUCCUUUAUAGAUUGAGUAAUAUACAUCCAUUUUAAAAAUUUUAAUUGCAAAAUAUGCGGAAAAUUGUAUUUUUAUUAUACAUAUGUUUUAUGUUAUAAUAUAAAUUAAAAACAAAUAAAAUUAUAUAAAUAUACUUGAAAGAGAUUCAGUUUAUUAGAGAGAGAUUUUAGGAAUUUUUUUUUGAUGUAAUAAACAUUUGUUAGAUUUUAACCCGCGGUACACCAUGGAGCCAAAUUUUAUAUUAUUAUUUUUAAAUUAAAAUAUUUCUGUUAUGCUUGAAAUCAUUUAAAGAUUAUUAAGAUUACAUAAUAUCAAACUUAAUUAAAUCGGUUUGAUUCGAUAUCUCUUAUAUUGAUGCUGUUAAAAAAAAGUAUGUAUAAAGCUUUAAUCAUUUCGAAGUAUAAAGUUUAAAUAUUGUAAUCUAUAUUAAUCUGUGUAUCAGAUAUUGAGUAGGAUUCAAAUUUGUCCCGUCAUACAAUCCGUCUAUAAAUGUUACUUUAAAAAAAUAGAAUUUGUAAUGAUUUCUUCCAGAUGUCUUUCGUACAACAAUUUAUUACCAAAAAUUAAAGGGAAAAUGUCAAAGAAUUCGCCAACUUUCAAAUUUGUGACGAAAAAUUUUCGAACUUUGAUGAUGCCAUUUUAAUCAACAACUUUGAGUUGACUUUUCUCUAAAAUUCCAAAGUUAUGUUGACCGGGCCAAUUUGUUCUUGGGGUUAAGUCUCUGUGACGAGCUUAUAAACAGGGUUAACUGCCCAUUAGUGGUUUCGGUAUGUGGUUAAACGCAACAUUUAAGAGAGACGAAGAAGAUCAAAAUCCCUAAAUCGAGUUCUUCUUUCAAAAUGGAAACCCUACAGAAUCCAAUUCUCUCUCAAAUCCCCAAAUCGAAAAUCAUGAGUUCCAGCUCCAUGUCAAUAGAUGAAGUGAAGCUCUAUGGCGAGCGUGGUGUGCCAUCGAAGUGUGUUUGUGGCUUAGGUGUGACUAUAUUCACAUCCGAAACUCAAGAGAACCAGGGGAGACCUUUCUUUCGUUGUGCAAGCAAACGAGAUGUGAAAUCUUGGACAAGCAAAAAAGAUGUAAGUAUAUGUGUGUAAUUAACAAGUUUGACUUGAAAAAUCUAUGUAAGCUAAAAAUGUGUCAUGUCUUUGUGCAUUAGACUCAUUUGUUUAAGUGGGUUGAGGAUGCCGUGUAUGAAGAAGUAGAAGAUGCUUUACCAAGACUAGCUAUCAUUGGUAAUGAGAUUAACAAAGCCAAAUUAGAGGUCAAUGAGUUAAAUGCUAUGCUAAGAGAAUUGAAGGAAGAGGAAAUGCUCAGCAAAAAGGAAAUCCAUAAGUGUAAAAUGUUUUUGAAGGUCUGUUUUAUGUGGCUUUGUUUCCUCACCACUGUGUUGGGUUAUGUAUGGUCUAGGCAAGGAAAUGAGAAGAAACUUCUGCUUGGUUAUUAAGUGUAUGCUUGUUGUCCUUGAUACCUUAUGUUGUAAACCUUUGUAUUUGUGUUUGUCAUGGGUGUUAAACUCAAAAAUGAAUGAAAACUGGCAUGCCUUGUUUGGAACAUGUUCUACUAAUACCUGGAAAAUGGUCUUAAUACAAUCUUAAACAAAUCCGCAAAUCCGAUCAUAAAACACAAGCAACAAUGUGAACAUACCAAAAAACAAGCAACAAUGUGAACAUGCCAAAAAACAAGUAACACAAAAUCUUUAUGUGACUUAAAACAGAUAAAGAGACGAUAAAACAUUUGUAAGCUUCCAAUGGUUGUACCCGAUGUAGUCACAAUCUCAAAAGCAAUCUCUGGAUUAGAUCGAAAGAUCUCAGCUUGAUAAUCCCAAAUCCGUUCAAAGUGAUCUUGAUGUGUCACUUUCUUUUCUUUCCUCACUAAUGUCUUUGCCUUUGCACAUUGAUCUUCAGUUACUGUGAAGUUGUACUCCCUCAAUAUCUUUGCAACCAUCUCUUGUUUGGUGAUUUUUGGAUUUUUUUUUGCAGCCUUUCUCUAUACAACCAAGCAAUUGUUGACCGCUUCAACAUCUACGAGUAACCUGACCUCACACAAGCAUGUUCUUCAUCAUAGAUCUUUACUUGCAUCUAAUGCUUCUUCUUCUCAUAUACACAAUAGCAUUGCCAUGGACAUUAUACAUCAGUCGCAGAACACUUCGCACCAAUCUUCAAACUAGUUGACUUAUAAAGCUUAAUGUCGUAUCUGGUUUUCAGAGAAUACCUCAAUACAACUAUCUUGAAUUUUUCUGGGCCACUGAAUGUUUUCCCUAACCUCAGAAGUUCUUCAGGAUCUUCAAUCUCUAGAGCACCAUUAUCUUCAUCAAAAUUGUCUUCAUCAUUGCUGUGUGACAACGGUUAUGGUAUCCUCUCAUCAUCCCAAAUCUCAUCUCCACUAUCAGCAUCAUCUCCAACGUCCUCUUCUCUCGCAGCUGUUCCAAAUUCAGCUUCAAAGUCUUCGCAAUUUUCUUCCACUACACCUACACCUUCUUCACAAUUUUCUUCUCCUACAUCUCCUUCACCAUCUCCACCUACAUUUGGCUCCCAAUUGUUUUGUACACCUACAUUUUCUUCCCUAUUGUCUUCUACACCUACAAAUGGUUCAGGAACAGCUACAAUCGUCGAUUGCUCUGAUUGAGGAAUUGCUUCACUGGUUCUGUUUUCCUCGUCUGCAUAACCAAUCUCAUCACAGUCUUCAUCGCCCGCUACUGCACAAUCAUCCCCACUAAACAGCCUCACGAUCUUCUUCAAUAUCUUGACCUCUCUUCCUUUUGUGAUUUUUCCUUUUCUCUUUAGGUUGACCAACCACCUCAGUCGCUGCUUCGGGUGGGUUUGAAACCGUCGAUGUCUCUGACGGAAUGCGAACCGCCUCACUGCCUUCUACUGGUGCAUUUUCCACCAGUUCACUCUCUGCUGGGUUAUUUUUCUCAGCCUCUGUUUCUAUCUCCAUUGUCGGUAUUGUCUCUGUCUCCAUCGCCUCUACUAUAUCUGUUGUCUGAACAGUCUCCACCGUUAAAGAGCAAAGAAAUAUUUUUGUGUUAAGGUCAAGCACAAAUAAUAUUUUUAGAAGAACAUUGAGAUGGUUACUAAAUCAGUAAGAGGAAGGAAAACCAGCAAAGAAGACAGUUAUAUUUUUCUUUAUGAAAAUAACCCACUGGGGAUAUUUUUAGCCGAUCAUCGAAAGGAAAAAUGAUUCGGUUAAAUUAUUUUGAGCUUGAAGUUUUGAAGAAUGAUUUUGGGAGUUAAAAUAGGAUUUUGUAUCAUGAAAAAUCUGAGUUUUCAUGAAGGAAUUGUUUUUAAGGCAAUGGCACAUGAAACUGGUCUCGACGGGGCUUUCCUGCAAGAAACGGUUACCGAAUUGUGUGUUUAAGGCUUAGAAUUGCUUAGUGAAGGAAUUAUUGGCCACGAGUGGGAAAAGUGUCUCAUCUUUAGCCAAUGAAUUAGGAUAGUUUCGCUCCUGCUGAGGACGGCCAUGUGUCUCCACGAAAAUGGGAUAUGGAUGGCCAAAACUCCCAUGUCUUGCUGCCAUUGGCUGGAGCUUUGUUAGACGACACUUGGUGGGUGAAAAAGCUGCUUCCAGCCGACUUUGGAAGGCUAUAAAUACCCAGCUUCGUCUCACUUCUUCCUCAGAGCAAAACGUUAAGAGAAAGACUAGUUAGAUUGUUUCGAUGGCCAAUAGCAUUUCGAGCAGCUUUAGGAAAGUUUUUGAGGUGGCAGGAAGGGUAGUAGGUAAGUAUCUUACUCUUAGUUUCUGUUUCAUCUUAGAAUUAUUUCUUUUAAGUUCCUAAACCUAAACGAAUCUUGGUAAUGCGGAUCUAGAGCUUGCGAGUUGUGCGGAUCUAGCAUUAUCGGAGAUUUUCUGUCCAAAACUUCAACCAAAACCGGUGAGUACCGAAAACAUGUGAAGUAGCACAUGUAAAGGGUUUGCUUAUUGCUGUAUUCUCUUGAGUAGUUUAGGAUCUAUUCCUUGAUUGAAUUCUUGAAUCGUUGUGUUGUCGUGUUUUACCUUAUCGUAAAUUUUUGCGGUAAUGUAUUAGAUCUGGUGAGGUUAGAUUCGUGUUCUGAUUUUAUCUUAGUUCAUGAUUGUUAUUGAUUAUGUUGUGGAGUAGAUAAAGCAUUUGAACGUUUGGUUAGGUUGUUAGUAUAGCCGUUAUGAUGUCGUUUAUUUUCUAAAUUGAUCAUUGUUAGAAAUUGUCGAGACUGGAUUUUUUUGUUUGAUCUUUGGUUGGUUAAGGUUAACUGAUUGUGCUAGCAAGUUUAUUAGGCUGUUGUGUGAUGAGUGUGUGGUUUUAUUAAUCAUUCUUAUGCAUGGCUAAAGGUUAAUUGUUGCUUGCUAGUAGAUAAUACAAGUAUUCUUGUAUAUUAUUGUUAUUGUUGUUGUUGUAGUUGUUAUUAUUGUGUGGCCGAGUUACUAGUUUCAUUCGGACUUAGCUAUUGUGGCGAUAAUGUGAUAUUCCCAAUAGUUCGGAGUGGUUAGCUACCACCGGGCACUACUUGACGAAGUAGUAAAACUCUGUUAUAAGAGACUAAGUCUCUUAUUUACUAAACAAUUCGAACGGGUGUGAUUUUUUUAGCCUUCGUGGCUAAGAGUCGGGAAAGCAUUGCCUAGUAGGGAAAAUCCGCAUCGUAGAAUUAAAGACCUUACGGUAAAUUUGUAUUAGUAUCGUAUCGGUGAGUGUUAUGUGUUUUAGCUGUACUUUUGGCUGAGUACUCUUAGCUUUCUUUAAGCUUCUACUGUUUGUGUUUCUCUGUUGUUGUUUGUACAUGCAUCUAAAUGGGCCCAAAAGCUAUACAUAAUUUGUUAACGAUUUAAGUACAAUACUAUAUAAGUAAAAAGUGGUUUUAGUAAAAACCCGGAAGCGCCAGCAAUGGUAUAUCAGUCAUGUCUGCGUUGACACAACUCACGACAAUAGUACGAGUUGCGAAGAUAAAAAUGUGUUGGGGUCGGUCGAUUUAGGCGAACAAAUGUGUUUCGGAAACCUUUCUCGACUGAUUACGGGCGUCAUCCGUGACGCCCUUGUUCUUUCUUAGUUUUAGGAAGGAUCGAAGGGGUGUUACAAGCGUGGUAUCAGAGCAUGGUUUAUCUAUGUUCAUUGGACUUCCGUUUUCAAUGUUUUAUCGAGUCAAAUGUGUCGCAAAAAGCUGUCUAGGAAAAAUAUUGUUGUGAUCAUCUGCAUUCUUUGGUUUGUUUAGAAUUUAGAAACUUACAUUUUGUGUUUGUGGUUUUGAGUGUAGAUGCCGAGAGGACGAGGACGUGGUAGGAUACAGAUGAGGGCUGAACUCCCUUGGGGACCACCGACCAGGACGAUGCUCGUCAUGCGUGGAGCGUAUGAAUGUGGUAGCCCGAGUGGUACGACUUGGCAUGCACGUGUUGACGGGUCACCGAGAGCGGCCCUGACACCACCUGUUGUGACAAACACUCGAGUUGGACUUAGAGUGAUGGACUUGGCAAGUCUGGGCAUUCGUACUGAGGCCAGGCCGAGCACUGUGGAUGCCAAUGGUGGACCUAAUGUUCCUAAGGCGAUUAUAUUGUCAAGUGUGGAUACUAAGAGUGCUGAUGGUGUUCUGAUGAGCACGGAUGGAUAUGACGUGAUCGGCCCAUAUACUCCGUCCGACUCAGAUCCUUACAAGUGUGAGGACGAGCAGAUCGUAGUUGAGGCUCCAGCACCAGCCGUUAAGCCAUACGUACCUGCUCCAGUCAAGACAGACGCUAUAUCGGCGCCUGACGCUCCAGCAGAUGUACCCACGUCCGUUGUACGUGCACCCACACCAGCAGACGACGACGAUGAUGAGGAUUGCGUGAUCGUUGAGGUCAUCCCCGAUAGUCCAGAGGUGGUCAUGGUCGAGGAUUACAUUAGUAUCUCCUCCGACUCAUGUCAUUCUAUUCUUGCCGAGAGUCCAAAGUCGCCUUUGGUGUUUUCUGGAUCAGUUCUUAACAUGCCUACCAUUCCCGAGUCGGAAAAUUUCGAGUUUGUGCCAUCUCCGCCAGCUUCACCGAUGUAUCCAUCACUCUCCACACCUACUUACAAUACUAUCUCUACCUUGUAGAGAGAGUCUUCGCCUAUGUAUGAGCCACCGAGUACGAGUGGAGGAGUAGUUAUCAGAUAGGAUGGUCCUAAAGGACGUGUCUCUGCACCGAGUGGUCGUGAGCCGUAUUGUUUGACUUGUGUACAGGUUUGACAUUAUCCGGGAAGUUGCAUGUAUUAUCGAGCGUACAUGCCUUCUGGCAUAGUGUGCAUAGCUUGUGGUGAGCGUGGUCAUUAUGCUACGUCUUGUCCCACUGCACGUCCAGGCCCUUUUGCCGGAGGAUCAAGCUUCUCUUUUGGAGCACCGUCCGCUGGAGCUUCCUCAUUUUACACUCGUCCAGGUCCAAACCCACAUGAUACCGUUCGUUUGGCGUUUCCCGACUGUACGUGCACUCGUUGCGCACUUGAUAAGUCUGUAUUUCAUCACUUUUUGAGCAUGUAUUCAUCAUCUUUUUCAGCAUCAUUCACUUGUUGAUUCACAUCAUAUUGAUCACUUUCUUCAUGUUUUACACACUUCAGUAGGUUUUAUGCAUAUCAUGCAUGUCUUGCAUACAUUCUGCAUAUUUGGAGUGUUUCAGGUACUUAGGAGACAUGCAGAGCGAAGCAGAGGAACAAGUGUUACUCGACAUGCAUAUGAUCGAGUGGGACAAUCGAGUGAGAAGCAGAGAUACGCUGCAGAAACAUACUUCACUCGAUGCACAUGACCGAGUAGGAUGAUCGCGUGAACGAAUGCGAAACAGAAUCAACUGUCACUCGAUGGGCAUACUCGAGUGACACGAUCGAGGAAAGCAGAGGAGUAGCAGAUGAUAUCACAUGUCACUCGACACGCUCACUCGAGAUACAUGGUCGAGUAUGUAAUGAUGCAGAGAAGAAAUUAUGUGUUACUCGACGCGCUCACUCGACCAACAGGGCACUACAACUUUUAACCGCUUUUUAUUUUGUCGUUUUAUGUCUUAAGGUUUUCCCAAACUUUACUAUAAAUAGGUCUCAUUUGGAUUGCCCAAGGGAUCGAGUUUUUAUCCUUAGGUUUUUAUUGUUAGCCACCAAACAAUCCAGAGAAUUGUAAUUCAGAUUUCUUUUAAGUUAUUAAGAUUUUGCACUUAGUUCUUGAAUCUUUAUUGUUUAUCUUCCUAUCAUCGUUAUUAUUAUGCAUGUUUUGAACGAUUCUGGGUUUAUGAUGUUUAACAUGAUUUAUGUGCCUGAGUAGUGUUAGGAUUUUUGAGGAUGGGAUAGAUUAGGUGGAGAAUGUUAGGUUGCUAGAGUGUUUAAGUUAGAUUCGUUUGUUCCCUUAUAGAUUAGUGUAUUCAUAACUAAUUCUUCUCUGAUCAAGUUGAAUUAGAUUCCAGACAUUUCAGCACCUACUAAGUGUUUGAUGAAAUUUCUGAACAACUAAUACCAGAGAUAUACUUGUUUAGCCUAAGAGAUUAGAUGUCUAAGAAGUUUAUUGACAUUAAUGGACAAUUUUUUCAUGCAUGGUUACUGCAUGUUUCAUCAAAGAGAUUUGAGAUUAGGAAGUGUUGUAAACAUGAUAGUUUCUGCUAAGAGAUUCGAUUAACUAGUAUUUGAUGUUCAUUGUCUAGGGAUUAGUAUGUUUGUCGUUUGUUUAACACUCAAAGUAGAUUAGCAUACUCCACCUACAUCAAUAACCUCAUCCUCAGGACCUUCUAUCCAUUUGUGCUUUAUGUUUAAUUCUCUUGUUAUUUACUUGUUCCGCUUUGUUUUCUUGCCAAUAUCAAUAAUCAUUACGUUUUAGUUAUGCAUGGUAAUGUUUUACAGCUUUACAUUUAUCGCAUGUUUAACAUGUUUGCUUAGAAUCACUCAAAACCAAAAUCCAUUUAUACUUCGCUUGACUUAAUCAUUUUUGAUACAUCUUGAUUGCUAACAUCGCACCUGACUGGACUGAUACAUAUUGUACUGCAAUGAAAUGAUAGUACUCUACGGUAAUUGGUAGUAAAAUCCUAGAAUCAAUUUGGCGCCGCUGCCAUUUAGAUGUUUGUUUGUUACAUUUGAGAUUUCAGAUUUGCUAAGAUCAAGUUCUUACUCAACAUUCACUACAGUUACUCACUUUGUUCUUUUUGGUUGUCUAUUGAUUCAGGUAUAACUCUUGCUCAACUGCUCCUACUCGACUGACAAACUCAACCAUCUCGCGAGCUAAGUUGAUUUGAGUUGUAUGCACACACGAUCGCAAAGCACAGAAAACUUGUUCCAGCCCUCCGACUUUAUUGAUCGCUUGGUACCUACAUCAAGACAGCAACGCAACAGAGUUACACCACCACAAGUGGAGAUGGGAAACUCUCAACAACAACCUCCACAACGGGCACCUACACGGAUUGGAGCUGGUGAUACUCCACGCAACCAUACCCAUCGUCAGGGUAUAGUGCCCCCAGCUGUGCAGAACAACAACUUUGAGAUCAAGAGUAGUCUGAUCUCCAUGGUCCAGGGCAACAAAUUCCAUGGUCUGCCUAUGGAGGAUCCCCUAGAUCAUCUUGACGAGUUUGAUCGCCUAUGCAGUCUCACAAAGAUCAAUGGUGACAGUGAGGAUGGUUUUAAGCUCCGACUCUUCCCAUUCUCUCUGGGUGACAAAGCGCAUCAAUGGGAGAAAACUCUACCACACGGAUCUAUUACCUCCUGGGAACAAUGCACGCAGUCAUUUCUUGCCAAGUCCUUCUCAAACUCCAGAACUGCACGUCUUCGCAAUGAGAUUUCUGGGAUCACUCAGAAGAAUGGUGAAACACUCUGUGAAGCAUGGGAGCACUUCAAAAGUUAUCAGUCUUAGUGUCCCCACCAUGGCUUCACCAAAGAGUCUCUCCUCAGUACUCUCUACCGAGGCGUUCUCCCAAAGAUCAAGAUGUUACUUGACACUGCUAGCAAUGACAACUUUAUGAACAAGGACGUCAACGAUGGUUGGGAGCUUGUUGAGAACCUAGUCCACUCUGAUGGCAACUACAAUGAAGACUAUGAUAGAACCAUCAGGGCAAGCAUAGAUCUUGAUGAGAGAAGUACAAGAAAGAGAUGAAAGUUGUGAAUGAUAAGCUGGACAGACUCUUGAUGAGCCAGCAAAGGAAUGUCCAUUUUGUCUCUAAAGAAGACCCUUUCCAGAUUCCAGAUGGGGAGGGAGAACAUUCUGAGGAGAUAAGCUAUAUCCAGAAUCAAGGUGGAUACAACACAUGAUACAACUCAUAUAAGCAAAACCCCAAUCUGUCUUAUAGGAGCACCAACGUUGCAAAUCCACAAGAUCAAGUAUAUCCACCUCCACCACAGCAGCAGGGGCAAAACAAGUCAUUUGUGCCUUACAACCAAGGUUAUGUGCCCAAACAACAGUUUCAGCAAGGUUACCAAACUCCAACUGGACCACCACCAGGAUUCCAACCUCAAAAAGCUCCGCCACUUCAGGCACCAUAUGCAGCAACAUUUAUUACAAGGACAGACAAGUGGAUCUAUAGAGUCUGCUAAGAAGUUUGCAGAGAUGAAUAAUAAGAUGGACUGCACAUAUAAUGCUCUCAAUCUCAAGAUUGAAGCUUUGACCUCUAGAAUGCUUCACCUGGAAAGCAAGAAUGCAUCUACUUCUUCAGGACAACUCUCAGGGAAAGCCAUCCACAACCCCAAAGUGUUUGCAACAGCCCAUGCCAUCACCUUAAGAGAGUUACCUAUUACAAAAGACUCUAUGGAUAUCACUGAGGAUAGUGAGGAUCUAGAUGGGGAGAAUUUUGCUCCAAAUGAAGAUUCCACACAACAAAUCAAAGUUGAUCAUGAUCCACCUGCCAUGGUAAAACAUGAUGUUCCAAAGAGUAAGGAACCACGUUACAUUCCUCCACCCUACACGCCUCCAUUACCAUUCCCUGAAAGAUUCAAGAAGAAAAUAAUGGAGAAGUAUAAAGGACUGCUCGACACACUCAAAGGGACUGAACUAACAAAAGCUUUGGUAGAUGCUCAUGCAAAGAUUCCGUCUUACAAUAAAAUCAUGAAAGAGGUCAUAUUGGGGAGGAUUCAAGAAAAGAAGGAAAUAACUAAAGAUGUUGAGCAGAAAGCUGAGGAAGAUGAGAGAGUAAAAUCACUUAACCAUGAGUGUUGUGCCAUUUUCCAUAAAGAGGUUAUCCCAAAGAAGGUAGAAGAUCCUGGUUCAUUUACUUUGCCUUGCACAAUAGGUCCAUUAUCUUUCAGUAGGUCUCUCUGUGACCUAGGAGCGUCAGUUAGUCUCAUGCCUCUCUCUGUGGCUAGAAGGUUAGGUUUUACACAAUACAAAUCGUGCAGCCUAUCCCUCAUCUUGGCAGACAGAACGGUUAGGGUUCCAUAUGGCUUGUUGGAAGAUCUCCCAGUAAAGAUUGGUGAAGUAGAAGUACCAACUGACUUCAUUGUUUUGGAGAUGGAUGAUGAGCCUCAAGAUCCACUUAUCCUAGGAAGACCAUUCUUAUCUAUAGCAGGAGCAAUCAUUGAUGUCGGGAAAGGGAUGAUUGAUCUCAAUCAUGGUAAGAACUUCAAGAUGAAGUUUGAUAUCAAGGAUGUCUUGAGUACGCCAACAGUUGAUGGGCACACCUUCUCCACUGAAGAUGAGUCAACUAAGAAAAUACUCCAGCAAGGUGUCAAAGAAUCUAUGGAUCCCUCAUCGGAUGGUUGUUUAGAACUUCGAAUUAUCAAUGUUUUGAAAGAUUCAAUGACAAGGCUAACAGCUAUGGUCAAGAAAAUGGGUGAGUUGAUGGGCACACCUUCUCCACUGAAGAUGAGUCAACUAAGAAAAUACUCCAGCAAGGUGUCAAAGAAUCUAUGGAUCCCUCAUCGGAUGGUUGUUUAGAACUUCGAAUUAUCAAUGUUUUGAAAGAUUCAGUGACAAGGUUAACAGCUAUGGUCAAGGAAAUGGGUGGGCAAAUCAAUAAACUCAAAAGAAAAAUCAAUGGUCCCUAUCCUAGGAGACAGAGUGUGAGUGUAAAGAUGAGCAGCACAUCCUGUGACAUGACCCAGGAAAAAGAGGAGGAAUGAGAUAUUUGAGAAUAGAGAGUGCUUCAACACCUCUCUAUGAGCCUCCUAAAGCCUAAAAGGUAUAAACAGUCAAGCUUAGUGACUUUAAACAAGCUCACUUGGGAGGAAUUCCCAAAGGUAUCCCUGUAAAUACUGCUUAGGAUUUCUUGUUAUUUUGGUUUUUGUUUUUGGUUUUAUUUGGUCAGGACGUCAAACAUGUUCAGAUAUGUUUCUCCACGAGUGAUGUACUAGCACGCAACAGAACUCCUUCUCCAUCAAGACAUUCCGCUUAUGACUAUAGGGCACAAUGUUUCUUUCUCUCCUCCAAGACAGUCUUCCCAUGAUCUUAGGGACAUCAAGAAGAAAGAAGAAGAAUGCAGCAAGGCGGAAAGCAAAGGUGAGCAUCACGUUGAGGAUUUGACUAAGGAUCCAGACAAGCAUCUCAAUGAAGACCGGAUUGUUGAUCUAGGAGCGUAUCAUUUUGAAGAUCUUACUAGGGAUCCGGUUGAACAUUAUGUUGAGGAUCCGGUCGAGCAGAACGUUGAGCAACUAGUAGAGGCUCCCCCUGCGCAGCCUGCACUAGGCGCUUAUACAAGCGAGUCCAUGACUGCAUACCUGGACUGCUAUUUUCAGUAAGGUACAACUCCAAACCUUCAUUCGUAUAUACCAUUGCAUUUUCAUAGUUUUGUUUGUUUGAUUCUCAAACUAGCUCUCAAAAUUUUAUUACACAAGGGAUUGUGUAAUUUAAGUUUGGGGGAGGGUUUGGGAUGACAUUUGAUGUUGUGUUCUCUUUUCUUAUUUCGAAUUUUUAGCAUAUACUCUGCAUUCAUAUAUGUGCAUUGAAAACCCUUAAAAAUUUGAAAAAGUUUCAGAAACAUCUUUAAAAACAGAGUAAUCAUGUAGCUUGCAUUUGCAUAUUAGGAUUGAGUCUAGAUUGUUUCAUGUAGGAUUGUUGCAUUAGCAUAGGGGGUGAUGAUGAUUUACACCUUGUUAACUUGCUAUGAUUCACGAGUUGAGAUCAAUGCCCUGGUUUUUAGCUCUUUGAUGCAUGAUGAUUGAACUUGAAGUAAGUCUGAAACAAACUUGGAAUUCAUGAAGAGCAUUCUUGAACUUGGUUGAAACAUGUUGUGAUAUGAUCUCAUUCCUUACCUUAUAAGAACUUAAUCUUGACUUGCAAAUAUUUGGUUGUGUUUUGCUUGCAUACUCAUGAUCACCAUAUACAUAUUUGGAUCAUCUUUCUCUUUUCACCACUCUUGUUGAUCCAAGUAGCUGAUCUUUCUUUUGAUCAGUUUGCCAUACCCACAGCCUAUCCUUUUCUUUCAAGCCAAUUGAUAAUUGUUGAGUGGUAGGUCUUUUACCGGAUUAUGCUUGGGGAGAACGUGUUAGGUAUGAGCCGACAAGAUUAAAAUCUUGAGUAGUUCUGAUUUUCAAUUUCAAAUCAGAUAGGAAUAGGUCUAGAUUCUUUGACACCUUGCUGGAGGAGAAUGUUUUUCAAGAAGUUUAUACUCUAGUGAUUGAAUUUUGUGGGGAUAGCAUGAUAUACAGAGAAUGGUUCUGGGAUGUAAAAAAAGAGAAAAAUUUUUGAUGUCUUAUAACGUAAGAAGAAAACAGAACCACAGUAAGGAAGAAACCCCAUAUCCACUAGUAUUGAUAAGAAACUUCUCCUAAGGCAAAAAGAAAAAAAUGGGAAUGAUGUUGAAGGGUAGACACAGGGAUCAUUCAGGGUUAGAUGAUUAAGAGUAAGCAGUUGGGAACCAUUGGGUAGUGAAGAUUUUAUUCAUGUAUGCAUUUGUCGGUCCUCACCUUUAGCAUUCUACCUAAAGCUCUUCAUUGAGAGAUCCUUGUCCUGAAAUUGUUUAAACCCUCUUAAUUCUCAAAAUCUUUUUCUGCCUAGCCAAGUGAAUUUGUUAAGCCUUGCAAAACCAAAUUCAUAUUCUUGAAUAAUGAAUGUUAAAAGGAGUGAAUGAUUUGAAUGCAUGUGUAGGUCAAGGGAUAGGAUCAGUUUCAGAUUAGAUGAGUUUAUCUUAAGUAUUUAAGUAAAGUUCUCUCAGCAUGCAUCAAAGACUUAGUAAUUAGGACAUUGAUUUUAACUGCUCUACCUUGCAAGUUACGGGUUCUGAGACCCCAUUUUCAAACCUCUCUUCCACUUUGUUUCUUUUGCUUUGCUUGAGGGCAAGCAAAGACUAAGUUUGGGGGAGUUGAUAAGUCUGUAUUUCAUCACUUUUUGAGCAUGUAUUCAUCAUCUUUUCAGCAUCAUUCACUUGUUGAUUCGCAUCAUAUUGAUCACUUUCUGCAUGUUUUACAUACUUCGGUAGGUUUUAUGCAUAUCAUGCAUGUCUUGCAUACAUUCUGCAUAUUUGGAGUGUUUCAGGUACUUAGGAGAAAUGCAGAGCGAAGCAGAGGAUCAAGCGUUACUCGACAUGCAUAUGAUCGAGUGGGACAAUCGAGUGAGAAGCAGAGAUACGCUGCAGAAACAUAAUUCACUCUAUGCACAUGACCGAGUAGGAUGAUCGCGUGAACCGAGGGAAUGCGAAACAGAAUCAACUGUCACUCGAUGGGCAUACUCGAGUGACACGAUCGAGCAAAGAAGAGGAGUAGCAGAUGAUUUCACAUGUCACUCGACACACUCACUCGAGAUACAUGGUCGAGUAUGUAAUGAUGCAGAGAAGAAAUUAUGUGUUACUCGACGCGCUCACUCGACCAACAGGGUUACUAUAACUUUUAAACCGUUUUUUACUUUGUCGUUUUAUGUUUUAAGGUUUUCCCAAACUUUGUUAUAAAUAGGUCUCAUUUGGAUUGCCCAAUGGAUUGAGUUUUUAUUCUUAGGUUUUUAUUGUUAGCCACUAAACAAUCCAGAGAAUUGUAAUUCAGAUUUCUUUUAAGUUAUUAAGAUUUUGCACUUAGUUCUUGAAUCAUUAUUGUUUAUCUUCCUAUCAUCGUUAUUAUUAUGCAUGUUCUGAACGAUUCUGGGUUUAUGAUGUUUAACAUGAUUUCUGUGUCUGAGUAGUGUUAGGAUUCUUGAGGAAGGAAUAAAUUAGGUGGUGAAUGUUAGUAUGCUAGAGUGUUUAAGUUAGAUUCGUUUGUUCCCUUCUGGAUUAAUGUAUUCAUAGCUAAUUCUUCUCUGAUCAAGUGGAAUUAGAUUCCAGACAUUUCAGCACCUACCAAGUGGUUGAUAAAAUGUCUGAACAACUAAUACCAGAGAUAUACUUGCUUAGCCUAAGAGAUUAGAUGUCUAAGAAGUUUAUUGACAUUAAUGGACUGUUUCUUCAUGCCUGUUUACUGCAUGUUUCAUCAAAGAGAUUUGAGAUUAGGAAGUGUUGUAAACAUGAUAGUUUCUGCCAAUAGAUUGGAUUAACUAGUAUUUGAUGUUCAUUGUCUAGAGAUUAGUAUGUUUGUCGUUUGUUAAACACUCAAAGUAGAUUAGCAUACUCCACCUACAUCAAUAACCUCAUCCUCAGGACCAUCUAUCAAUUUGUGCUUUCUGUUUAAUUCUCUUGUUAUUUACUUGUUCCGCUUUGUUUUCUUGCCAGUAUCAAUAAUCAUUACGUUUUAGUUUAUGCAUGGUAGUCUAUGUUUUACAGCUUACAUUUAUCGCAUGUUUAACAUGUUCGCUUAGGAUCACUGAAAACCAAAAUCCAUUUAUACUUCGCUUGACUUAAUCAUUUCUGAUACAUCUUGAUUGCUAGUAUCGCACAUGAAUCACAUGCUAGUACUCUAGGGUAAUUGGUAGUAAAAUCCUAGUAUCAACUACCGAAAGUAAACUAGCUUGGACUAGGAUUUCCACCAUUUUUCACAGAGACUAAUCGUUUCCCCACAAAUUCACUGUCCCAUGUAUAUCUAGUUAAAGCUUGUAAAAAAUGCAGCUUAUCUUCUGUGGUUCUCUCAGCUCGAUCAAUAAAAUAUUUACGCCAAAAUCUUUCUUCUUAAAAUGCAUGAAUGCAUGCCCAAUAAAAAUUCGUGUCACUCGGGAGAUCCAACGAUUCAAAUAUCUUGACAACAUCAUCAAAUUCUUCGUAAUCAUCUUGGAAUAUUUGGACGUAAUUGUUCUAAAAAUUGGCGCUCAAGCUCUCUGAACCCAUUCAUUGUAUCUGUUAGAGUUAACUCAAAUAACUGUUUUCUGCGAUUUCCUCUUGAACCACUCCCAAUAGAGAUUUGUGAGGUUCUUGCCCCUCUUUGUGAACUAUUUCCACGUCUUAAUCCACCUUGUUGUUGAACUCUUGAAGCUGGAGUAUGAAACGGAGGAGCAUGUGGAGAAUUCUGAUGUAAAUGAUUCUGGGUGAACUCAUUUGAGGGACGUGUUUCAUCGCUGAUAUUAACGCGAUACACUUCUUCAUUUUCUUGUGUCUCGGGAACUUGAUUUUCAUCAUCAUUUAUGCCCUCAUUCAUUAACUCUUCUCGUCUUUGGUGCAUAGAGUAUUGAGACUGUGAUUGUACAUCUUGUAAGAUGAAACAACGUUGCAUCACAUCCCAACUGUCAGGCGGCUUUCGUUUAAAUGAUCUUACAAUCCUACAUCUCUGUUAAUAAGUUUAUUAAAUUUUAGUAUACAAGUUUAAUGUAUACCAAAAUUACUAAACAUAUUUUGGCUGUGAAAGAUAUUUUUAAUGCUUACAGCUUCACGAACUUUCCACCAAGUAUUAGACGCAGAUAUGACGGAUCUCACAGGGUCAACUGAAAUUCCCGUAGAAUUUUGCAUAAGUUGCUUGUACUUCUUGUACUUUCUUUUCAGUUGAUUGAAUUUUUCAACCAAAAACUCUCUUCCUAGGGGUGAUGGAUCUUUGAAGCGGUAAUUAUUCAUGGCAAUUGCUUGUUCGUAAAGAUCAAUAAAUAGUCUUUCCUGACUAGGAGUCCAUUUAAAAUUUUCUUCGCUCUAAAAAUUUAAAAAAACUCUCAAUUUAUAAUUUACUUAAAUUAAAAGGUAAAAUUUUGUAAAAUUAGGUGUAACUACAUACCCGUGUCGACGUUUCUGUAGGCAAAUUUGUAUUGUUUUGCACAAAAGAACUUUCAUUUUGCCGGCGGUUAGACAUACCUACAAAUACAAUUCAAAAAUAAUUUCUGGAAAUUUGUAUCGUCUUUCACAAAAAAACUUUCAUUGUAUAACUUACGAAUUAAAAAUGCAUCUAAUUUCUGGAAAACUAAGAUCUACAUCUUUAAUUAAACUACUUAUAAUUUUUGGACUUUGUUCUCAGUGGUUAAGUCACUUUUAUCAUAAAAAUAGUACGCGAAGUUAAUUAGACAAAGUAUAAUGAUAAAUAUAUGUUAAAAAUCACUAUACAAAUUAUUCAUGAUGUGUGGGAGUUAGAUUAGGACUUUUUAAAUAUACAAAUUAUUGACUUGUUUGCUAUAUGCAUUUUUCAAGAUAGCAUUAAACUAUAAGUUGUUAAUUUCUCGUAAUAUAUGUUAAAUGGCAGAUACUUUUUUGUUUUUGUUUUUGUAUUAUUAAUAAUUUUUUUAAAUUGAAGGUACUUUUGUUAAGAUGUUCAAUUGGAUUUUUUAGUUUGUCGAACAUGCUCUUCUUUUUCAUUUUUCUUCUUCUUUUUAGCAUUAAAGUGUUCUUUUUUGGAAAUAAAUAUAUUUAUUAACCUGUGAUUAAUUCAUAGUUUUGUCCAAUCUUAUUUAAAUAUAUAUUUUCAAAUUAUAUGGUGGAAAUGUAUAAUAUAAUAAUUAAAUAAAUUAACCGAACACUAUAUAUAUAAACAUAUAAAAUUAACAUACAUAUUACAUAAUUGGUAGAAAACGCAUGUUUUAAACAAAAAUUUAAAUACCUUUAUUUUAUAACUACUAAUAUAUUAUAUAAUGUAACUACAUUUAUUUAACAGGAAAAAUAUAUAUACCUUUAAGCAGGAAAUUAUAGAAACAAGAGGUGUAAAGUUGAAGCUUGGAUAGUAUUUUGAAUUGUGUAAGAAAUAAAAUACAUAUGUUAGUGUAUAGAAAAAUUUUAAUGUAUGUAACUGAAGAAAAAAAAAACACCUUUGCAAAAAAAAAAGGGUUAGAACACGAGAGAGAAAGUGUAAUUAUAUAGAAAAAAAGAAAAGGUAUUUUGGUGUAAUUAUUUUAUUAAAAAAAUAAAAAUGCAUGAAAACACAAAUAAAAAACAUCAAAAGAAGCGUGAAUAACUUCCCCCACAGAUGUUCUGUCUUUAUCACAAAAAGACAAAAAAAAAAGAAAUGAACUACAUACAGCUUUUUCGUUUUUGUUUAAAGAAAAUUAAAAAUAGUGAAUGGUUUAUUGGUAACAGGAGAUCUACAUGCAUGGGUCAAUUGCUCUUUUCCUGUCUCCCCAUUCAAUAGCCUAAAGGGAGAUCUCUUCCGUAUAACUGCAUCAGCACUACUCACUUGUGUAGGCCCUAAUGAGGUUGACGAUGUACUGCGAGAAGUCCACGAAGGCGCGGGCAUAAAGCACUCUGGCGGCAAAGCUCUUGCGUUACAGAUUUGCAAAACUGGCCAUUUCUGAUUGACAAUGAAUGCGAAAAACUGGCCAUUCAUGCUCCAAUCGAACUCCUUUGUACAGCCUCGCAGCCUUACCCAUUCAUGCGUUGGGCGAUGGAUAUUGUCGGUCCUCUACCCGUCUCCCGUUAAAAGAAAUAUAUCCUCAUUAUGACAGAUUAUUUCACCAAAUGAGUUGAAGUAGAAUCUUACGCAAGAAUCCAAUCAAAGGUUGUUUGGAAGAACAUAAUUUGUAGGAACGAACUCCCAUACGAGAUCGUCACCGAUAACGGCACCCAGUUCACAUCACUACAAUUUGAAGGUUUAUGCUCUCAUUGGCGGAUACGCUUGAGCAAGUCGACUCCCCGAUAUCCGCAGGGAAACGGUCAAACCGAAGCAAGUAACAAAACUAUUAUUGUUGGCAUCAAGGAGCGACUCGAAGGUCACAUCACACCUCCCCACGCCGCUCUUGUCUACGGGAUGGAACCACUCGCCCAUGCCGAAGUCGAGAUACCAACCCUUCGUUGUUCGAUGCUCGUGCACAACCCAACUCUGAAUCACACAAUGAUGCAUGAUAUUCUAGACUGUAUCGAGGAAGAGCGAGACAAAGCGCUGUUCAUAUACAAAACUAUCAGCAAGCUGCAGCCAAGCUUUACAACGAGAAGGUGAAAGCCCGACAUUAUGUCGAAGGAGACUUGGUUUUACGUAUUUUUUUCGAGAAUACCGCCGAGCUCAAAGCCGGAAAAUUAGGCGCGCAAUGGGAAGGACCUUACCUUAUCUCUCAGAUUGUAGAGCCCGGCGUUUACGAACUCAUAACCAUGGAGGGUUAUUACUACUAAGCGCUAACGCGUAAACAAGUUAAGAAAAAAAAACGCUCGUACUACCAAGCUCCUCUUCUGUAAUAUGAACUACGAAUGGUUUGAUCCCUCCAAAAGGGUACGUAGGCAGCCUCUCACAAGGCAGAUAUAUAGCUUUUUUUUUUUGAAGUAAUCUCCUAUACAGUAUACUUUGACGAGCUCGGCCAGCUCACCCACUGUCUCCCUGGCCAGAAGUACGGUUAUUAAACGUGUUCCACAUGGAUGUAUUGGCGAAAUAAUCUAUACUUUUGCCUCGGCGAAAGAUAAAGCCAAGCCCAGUCUUGCACAAUAGCAAGCAAGCGGGGAAACGAUAAGCCAACCUCCGGCUUGCUCUUCUGGCCGAUCUCAAAGCACGUACAGGAUAAGCUGGUCACCCCCACUGCACCCUAAAAAGUACAUUGAGUCCGCCUCGACUGCUUCCUCAGCUCUGCAUUUAGAGGAUAAUGCGGGAGACGUCUGACACAACAAAAUACGUCCUAAAAGCAAGCAAAUAACUGCCAAGGAUUCCUCGCACAAAAUAAGCCGAGAUACUUUGCAAAAUUCGUUUUAUUGAAAUUCAUUGUCAUGACAAACGCAACAUGCACAUACGCUGACCUGACAAACGAACAGAAAGCGCUCAUACCGAUAAUCAGACUAAAGAAUUCAAGGAAGACUUACAAACAAACACGAAAAAGGUCAAGCCAUAACCAAAAGAGAAUAUCCUCAUAACGAAAGUCAAAAGCAAAUAUCCGAAACAAACCAAAAGUACAAACACCCAUAGGGCCCGAUAACAUCCGCUACAAAACGGGAUAAUAGUCUCAAAGAGAGAAUAUUGUUUAAAAAGAAUGUCUCUGGUCGGCAAAAGCGCGAGCUCCCGCCAGGACCUGCAUAUCUGCGUCAAACACACAAAGUGUCUCCAUAUUCUGGAAGAACCUCGGUAACCGCACCUAAAACUUGGGAAACACGAUAAGAUCACCAUUAGCGAGGUCGGUAAUAUCAAAACUCUCAACAAUAUCUGUCCACUUCACCGCAACAACUAUGCCUUAAGUAAUCAUCUCCUUAACACAGCCAUGUGUACCUAUAACCUGACUCAACAUGAGAAGCAGGUCGUUGGAAGCUCGGGUAUCGAUGAUAUGCUUCCUCAUUCGUUCUAUCAAUGCUCGAUUCCUGCCGAUCUUUGCUUCGAAAGUAGCCGAUCAUCAACUGCAAGUAAUUCAGAUCUCAAGCCUCAAGAGCUGCCUUGAGAUCACCGACCUCCCUCUCUAAAGCAGCUGAUCGUUUCUUCUUCCCGCCUAAGUUCUUCUUAAGAGCCAGAGCCUCUAUAUGAGCAGACGACUCAGUCCUCUGCUGACUCGCCAAACAUUUCCUGACAUCCUUAAGUCGACGCUCAUAUCCAACAAUAGUCCCUCCUCCCAAGCGGUUAACAAGAGCAAUUCCUUGAAAGAUAAAUAUCCACACACUUGAAAAAAGAAUCGCAAAGUAACAAAAUCAAAGAGACCAAGAAAUGAUCAUAAACCUACAUCUCUCUACGAGCCUAGGUCCCAUAAUAAUCUUUCUCCGCAAGACAAGAGAAGAGUUGAAAGAUCGCAUGAUCUCCACAGAUCCGUCAAGCAAGGUCGGCACAAGCUCCCGCAUUCUUGACAAACAUCUUCUCAUUCACCGAAUCCUUCUCAUUAUAGGAAAAGGAAAACAAAGUAUCCCAUCCCAAUACCUCGUCAUUAGGACGCUUGAUACUAGGAUUUUUCUAUCAAUUACCCUAGAGUACUAUCAUGUCAUUGCAGUAUAAUAGGUAUCAAUCCAAUCAGGUGUGAUGCUAGCAAUCAAGAUAUAUCAGAAAUGAUUAAGUCAAGCAAGCAUAAAUGAUUUUCUGUUUUCAGUGAUCCUAAGCGAACAUGUUAGACAUGCGAUAAAUGUAAGGCUGUAAAACAUAGACUACCAUGCAUAAACUAAAACGUAACGAUUAUUGAUACUGGCAAGAAAACAAAGCAGACCAAGUAAAUAACAAGAGAAUUAAACAGAAAGCACAAAUGGAUAGAAGAUCACGAGGAUGAGGUUAUUGAUGUAGGUGGAGUAUGCUAAUCUACUUCGAGUGUUUAUCAAACUGCAAACAUUCUAAUUCCUAGACAAUGAACUUCUAAUACUAGUCAAUCCAAUCUCUUGGCAGAAACUAUCAAGUUUACAACACUUCCUAAUCUCAAUUCUCAUUGAUGAAACAUGUAGUAAGCAUGCAUAAAGAAACAGCUCAUUAAUGUCAAUAAACAUGUUAGACAACCAAUCUUUUGGGCUAAGCAUGUAAAUCUCUGGCACUAGUUGGUUCAGACAUUUCAUCAUAUACCUUUCGGGUAUGAAAUGUCUAUGACCCAGUUCCAAUUGAUCAGAGAAGAACUAGCUAAUAGAACUCUAGUCCAGAAGGGAAACAAAACGAAUCUAACAUAAACAGUCUAGCAAACUAACAUCCUCCACCUAAUCUAUCCCAUCCUCAAGAACCCUAACACUACUCAGACGCAGAAAUCAUGUUAAACAUCAUGAAACAAGAAUCGUUCAAAACAUGCAUAAUAAUAAAGAUGAUAGGAAGAGUAACAACUAGGGCUGGGCGUUCGGAUAUCGGAUCGGGUUCGGUUCGGAUUUUUCGGUUUUCGGAUUUUUUGGAUAUUGAUUCUAACAUCCAUUCGGAUAUUUACAAAAUUCGGUUCGGUUUCGGUUUGGAUAUUUCGGAUUUCGGUUCGGUUUGGAUAUAAUUGUGAUAAUUAAAUUUUAACCAAAAUUUAUUGGAUUCGGUUUUAUUCGGAUAUUUUUAAAUCUAAUUAUACUCAAAUAAUCCAUACUAUCCAAGUAUAUAUAAAAAUAGAAAUGAGGCAAAUGACAAGUUCAAAGAACCAACUAACAUAAUACCAUACCAAUAUAUAAAAUUGAAGCAUAAAACUGUGUCGAUGCAUGAAAGCUUUAAAUAAACCAAACUAAAUCAUAAAUUCAUAAUGAAAAAGUAGCAAAAUUCAGUGACAUCCUAAAUCAAUUAAAAAUAAUUUUUCAUCCGUUAUGCGGCAAACGUAUAUAUCCUAAGGAUAUUAAAGUAUAUAUAUCCUAAAGAUACUAAAGUAUAUAUUAUAAGUUCGGUUAUAUAUGGAUAUCUAUUGGAUAUCGGUUCGGAUCGGGUUUAAUCCGAUAUCCAAAAAUAAUGAAAGCUAACAACCGAUCGGUUAUUUUUCCAAUAUCGGUUCGGUUUUAAUCCAAUUUUUUCGGUUCGGUUCGGUUCGGAUUUUCGGAUUCGGAUUUUAUGCCCAGGCCUAGUAACAACAAUGAUUCAAGAACUAACUGCAAAAUAUCAAUAACUCCAAAGAAAUCACGAUUACAAUUCUCAGGAUCGUUUGGUGGCUAACAACAAAAACCUAAUAAAAUAAUACUCGAUCCCUUCGGCAAUCCAAAUGAGACCUAUUUAUAACAAUGUUUGGGAAAACCUUAAAACAUAAAACGACAACGUAAAAGCGGUUUAAAAGUUGUAAUGGUCAUGUCGGUCGAGUGAGCGUGUCGAGUAACGCUUACUUUCUUCUCUGCAUCAUUUCAUACUCGACCCAGUACCUCGAGUGAUCGUGUCGAGUGACCUGUGAAACCAUCAGCUACUUCUUUGCUUUGCUCGAUCACGUCACUCGAGUGAGAGAAUCGAGUGAUAGGUGGUUCUGCUUCGCUUCCCUUCUGCUCGAUCUGCUACUCGAUCGUAUACGUCCGCUGCUCACUCGAUCGUCGAUGUAACUGCAAUUCAUCCUUGCUUCUCACUCGAUCAUCCCACUCGAUCGUGUGCACGUCGAGUAACGCUUGUUCCUCUGCUUCGCUCUGCAUGUCUCCUAAGUACCUGAAACACUCCAAAUAUGCACAAUGUAUGCAAGAUAUGCAUGAUAUGCAUAAAACCUACCUAAGUAUGCAUCAAUAUGAUGCGAAUCAACAAGUGAAUGAUGCUGAAAAGAUGAUGAAUGCAUGCUCAAAAAGCGAUGAAAUACAGACUUAUCAACGCUCUUGUGCAGUACAAGCCUGCAUCGGCUUCUUAGCCUCUCCUGAAACAACCAAGGGAAGAUCGCCGCUGGACGGCCUCUUCCUUACCUUGAUUCUCUACUGAGAACUCAUCCAACUUCACAAAGAAGUAACGGCGAUGCCAAUUGUGGAUCUUCUUAGCUGCUCUAACGACAAUCUUAUGCCCUGAUCAGGCAUUAACAUAAAAUGUACCCAGAGAAACUUUGAUCCUUGAGAAAAUGGUGGCUUCUUGUAGAACGUUAAAAUCAAUUUCAACGCCACAUUCAGUCCCCGAUAUAGUCAAGCCGACCACGUUACGAAUAGCUGCAACAUAUAUUUGCAAGAUAGUAAUUUGUCGACGAGCGCAAUAGGUAGUAAAUAAUUCAAGGAUUGGAAGCCAAAGACCGAAUUUAAAGAAGAAAGAUUUACACAAGUAGAUAAAUCCCUUCAGAGGAGUCUGGGACGAUCACUAGUCUCUGGCAAACGGGUAGUCACUCUCUCCGGGACUCUACUAAAUAUAAGCAUUUCUAUCAACGAUUUCUCGGUAGACCUUGACAAGCCGUAUUCUUCCAGAGCUAGAACCUCGUCGGCUUCGGGGUCGUCGUCCGAAUCAACAUCCUCAUCUGGAGCCGUAGCGGUAACCUUGAGACUAUCAUCCGGAUCACUAGCCUCGGGAACAAAUGGCAAGCUGCUUUGAAUCUAACGCUUACCUACCUCGCUAAAACCGGCCGCCCGUAGACCCAUAACCAAUACUUGGCGAUCUUCCUUUUUUCCUUAGGUAUUUGGUUUCCGGCAGACACAAAAUCUAAGUAAUCGUCGUCACAAUCACUUGCGUACUGCUUUUCAAAACCUAGAAGAUCACCGAAAUCGUGUUUGCCAGCCAACUCCUUUCUAACGUCGAACUCAAGUUUUUCGAAACUAUCUUUCAAGCUAUUUCGAAUGUCGAAUUCGCCGGCCUCAUCAAUAGGGCCAACCUCGUCAUUCUCAUCAGAAGUGCCGACCUCACAACGUCCACAAACCGUAUCAACAGAAUCAGUCUCGUUUUCAUCGACUCGACCCAUGAGACGAGAGAGUUGCGCAAAAAUAUUCCGACCACAAGAACCCGAGAAUGAAGUGCCACUCACGCAAAGCGCCGAACCAACAACCUCACAACUAUCCCCAACCAAGCGGUCUAUCUCCAUGGCGUCGUCUCUCCAAUCUGCCGAGCUACUACCACCGACCUCUCCACCAUAACCCCUCCUCAAUGAGCCGGGCGCGUCAUCUCCUGAAGGGCACAGCUAACUUAUGCUUCUAGUCAAUUCUGACCAACAAACCAUCUUUAUAAGAUGGCUUUCAUCAACGGCACAGUUGUGACCAUGAGUGAUCUGGUUUCUGAUUCCAACUAUAUAUAUUUUAUAAUUUAUUUUUAAACAAACCCUUGUUAUUUCCAAUACAAAAGUGAUGAAGAACUCUAUUGACCUAAGAUCAGAUUCUAGGUUGCUUUCACUACUCCAGAACAAAUUAACUACAAUCUAGAUGAAAAACUCUAUUGAUUCAAUCCUAACAAUCUUACAACCUAACAAUUCAUGAAUUCCUUUGAAAAUCCUAAACCUAACAAGAAAUCUACUCAGACAUGGUGAAUGAAACAAACAUCAUGAAUAGAAUAGAUUGCAUAAAGGAAAGUAUUAGAAGAAGUAAAGGAGUUUUGAAUCUUCUCUGAAGGAGGUUUUGAUUCUUCUCUCCCAGCUCUCUACAAAUCUCUCUUUCCAAAAUAAAACUGAAGUCUUAACAAAACCCUAAAAAUACAAUAUAUAUGUCUAAACCACGAACUGGGCUUAAUUGCAAAUAAGGGAAACUUUUGGGCCGAAUCUGCAAAUCUUCCGAACUUCAAUUAAACGCGAAAUUCAAUUGCCGUCAGAUAUUGGUGUCGAUCGACACUAGAAGUUGUGACGCUCGACACGCACACCCUAUAUGUUCUUCCGUACGUUCCUUUCGGCACAUCUUUUCCGAAUGCUCCCAAAUGCUCCAAAAAGCUCCAAUCCAUGCCAAAUAGAUCCUAAUCUUGAAAUAACUCUAAAAGACUCGAAAACACUAUAAAAGCUCUAUAAAUAAGACUUAUAUCAUGGCCAAAAACCAUGAUAUAUCAUGUACGCUCUCAAUGGUUGUCCUGAUGAACAUACAUCAACCUCUAAAAAGGUGUAUUCCCAACUUGGCAAAUCUGAGCAAGCAGAAGGCGACAUCAGUUUGACAACUCAAACUCUUGAUUUUGACAACGCUGAGGGUAAAAUCGAUCAUGUGACUCCACCUUCUGUCAAUUGUGAAGAAUCAAUCAAGAUUGAUGAAAACAAAGUUCAAUAUGUCCCUAAUAGCAAAACUGUUGCGGUCAACAAACCAAAACUUGUGAAGGUUAAAGUUGAGAAGAAGUAGUUGAUUUACCUCUUUAUCAUUGAAGGGUAAUAAUGGUUUCGCUGAAACCUUUUUAGUUCCGUUUUAUUUGCCCUUAUGUUUUAAUGGAUUCGGCUUAGACCAAUCUAAAGUUGCUACAAUAAGGAUAUUUCCAAAUCCUUAAUUUUGAGUAUUAAUAAACUAUCUACUCCAUUUCUAUCAAUUCACGUGUGGAGAAUAUUCUAAGAACACUUUUGGGAAAAAGAUAGUUAUUGGCCAUGAAUGGAUGUUGGUUUUUAAUUCAGAUUUUGGAUUUGUUUUUUAGUUUUUAUAUUUUAGAUUUUAGUUUUAGAGUUUUCCAUUAUGUUUUUGUUUCAAAAAUCUCAAAAAAUUGGUUUUUGGUUUUUGCAAAAAUUAACGUAGUAUGGAUGAAAAACUAGAUUCCCUAAAUUAUAGGAAACUUCAAAAUCCAAAAUCUUGAAUGGAAGCUUACACCAAAAUUUUUUUACUAAAUUUUAGGGAAUCCAAAACUUUAAAAUCUUGAUUGGUUAAAAAUGGAUUUUUGAAAAACAAAAGCCAAAAUCUCUCUGAAAAUCUACAAAACAUUCAAGGCCAUUAUAUUAAGGUUUCUUAAAAAUAUAUGCUCCUUCGACAAUGGACUCACUGUGUAUGCUAUACAUUGUAAGGAUUCUUCCACUAUUUUUUGAAUUAAAAAGGCACUAUAUCAAAAAUCACAACAUUGUAAUGAAUAUAUUUCCGAAAGACAAACCCUUGAUAACCCUUGCUAAUAUUAAAUAAAACAUUAAAUCCCGGUUUAUACUUGCGAAAUAUACGGAAAAAGAAUCACAUACCAAAUUUUAAAUAUUACAGGAACUAUAUUAUGUAAAGUAAUGUCAAUUAUGCUAUAGAAUAAUAGAUCAAGAAUAUUCUCCAAUAUAAUUUAAAUAGAGCAUACUUCCAAAAAGUGAUAACUAUAUAUUAUGAGUAAUCCAAUAUAAGGAAAUAUGAAGAAUCUUCAAAAUUAUUUUGGAUUAAGACAAAAGUUUUGAAAAUAUAUAUGUCACGGAAUUUUAAUUUUAUUUAAUAUUCAUAUAAUAAACUAUUGCAUUCGACUUAUAAAUUAAGUGACCUAAACGGCGCAAUUAUAAGAUAGAUAUGGUAAUGUUUUAGAUGGUUGUUUUGCUGCUCGCAACAUAUGCUUAGGUAAAGUCCAUUUAUAUUUAUGCUUAUUUUAAUUGUAUUAGUAUUGAGAUAUAUAUAUUAAUUAAUAGAGGUUUGUAAAAGAUGUUAUGGGUCAAGAUGUUCGGGUGAAACCAAUCAUCCAGGUUAACUGUCCAAGUGCUGUUUGCCACAAUAGAAGUACGAGGCUUCUUUGUUUUUCCUUGCGGAUCUUAGAGUAAGAUUUUUAUUAGUAUUCGAUGAUAUCAAUUGGAACAUAUACAUAGUAACUUCCAUGUUAACGUACUAUAAAAUCUUCUUCUUAAGAGGGCAUGAAGUACCCUGUGUGGCAUACAAUGAACAUGCGGCUUCACCAAUGGAGGCGUUCAAACACCAACAUGGUCGUCGCUGUUUUGCGAUUCUGGAGGGCUAAGUACAAGGCUGGAGAUAUAUUCAUGUUUAAACAUAUUGGCGUUACGUGAUGCAAAUAGUAACUAUAUUUUCGUUGAUAGGUAAAGGAAUAGAAUUACGGAGCCAACCAAUUGUUUCCACCAUUUACUUUGAUCCCCUUUUUCCAGAGGUCCACGACUACAAGAUGAAGUGAAUACGUUUUGUAUAUAUUUUUUCAAUAUUUCAAAUUCCUUUGUAUAUGAUAUAUUUCCUCAUGUUUUCUUUUGUUUCUUGGUAUGGAUAUUGGUGUUCAAUCAGGACAAUGAUGAAGCAGGAAGCGACUAGGCUCAGUUCAUAUGGACUACGGAUAAGAGAUGCUAUCUCAUGCUUAUGUUAUUUGUUGCUUAAUAUCGUAGUUGUUUCUGUCAUGAGGAGUUUUUCUCAAUAAUUACGAUCGUCUAAAGUAUUGUUUUAUACAAACUAAUAAGUUUAAAAUUAUUAAAAUUAUGAAUUUAUGAAAUUUUAUGCUGGAUAUUUUAUACAUUUAUACAUGUGAUGAUAUAAUUUAUAAUUCGAAAAUAAAUAUUUUAUACACUUAUACAUGUGAUGGUAUAGUUUAUAUUUUGAAAAUAAACAUAUAUGGCAUCGAAGGAUCCAGUAUCUUUAGACACUUAUUGAAAGAAAUUUUUUGUAUAAUAUAUGAUAGUAAUCCAAUGUAAAAAUCUAUAAUUUCAAUCUUGAAUCAUAUAGUUAUAAUCGUAUAAAAUCAGAGAUUUACCGUAAUAUUCUCCACAAAAAUGGCAAUUUUGUUCCAUCAAUUAUCUUAUAUCUAACAUAAAUUUUAACUAAUAAUUUAAAUGCCUGAAAUUAGGCCUAAUAAUUGUUUCCUAAAUUUUUGCCUACAUCAAUGGACAAAAGACGUAUUAUAUAGAUUAAACAAAACCGAGUUUUUAUAACUAUGUUUUUACCUAAUCAGUGAAAACAUCACUACUCUUACUAAAAAUCGGUUACCAGCACUAUACUCCAGAAAUUAUUCUAUGUUGUGCAAACCACGAACUCAGCAUACUACUAUGAGGAAAACGACAAUCAACCCAAAUCGGUUCUAUUCCAUUAAGGGUAGUAUUCACAUGGAUUUUAGGCGAACUAAACAACGUAACUAGCGAAAACAAUGUUAGGAGAAACGAGCAAGUGCACUUCCAGCAAAGUGAAAAAUCUACUUUGGGUCUUAGAGAUCAUGAAUCUAAGUAAUGAUUCAGUGUCUGAUUGGAAAAAUAUAAACUACACCAUCUGACUCUAAUACAAACUUUCUCCAUUUUAGCAAUCUCAAAAAGAAGUAAUCAUAGUGUUCUUAAUGACAUUACAAAUACGACUCCAACCGAGACCUUGACUCAACUCUCAAACCAUAAUUUCCCAUUACAGCUUCCAGCCAAAGGUAACCAUACUAAUUACCAAAUGUAUGGACUAUUUACUUCUAAUUGUCACCGAAGAAACGUGAAAUCAAAGUAGGUGAUAAAGUAGCUGGAAGACAUGGAAAUAAAGGUAUCAUUUCCAAAAUUUUGCCUAGACAGGAUAUCAUUUCUAAAAAUUUUCCAAAAUUCACAUCUAUCGUAAUUUUAUACAUUAGCACCCUUCAUUUUUUGAUAGAUAAGAACUAUUAACCUACUCCGACAGCGUCACCUCCAAACAUUCAUGGAAAUACUUUGCUAAAGCGUGAGUUAAGUUUCGGUACUAAAUAAACCAUUAAACACACCUGCUUGGCAAGGUUACAAACUCCUUCUACACCAGAAGUAUUGCCGAAUAACUUUCCAUUUAUACUCAGAAAUAUCACCAACCUAAGGACCACUCAUGUAAGCCAACAGAAGAUUCCUAUGUUUUCCAAUCUGGUUGCAAAUAUGCAUACAAAUGGUAUGUGUUUCAAUAAUUAUAUAUUGUGUAAGAUCAUUACUAAUGUUCACUAUCAUAAUACCAUUUCUAAUAAGAUAUACCGUUUACCUCUUACUAAUAAUCAGUUCCUCAAACUACCGGUGGUACUUCAUGUGUGACACGACUUAAAUAAGCAACGUUUAUCGAGGGAAGAAGUAUUCUACCGACCAGAAAUUUGCUUGGACAGUUCCAAGAAGCUAACAACAGAAGAGCAUCAAAAGGUACCGUCUAUCUUCAAAUGUAAAUUUCUGAGCCCAAUUUAUUGACUAAUGUUUUUGCGUUCAUGUAGAUGGAAAGGCUUGCAGUAGUCAGGAUUCUGACUACUUUAACAAGGAGCAAUUUGCUGAUCAACUUUUCGAUUUAGACAAUGGCGAUAGUCCAUUAGGACAAAAAUAUGAUGAUUUUAGCCAUGAUGAUGAUACAAGCGGUAUGAAUACAGAUGUUGAUUUUGAUGAAGUAGCUGAUUAGAGUAAUGGUGAAAAUGUAGAUGCGGUUUUGUUAGACUUGCUAACCGUAGGAACCACCAAAAGAAAGGCCAAUCGAGAGUUAACAGAAGGUCUAAAUUAGCGACUGAGCCACCAAAUAAACCAAUUCAAAGAUCAAAGAAAGGCAUCAAACUAUCAAAAACAGGUGGGUAAAUCAUUUCCAAAGUGAUUUACAUUAGUUCCAUAAUAUUAGUCUAAUUAUUGAUAAAAUAUUGAUUAGCUUGAUUCACAUGUCUUUGCAGUCUAUUUAGAUCAUGGUGAUGUGACGUAUCCCUGUAAGUUUUGUGGUGCGUUGAUGUGGUAUGAUGAACAGAUAAACAAGAGAAGGAAGCAAAAGAAUCCAAUCUUUACUCUCUAGUGUGGCCAGGGGACUAUUAAAAUACCAUUACUCAAGGAAUCACCUGAUCUUUUAAAUAAAUUUAUGACUGGUAAUGAUGCACUCAGCAGAAAUUACCGACAACACCAAAAGAUUAUGACUGGUAAUGAUGCACUCAGCAGAAAUUACCGAUAACACCAAAAGAUUUAUAACAUGGUUUUAGCUAUGACAUCCCUUGGAGGGAAAGUUGAUCGUUCUGUUCCUAAAGGUGUUGGUCCUAAUAUGUUUCUAUUACAAGGGGGUAAUUAUCAUCUUAUAGGCAGUUUACAGCCUGAGGAAGGUGAUUAUGCAAAAUAUUCACAGCUCUAUAUCGUUGAUACUGAAACAGAAGUUGACAACAUAGUCUGUAUAAUUAGGUAACACCUUUAUCGUCAACAUAUAUUAAUUUUCUUAGAUCUCAUUAAUAAGUUAAGUAUAUGUCUCACGUAAUAGCAUUAUAAAUUUGUAUUUUGUACUCACGUUACAGCAAAGGGAACAAAUCAUAUCAUGGCUUUGGGAAGCAAAAGUUGAAAAAGGAAGUUAUCGAAGCAAUUAUUCUUUAGACUGCAGGAUAGGGAAAAUGAGUUUCAUACACUGCUUCGGUCGAAGAGAUUAUUCCAGCAGUUUUCGUGUGAUGCGUACACAACUAUUGAAUGAAACGGGUUAUCAUAUAUAAAGCAUAAGCAGUCAAAGUUGAGAUGUGAAAACCUUGCUACAAUCAGAGAAGCUCUAGGAUCUGGAAAUAGCAAUUUGAGUGAAAAAGGUAAUCUUCUUAUUCCAGCAUUGUUCACUGGCGGACCACGUUAUAUGGUCCAAAGUUACUAUGAUGCAAUGGCCAUAUGCAAACAAUAUAGUUUUCCAGAUUUAUUCAUCACAUUUACGUAAGCUUAAGUGGCCAAAGAUCACAAGGUAUGUUAAAAAAAGAGGGUUAACGGGACUUGAUCGACCCGACAUUGUUGCUAGAAUCUUCAAAAUCAAGCUGGACUCUCUAAUGCAAAAUUUGAUAGAGAAACGAUUGCUUGGUAAAACUGUAGCAGGUAUCCUAUGUAAGUUUUAUGUAACAUUUCCCCUAUAGCAAGGUAAAUAUCGUUUACAAUAUUGUAUUGAGGUUUAGUAAUUUCUUUGAACAAAAUGACAGCUAUGUAUACAGUGGAAUUCCAGAAGAGAGGACUUCGACAUGCACAUAUCCUAUUGUUCAUGGAUGAUAAAAGCAAAAUGCCUACUGCCGAUGACAUUGAUAAGAUUAUAUAACCUGAGAUCCCCGAUAAAAAACAGUUCUGAAAACUAUAUGAAGUCAUCAACGAAUCCAUGAUUCAUGGAUCAUAUGGUGCAACAAAUCUAAACUCGCCAUGUAUGGUAAAUAAAAAGUGUUCAAAACAGUAUCCUAAGAAGUUCCAGCUUCUUAAAGUUGGUAGUGAUGGUUAUCAAAUAUAUAGGAGGCAAAAUUCAGCUACAAAUUAUGUUGAAAAAUGUUGUACCAUACAAUAUUCUGUUGUCUACUCGAUAUCGAGCGCAUAUCAAUCUCGAAUGUUAUCGAGAUACUUGAAAAAAUUCUGACUGCCUUUAGACCUUGUGUGCAUAAACGGACUCGAUCAUGAGCUCGAUCAAUGCAGUUGAUUGGUUGGUCGAGUGCAGUGGUCAGAUGUUGUGGUUGAGUGGUACCUGAAAAAGAAAACAGAAAAGCAGAAAAGCAAACCAAAUCAGUAUUCAAAGUGAAAGUGAUAUAUAACUUAAUCUUGCUAAAUUGAAAUCCAAACUGGAACAACUUAAACUUCCAAAUGGCAGCGACGCCAAAUUGAUAACAAAUUUCUGAUGGUAAUGGUAUCAAUCACCCAGUAUAAUUGUAGUAUAAAUGACGCGUGCAAGUAGUUUAGAUGCAAUCAAUGUUUAACAAGUUAAGCCAAGCAAGAAAUGUUUUAAACUACCAACUACUAAAUUAAAAACAAGCAAUAGCUAAGCAAAAGACAACAUUAAACUAAAACAGAAAUGAAACUACAGAAACAAUAACAUGCAGCGAACUAGAAUUGCAAGAACAUAAAUGAAGCAAGGUAAAUCAAUCAAUUAAAGGGAGGUUCUGGGGAUGAGAUGGUGACUUCAGUGGAGAUCUUUCACUUCACUAGGUUGCUAAAUCAAUCAACGCUAACAAUGAUGUGUCCUAGACAACAAGCUCAUAAGCUAACCAGUUCAAUCUCUUGACAAAGGCUAUCAAAUUCAAAUCACUUCCUAAUCUCAACUUCUGGUUGAUGAAACAUGAAAUGAAUAGGAAUUAAGACUCAUGUCAUUAAUUUCAAAUAACACCCUAGACAACCAAUCUCUUGGGCUAAACAUGAAAUUCUCUGGUAUUAGAUUAUCCGGCAUUCCAUCGAACACCUCUCGGGCGUGGAAGCCUGAAAGCUCAUCACCACUUGAUCAGAAUGAGAUUAGUGUUAUAUACACUAAUCCAUAAGGAAAUCUAAACAUUUCUACCUAUGGGCAACCUAACUACCUAAAGCUCUCCACCUACACAUCUAACUCAUCCCCAAAACCUAACGAAUCUACUCAGAUAUGAGAUUCAUCAUCAAGAACACAAACCCAGAAAUCUCUAAAUCAUGCAUAACUAGAUAGAUCUAAGAAAGAUAAGCAAAAUAAUACAAAAAACCAACACCAAAUACUCAAUGGCUCAAAAGAUAUGGAGUUUACAAGAUUCUGGAAAUUCUAAAGCAAAAUAAAGAUAAACCCUAAUACCACUCGAUCCUUCAGUCAUUAGACAAAGGGCCCUUUUAUAGCAAGCUUAGCUAGCCCUAAAAUACCUGCUCGGUCGUGCACUCGAUCGGUUUGGUUCGAUGGCUCGAUCGAAUGCUUAGUCGAUUGCUUCUGUGGUUCACUUGAACACUCGAUCGUUUCCACUGCUCGGAUCCUUAUGCUCGAUCGGAUGAACCUCUACUCUUGUUCCAUUCGUCCUGAUUUGCUUCUUUUCCAAUGGGUAAACACCUAUAUAUGCACAAAAACUACAAUGCAUGCAAUCAAGACCUAGAUUCUACAAGUGGAGAAAAACAAGAUAAAUAUGCAUAAAAGAUCAAGUGAUGAGACCUAUAAUGAAAAAAACAAUGCGUAAAACUAGUGCUAAAAUGACUAAAACCAGACACGCCAAUUGUUUCAAUGGUACCAUAACAAUAUACGUGACAUAAUCUUUUACAUUAAAAACUUAUUGUCAAUAGUCUAGGGAUGAUCACUAGUCUCCGGCAAACGGGUAGUCACUCUCUCAGGGACUUUGCUGAAUUUAAGGUAAGAACACAAUGAUGCAUGAUAGUCUGGACUGUCUCGAGGAAGAGCGAGACAAAGCGAUGUUCUUAUACAAAAUUAUCAGAAAGCUGCAGCCAAGUUUUACAACAAGAAGGUGAAACCCGACAUUUUGCCGAAGGAGACUUGGUUUUACGUAAAGUCUUCGAGAAUACCGCCGAGCUCAACGCCAGAAAAUUAGGCACGCAAUGGGAAGGACCUUACCUUAUCUCUCGGAUUGUAAAACCCGACGUUUACGAACUCAUAACCAUGGACGGCACUCCAAUUCCUUGUUCAUGAAACUCCGCCAACCUGGAGGUUUAUUACUACUAAGCGCCAACGCGCAAAUAAGAUAACAAAAAAAUGCUCGUACUGCCAAGCUCAUCUUUGGUAAUAUGAACUAUGAAUGGUUUGAUCCCUCCAAAAAGGUAUGUAGGCAGCCUCUCACAAGGCACAUCUAUACUUAAAAAAAAAAGUAUUUUUCUAUACACAAUACUUUGACGAGCUCGGCCAGCUCACCCACUGUCUCCGUGGCCAGAAGUACGGUUAUUAAUCGCGUUCCACAUGGAUGCAGUGGGGAAAGAUAAAGCCAAGCCCAGUCUUGCACAAUAGCAAGCAGGCGGAGAAAACGAUAAGCCAAGCUCCGGCUUGCUCUUCUGGCCGACCUCAAAGCACGUACAGGAUAAACCGGUCACCCGCUCCUAAAAACUACAUUGAGGUCGCCUCGACUGCUUGUUCAGCACUGCAUUUUGGGAUCAUGUAUAUAGGAUAAGGCGGGAGACGUCUCGCAGAACAAAAAACGUCCUAAUAGCAAGCAAAUAACCGCCUAGGAUCCCUCGCACAAAAUAAGCCAAGAUACUUUGCAAAAUUAGUUUUAUUGAAAUUUAUUGUCAUGACAAACGAACAUAAAGCGCACAUACCGAUAAUUGGACUAACGAAUUCUAGGAAGACUUACGUACCAACACGAAAAGAGGUCAAGCCAUAACCAAAAGAGAAUAUCCUCAUAAUGAAAGUCAAAAGCAAAUAUCCGAAACAAACCAAAAGUACAAACACCCACAUGGCCCGAUAACAUCCGCUACAAAACGGGAUAAUAGUCUCAAAGAGAGAAGACUUUUAAAAAAGAAUGUCACUGGUUGGCAAAAGUGCGAGCUCCCGCCAGGACAUGCAUAUCCGCGUCUGACAUACGAAGUGUCUUCGUAACAACAACUCCAUAUUCUGGAAAAACCUUGGUAACCACACCUCAAACUCAGGAAACACGACAAGAUCACCGUCAGCAAAGACGGUAAUAUCAGAACUCUGAACAAUCUCUGUCCACUUCACCUGAUUAGCCUUCAAGCCAGAUAUCAUGGUCGGCGGAACAACAAUGCCUUAGGUAAUCAACAUGAGAAGCGGGUCGUUUGAAGCUCGGAUAUCGAUGAUAUGCUUCCUCUUUCGUUCUAUUCACGCUCGAUUCCUGCCGAUCUCUGCUUCGAAAGCAGCCGAUCAUCAGGCUGCAAGUAAUUCAGAUCUCAAGCCUAUAGAGCUUCCUUGAGAUCGCCGACCUCCCUCUCUAAGCAGUCGAUCUUUUCUUCUUCCCGCGUAAGUCGUUCUUAAGAGCCAGAGCCUCUAUAUAAGCAGACGACUCAGUCCCCUGCUGACUCGCCAAACAUUUCUUGGCAUCCUUAAGUCGAUACUCAUAUCCAACAAUAGUCCCUCCUCCCAAGCAGUUAACAAGAGCAAUUCCUUGAAAGAUAAGUAUCCACACACUUAAAGAACGAAUCGCAAAGUAACAAAAUCAAAGAGACAAAGAGAUGAUCACAAACCUACAUCUCUCUGCAAGCCUAGCUGCCAUAGUAAUCUUUAUCCGCAAGACAAGAGAAGUGUGAAAAGAUCGCAUGAUCUCCACGGAUCCGUCCAGCUAGGUCGGCACAAGCUCCCGCAUUCUCGACAAACAUCUUCUCUUUCACUGAAUCCUUCUCAUUAUAGGAAAAGGAAAACAAAGUAUUCCAUCACAAUAUCUCGUCAACUGGACGCUUUCGUACUGUACAAGCGUGCCUCGGCUUCUUAGCCUCUCCUAAAACAACCAAGGGAAGAUCGCCGCUGGACGGCCUCUUCCUUGCCUUGAUUCUGCCAUUAGCUUAAAAAGUACCUAGAGAAUCUUGGAUCCUUGAGAAAAUGGUGGCUUCUUCGAGAACGUUGAAAUCAAUUUCAACGCCACAUUCACUCCUUGAUGUAGUCAAGCUGACCGCGUUACGAAUAGCUGCAACAUAUAGCUGCAAGAUACCAAUUUGUUGAUGAGCGCAAUAGCACAAGAACGCAUUCAAAGAAGAAAGAUCACACAAGUAGAUAAAUCCCUUCGGAGGAGUCUGGGACGAUCACUAGUCUCUGGCAAUAGGGUAGUCACUCUCUCGAGGACUGUGCUAAAUUUAAACAUUUCUAUCAACGAUUUCUCGGUAGACCUUGAGAAGCCGUGAUUUACCAGAGCUAGAACCUCGUCAGCUUUGGGUUCGUCGUCCGAAUCGACAUCCUCAUCUAGAGCCGUAGCGGUAAACUCGAGAUUAUCAUCUGGAUCACUAGCCUCGGGAAGAACUGGCAAGAUGCUUUGAAUCUGACGCUUACCUACCUCGCUAAAACCGGCCGCCCAUAGACCCAUAACCAAUACUAGGCGAUCUUCUUUAUACUCCUUGGAUAUUUGGUUUCUGGCAGAAAUGAAAUCAAAGUAAUCGUCGUCACAAUCACUUGCAUACUACUUUUCAAACUCUAGAAGAUUGUCGAAAUCGUGUUUGCCAGCCAACUCCUUUCUAACGUCGAAAUCAAGUUUUUGGAAACUAUCUUUGAAGCUAUUUCGAAUGUCGAAUUCACCGGCCUUAUCAAUAGUGCUGACCUCAUCAUUUUCGUUAGAGGUGCUGACAUCACGACUUCCACAAACCGUAUCAACAGAAUCGGUCUCGUUCUCAUCAUCUCGACCCAUGAGACGAGAGAGUUGCGCAAAACUCUUCCUACCACAAGAACCCGAGAGUGAAGUGCCACUCACGUAGAGCGCCUAACCAACGACCUCACAACUAUCCCCAACCAAGCGAUCUAUCUCCAUGGUGUCGUCUCUCCGAUCUACCGAUCUACUACCACCAAACUCUCCACCAUAACCCCUCCUCAAUGAGCCGGGCGCGUCAUCUCCUAACGGGCGGGAUUCUUCUUCCCUUAAUAGGCCUAAAUCCGGCCUCUUGUUACAACCAAGUGGCGCACUCGACACCAUGCCAACCUCCGAGCGCCACCGGGAUCAAUCGCCGACCUUACAAUUUUGGAACCAAAGAAUCUACUCUCUGCCUCGUCUCCUCCGUUAGAUCGAUCCAAACCUCCCGUAAAACGCUCGUCUCGCAUCACUGUCCAUCAACAAAUCGAUUUGCCGAUCGCUGACCUCGCUUUCUCCAACAGUUGCCGACUUCAUAAUAUCUUUAACACCACCGUCGAUCUCUUUCACACCCGGUCGCCGAGCGCCAAAAACGACCUCAGCCCUCAAUUAAACGGUCAUCUAAAUCACCACCAACCGCCAAGCUCUCCAUCGCAAAAGUAAAACCGGCGAACAACGUAGUCGGCGGCUAGGGUUUUUGAUAGCGACAAGUAAAACAAAAUCUAGAGUGAAGGGAGAGAAAAAGACAAAAAAUAAAAGCUAGAGAGAAAGAGUUUACCUUUUAUGAGGAGGCAGAGCAAGUGAAGGAGUAAAAAGAAAUGAUACAUAUAAAUAGGAAACCCUAAACGCAGACCGUGGUAUAGAAAAGCAAUACCCGACGGACUUACUUUUUCAGGUCGGCCGGCCGUCAAGCUGAAUAAUGCCUCAAAAAGUGUGUCUAUCAUACAAAGGCUUUAAAUAAUCUAUGCGUUCUCGAAAAAUGUGCCCGACGCACAGAAAUCAUAAGAGAUUCGUUAUCGCGAGUAAUCAAGAAGCGCUAGGUCAUGCCGAACUGACAAGCUCUUGAGAACAAAGACAUCCGCCGACCUACAAAAUAGCUCUCGUCCGCCAAACUAGGGGACUAUUGUUGAUAUGGGCCUUGCCCAUCUUGAGAAUUCGGCCCAAACGGAUGAAAAGUCACCCUCAAAUUAACUCUGUUACCAACUUGCGGCAUGUUAAGCGACAACAAUGAGUCUGUCCCGUCAAGCCUCAUGGGCCGACCUCCCAGGAGGAAACCGAGAUUUUGCACAGGAGACAAAAGGAGCUCUAGGUUUUCGAGCCAGUCCUAUAAAUAGCAAAGAGCACUGUUGAGAAUAGGAUCCGGACUUUUAGUCUUUACCCUUAGAGAAAUAGAAUUGUCUACAUUUAUUAGCUUGUUGUUUCCCUGCUAUUGACUUUUCCGAUCUGUACGAUCGACGGUUUACCAAAUCCACCGACCUCGGACUCGCAUUUCUGUAAACGUGUUCUUUCGAUAAAAGAUAACAAAAAGAUUCGUUCAACUAUUCCCACAAAAUGUCUUGUAUUAGUGUUAUGAGACCUCAACACAAACAAUGGUUUCAAAAAAAAAAAUUUAAUAACCAAACAAUGAAACAACGAUCCUAAAUCAUCGCCCUCUUUCCUGCCUUGAUUCCACAAUCACACUUUAUCUUUGUCUGGAUCACAGAAACAAUGUGAUGCGUGAGUAUUAUCACAAAUACUCAGUGAAGCAGUCCUCCCAUCUAUCGGGUUAUACACAUGCAUAAUAAGACCAUUAAUUAUGCAUAAGAUCUAUCAAAACAACCAAACCAGGCAUAAACAGACAUCGAUUAUUCGCUGUCCAAAAAUAAAUUGCUUACCUUAAAUCUGUCCAGAAAUUCCUGAAAUUGCAUCUCCUCUCCCUAUAGAUGAAUUCAAACAUUUCCAGGCUCCAAACUUGGAUCCUAACCAUAAAUAGAAUCAAAACAACAUCCACAUCACACAAACAAGCCAAAACACAACACUUCCAGCCACUCAAUUCAAUCAAACACACAUCACAAGGUCUUAUAUGCCCAAUUCAACAAUGGUCACGGAACCAUAGUAGAUACAGCCAAUAUUCAUCAAACUAAACACCUUCAAAAAAAUAUAAGCAAAAUAUAUAUAUCCUUCAAAUGGCUACUCAGUUCGCUUACUUAAGGGACGUCUGGCCUUACAAAACUGCAUGGAUAGUCCAGGUUAAACUGCUACAUUCUUGGAGAUAGUACACUAGCAUGACUGGCGAGACCUUGGAGUAAAUUGUGUCUAAUGAUAAGGUUACUAUAUUAAUACACAUAUUAUUUCUUCUUAUGUUCGAUAAACCACUUCUAUCAUCCCCUAAUAUUUGUUUUCACCUCAUUUGCAGAGUGUGAAGAUUCAUGCUUCAGUGAAGAAAGACAUGGUGAACCAUUAUGUCAAUAUUCUCCCCAUUGGUGAUUAAAGGUUCUUUAUAAGAUGGCUUUCAUCAACGGCACAGUUGUGACCAUGAGUGAUAUGUUUUCUGAUUCCAACUAUAUAUAAAAUUUUAUAAUGUAUUUUUAAACAAACCCUUGUGAUUUCUAAUACAAAAGUGAUGAUCGAAUUCCAUGCACUUUGUAGGGUGCAUUCACGACACAAGUUUACUAUGCAUGUGAUGAGUCGAAUGGAGUUAUGAUUGUCUGUGUGCUUCGAUUUGCUAAAAUCAAAACUUACAACGAUAUUUCUUUCAAAUGUGUUUGCACACUUGAAUGUAGACGAAUUUACUAUUAACAAAGCUGUAUCUAUUAUGAACGAAACAAGAGUGUCUCCAAUUCAUUUGAUGCUUCCUAGAUCCAUAUUAGUCCUCCUUUUCCUCAACUCGAUGUGUUUACUCAAUAGUUAGUUUUUUGUUAUCUCUAUACGGAAUUUAAUACAUAUAGCUAAAUCAAAUUUUAAUAUCAUUUGACUUUAUGAGGUAACGGUUUGGACACUUGAAUGUAGACGAAUUUACUAUUAAUAAAGCUGUAUCUAUUAUGAACGAAACAAGAGUGUCUCCAAUUCAUUUGAUGCUUCCUAGAUCCAUAUUAAUCCUCCUUUUCCUCAAGUCGAUGUGUUUACUCAAUAGUUAGUAUUUCGUUAUCUUUAUACGGAAUUUAAUACAUAUAGCUAAAUCAAUACUUUAAUAUCAUUUGACUUUAUGAUGUAACGGUUUGGGUGCUUGUUACAAUUUUCCAUAUCCGUGUCCAUUAAACUGUCGAAAUAAUUCAGCAAACUAUCAAUCUUCUUAACCUCAUACCAUGUAAUCCACAAGAGGAUAAAGCAAGGUAUUACUUACAGUUGUGUCAAUUGUAAACAGGAAUUAAGAAACAGUCCAUUAAUGUCAAUAAACUUCUUAGAUAUCUAAUCUGUUAGGCUAAGCAAGUAUAUCUCUGGUAUUAGUUGUUCAGACAUUUCAUCAAACACUUGGUAUGUGCUGAAAUGUCUGGGAUCUAAUUCCACUUAAUCAGAGAAGAAUUAGCUAUGAAUACACUAAUCCAGAAGGGAACAAACGAAUCUAACUUAAACACUCUAGCAAACUAACAUUCUCCACCUAAUCUAUCCCAUCCUCAAGAAUCCUAACACUACUCAGACAUAGAAAUCAUGUUAAACAUCAUAAACCCAGAAUGGUUCAAAACAUGCAUAUUAAUAACGAUGACAAGAAGAUAAGCAAUAAUGAUUCAAGAACUAAGGUGCAAAAUUUUAAUAACUUCAAAGAAAUCUGAAUUAUAAUUCUGUGGAUUGUUUGGUGGCUAACAAUAAAAACUCGAUCCCUUGGGCAAUGCCAAAAGAGACCUAUUUAUAGCAAUGUUUGGGAAAACUUAAAACAUAAAACGACAAUGUAAAAAGCGGUUUACAGGUUGUAGUGACCUUGUUGGUCGAGUGAGCGUCUCGAGUGAGCAUCUCGAGUGACAUGUAUAUAUGUUGCUCUUCAUUCUAGCUUACUCGAUCGUCUCACUCGAUCGCGCUCAUCGAGUAGUCAGUUGAUUUUUUUUUGCAUUCCCUCAGUUCACUCGAUCGCCUUACUCGAUCCACCACUCGAUCGGCUACUCCAUCACCCUACUCGAUCACGUCCAUCGAGUGAAGUAUGUAUCGGAAACGUAUCUCUGUUUCUCACUCGAUUAUUCGAAUGUCUAGUAACGCUUGUUCCUAUGCUUUGCUCCGCAUGUCACUUGAGUACCUGAAACACUCCAAAUAUGCAGAAUGUAUGCAAGACAUGCAUGAUAUGCAUACAAACUACCUAAGUAUGCAAAACAUGCAGAAAGUGAUCAAUAUGAUGCGAACCAACAAGUAAAUGAUGCGGGAAAGACGAUGAAUACAUGCUCAAAAAGUGAUGAAAUACAGACUUAUCAGUUGGUUCCGAGCAGAGCUAGAAAACUUGCUCAGGGAUGGAAGAGGAAGUCGGAUGACACUUCAAGGACGGGUCAGGGUGAUCGGAUGUGCUUCAGGUGUGGGAGCACGGAUCACAGGGUGGCGAGCUGCCCGCAAAAAGGCGAGCCAUGGGUGGACACUCGUGUCUAUUACCACUGCAGAGAGACGAGGCACGUCAAGAAGAAGUAUCCUAAGAUGCAGCAUAUGGAUGUAGUAGCGAUGCAGUCGGUGAUGCAGUCAGUGGUGCAGAAAUGGGUGCAGCUAGGAGUGUAGUAGGGAGGGUAGCCUUUGGUUCAGUUAGGAGCACCGCUGGUGGCUCAGAUCGAGGGAUCGCGGGGUUACUCGACCGUGGAGACAGGAGAGACAAGCACUGGACGGCCGAUCAAAGGUUUAAUUCUACGACUCAGUCUAUUUCCUUCUGUUGUUUUAGAAUUUGUUUUCUUUUCCUAAGAUUUUGGGGUAGGCGGGCUUAGUGAAAAGGGUUUGUGUGCCCAAGGAUGAAGAUUUGAGACGGGAGAUCUUGUGCGAGUAGGUUCUCUAUUCAUACAUGAGCGACCAAGAUGUACAGAGAUCUGAAGAGGUACUAUCAUUGGGUUGGGCUGAAGAAGUACGUGGUAAGUGGGUAUCUGAGUGUGAUGCGUGUCAGCUAGUGAAUGUUGAGCAUCAGGUGCCAAGUGGUCUAAUGCGGAGUCUUCCCAUUCCAGAGUGGAAGUGGGAUAUGAUCACGAUGGAUUUCAUGGUGGUUUACCAAUGUCUCGGUUGAAGGAUGUCAUUUGGGUUAUUGUGGACCGUUUGACCAAGUCUUCACAUUUCUUGGCUAUAAAGAAAACUUAUGGAGCGACAAUUUUAGCUAAGAAGUAUGUGUAGGAGAUUGUGAGACUUCAUUGAAUACCGGUCAAUAUUGUGUCAGACCGGGAUUCAAAGUUCACUUCUACGUUCUAAAGGGCAUUCAAGAAGGAGAUCGGCACUAAGGUGCAUACGAGUACAACUUACCAUCCUCAGACAUACGAGCAGUCAGAGCGGACCAUUCAUACACUUGAGGAUAUGUUGAGGAUGUGUGUGUUGGAUUGGGGUGGUCAGUGGGCAAAUCACUUGAGCUUGGUGGAGUUUGCCUAUAAUAAUAGCUACCAGGCUAGAAUUAGGAUGACUCCUUACGAGGCAUUGUAUGGGAGGCCAUUUUGGACACCUCUAUGCAGGACUCAGGUGGGGGAGAGGAGCAUUUAUGAUGAGGUGUUGGCUAAUAUUCCGGCAGAUCUUAAGCCUAGUAUGACUUUAAAGGCGAGACUAAUGAGGGUUCUCGAGAGGCGGGUAAAGGAACUUCGGCGUAAGAAGAUUCCUUUGAUAAGAGUCCAGUAGGACUGUGAUGGACUUUUGGAGGAGACUUGGGAGCCAGUGGCCAGGAUGAAGGCAAGGUUCCAGAAGUGGUUUGACAAGCAAGUCGAGGAGUAGACCGUUGGCUUGUUUUGUUUUGAGUUUGUUAUUGGUUGUAUUUCGAUUUUGGUUUAAUGAUUAUGACAUUUGAGAUUAAUAAGAUGAGUAUUUCUUGGAUUUAACUUGUUAUGUCAUGUGUAAGAGAAAUAUGUGCGAGUUUCUAAAAAUAGAAAGUGAUGGGUUUGACGGUUCUAUUUUUGGAAAGUUUUGGGAUUGUGGUUAGUAUAGCAUUGCGAUGCUAUAAGGGAACCAUAUGAGGUAUAUCUGAUCUAGAGAUAUGCUCGGGGGCAUUUAGACUUAUUUGCUCGGGUGUUAUGUGAUGGCUUUAGAUGACGAUUCGAGAGCACGCUUAAUGGUGACGACCCAAGAGCGAGCGUGAGACUUCUAGGAUACCGUAGCUUGAAGGCUGGUGGCCUAAUAGUGAGCCGGUAUGACUUGAAGGUUGCGACCUGAGAGCAGGGGGAGUGGUGAGACUUCCUGGAUACCGUAGUUUAAGGCUGAGGCCUGAGGAUGAGCCGGUAUGAUUCAUGGGUUGCAACCUAUUGACGGGGGAGGUGGGUGUGUAUGAGCAAAUAGGGUCUGGAACGUGAGUAUAUAGAUUAGAUAGGGGCUUCGUAAAAGUCAGUUGUGGGUUGACGGAAGUUGUUGAAGGAUUUGAGGACGAAUCCAUGUUAGUGGGGGAGAAUUGUAACACCCGUGUCUGGAAAACCGAGUGGGUGUCGAUUGACACCAAGGAAGGGUGUCGAUCGACACUAGUAAUUUUUGGUCGACAGUUUAAAUUUUAAAUGUUCAGUUCAGUUGAGGGUUGGUUUGGGGGGGGGAACCUAGGUUGUCUUUAUAAGUUUUGAAGCGCUGUUUCUCUCUUUAUUCUUCACUAUGUCGCUUUGUGAGUUUGAGAGAGAACAGAGAGUGAGUUUGAUCCUUUUGGUACCUUUGAGUGGGUUUUUGGAGAGAUCAAAGCUUAUUCUUGGUGGUUCAAGGCUAGAGAAGGGUUGAUCCGUGGUGUUUGGUGUCUGUGGAGAUUGUUUUCACCCUUGCAAGCCCCUGUUCUUUGCUGUUCUUUCUUGUUUAAGAGGUGAGUGCAUGACCAAGGCUUAUCUAAGCAUGUUUGAUCAUUAUUUUGGGUGUUUUGAUGAUUGUUUGAUUGAUUUCUUUGCUUGUUUGGCUGUCUAUAUGUUGAAUGAUCCCUGUGAAACCCCUUGGAGACUUGCUCAUAUCAUGGAGGUGAUUUGGAGAGGAGAUCCAGUGAGAAACGUUAGCUGGAGCGACUGCAGAGUGUCGAUGUUGAUCGCCACCAGUGGUGGGUGUCGCUCGACACCAAUGUUUUGUUCCGCGAGGAUAGCUGCGACUCGCGAAUGCAGUUUCGAGCCCAAUGUCGAUUGACACCGAGUGUCGAUCGACACCGAUAGUUAGCAGUGAUUCUAGUUUGUCUUUUAUUGGUUAUUUGGUUCUUUUCCUUGAAUGAUGGUUGAAUUUGCAUACGUGUAUAGCCAGUAGUGGGAUGAUUGCCUCACUAAGUAUUUAUGAAAUACUUAUGCAUCUCUUUUUGUGAUGCAGGUAAAGCAAAAGUGUGAUCCGUGGAAUCAUGGUGAGGAGAGGAGAAUGAUCUACGCGCUCAUUGGUGUUAUAAAUUAUUGUUAGAAUUGUUAGGGUGUUAAAACGGAAUUUAGAGGCAUGUUAGGGUGUUUAUUUUUCUGAAAUAAUGUUUUGUUGAACUUGCUGGUUGAAUGAAAUUGUUUUAAUGGAUUUCUGGUUAAGUCUUCUGCUGGUUAUGUUUUGUUCGGUUUAAUUGCUUUGAAUUAAUUAGGGCUGGUUUAGCUUGUUUAAAUUAAUGGGGUUUAGCCGGUCUGCAUGUUAAAAAAAACGGGAUGGAUUCUUUUAGUAUGUCACCACCUAUAUUGUCGUAUGUUCUACCACUCUCUUGUGACCACACCCCACUUAUCCAUCGUAUAAACUUGUAUAUUGUUGUUUAUGUACUUGUGUGCACACUCUUAUCUGAUGUUGCAAUCUACUAUAAAUUGUUUGGGCUUUUGAAAUGUACUUUUCCAAUUGUAAAUACAUGUUCUAUUUGUCAUUUUCAACAUGGCAUUCUACUAUAAAACAAACAUCCACAUGGGCAGAAAAAUCUGGAUAGGUAACCAUUUGGACUUCAACUAUAAAACCACCAUAUGUAGAUAUACAUUCUCACAACUAUUGCAAAUAUUAUAACUUAUUUUUAUAGAUUAUUUCUAUAAAUUUGAAAUAUUUUUUUCCAAUUCUAAAUACAUGUUCAUUUUUAGCAUUCUUUUUUCAAUAUGGCCUUCUACUAUUAAACGAUCCACAUGGACACCACAUCGACAGUAUCAUAAUAUAUCCAUGGAAUUCAGCUAUAAAACCUUGGGAACUUACCAUAUAAAUUCUAGUCUCUGGAUUCAACUGAUGUGUACGACAAGGCAUCAUAUGUAUCUUUUUCCCAUUUACUUUAACAACAUGGACGCUAAUUCGUGGAUAACAAAGACUAUCCCUCUAAAUAUUCCAUUUAUUUUCACCAACAUUUGAGUAUGAACUAUUAAUAACAUCCAAUUCCCAGAAUGAUUACAUUUCCACGUGGAUGGACAUAUGUGGACAGUCGCACUAUAAACAUACUCAAACUCCUCCAGCUUUAGUUGGUAUUAUGAGAAGCUUCAACAUCUCAAUAUUUCAAUUACAAUCCAUGGCUCAUUUAUCCGUAUGGAAAUCAUUAACCUUCCUCAACAGCCAACGUUGUAAAAGAUAAUAUAUAGACAUAAUAUAAUAAUAUAUAGCCUCAUUUGAUGAUAUAAGUAUUGAGAAAUUAACAUUUUAAAACUACUAACAUGAUCAGCAGAGUAAAAUGAUGAUUGAUCAACAUAUGUAUCCGAUAAAGAAAUUUCAGUGACAGAUUUUUUCCCAUCAAAGAUGUGCAACCCUAUAAAUGUGACAUUUACCAUAAAUAUGUUUGGACUCGAUCCAAAGGAGGAAAAUAUAUCAUUUCUCAACUAAAGCUUUUGAUCGGAUCUGGGAAAUCUGUGGGAUCUUCACCCGCACUGCAUCUAAAAAGUACAUUGAGUCCCCCUCGACGGCUUCCUCAGCUCUGCAUUUCGGGAUCAUGUAUAUAGAAUAAGGCAGGAGACCUUGAUGAUCUCCCUGAGCCAUUAAAAAAUAUGGUUGGAAAUACAUACCUAUUCUUACUGACUGUCCGGAAGAAUUACAUGGGGGGGGGGGGAAGGAUUUAUAUAAAGUGUCCACGGUCUUCCAAAAGAAUGGACUCAAACUCUUGAUUUUGACAACGCUGAGAGUAAAAUCGAUCUUGUGACUCCACCUUCUGUCAAUUAUGAUGAGUCAAUCAAGAUUGAUGAAAAGAAAGUUCAAUAUGUCCCUAAUAGCAAAACUAUUGCGGUCAAAAAACCAAAACUUGUGAAGGUUAAAGUUGAGAAGAAGUUGUUGAUUUACCUCUUUAUCAUUGAAGGGUAAUAAUGGUUUCGCUGAAACCUUUUUAACUCCGUUUAAUUUGCUCUUAUGUUUCAAUGGUUUCGGCUUAGACCAAUCUAAAAUUGCUUCAAUAAGGAUAUUUCAAAAUCCUUAAUUUUGAGUAUUGAUUGACUAUCUACUCUGUUUCUCUCAAUUCACGUGUGGAGAAUAUUCUAAGAACAUUUUUGGGGAAAAGAUAGUUAUUAUAUUAAGGUUUCUUAAAAAUAUAUGAUCAUUCGACAAUGGACUCACUGUGUAUGCUAUACAUUGUAAGGAUUCUUCCACUAUUUUUUGAACUAAAAAAGGCAGUAUAUCAGAAAUCACAACAUUGUAAUGAAUAUAUUUCCGAGAGACAAACCCUUGAUAACCCUUGCUAAUAUUAAAUAAAACAUUAAAUUCCGGUUUAUACUUGCGAAAUAGACGGAAAAAAAAUCACAUACCAAAUCUUAAAUAUUACAGGAACUAUAUUAUUAAAGUAAUGUCAAUUAUUCUAUAGAAUAAUAGACCAAGAAUAUUCUCCAAUAUCAUCUAAAUAGAGCAUACUUCCAAAGAGUGAUAACUAUAUAUUAUGAGUAAUCCAAUAUAAGGAAAUAUGAAGAAUCUUCAAAAUUAUUUCGGAUUAAGCCGAAAGUUUUUAAAAUAUGUAUGUCACGUAAUUUUAAUUUUAUUUAAUAUUCAUAAAAUAAACUAUUGCAUUCGACUGAUAAAUUAAGUGAAAUAAACGGCGCAAUUAUAAGAUAGAUAUGGUAAUGUUAAACGGCGCAAUAUUUGUAACCUAACACGCAUUCACUCCAUUAUAUAAUGAGAGGAAAUCCUUCAACAAAAACACAAAACAAAUCCAAAAAAAACAUAAGAAAAAAUAAAUUCUCUUCACUUCCAACGAACUUCUGAAAAAUGGUUCAUUUCGAUCGAGUGAAAGAUGUCUAUUUGAGGAGAUCCUAGUGGAAGAUUUUUGUUAGGGUCAUUCGGAAGUGGAGGAAGAUUGACAUCAAUGAUGAUACAUUUGAGUUCAUCUUCAGCGACAUAUUUGUGAUUACUUCUUCAUCUUUCAAUAAUUACGAUCGUCUGAAGUAUUGUUUUAAACAAAGUAAUAAAUUUGAAAUUUUUAAAAUUAUGAAUUUAUGAAAUUUUAUGCUGAAUAAUUUAUACAUUUAUACAUGUGAUGGUAUAAUUUAUAAUUCGAAAAUAAAUAUUUUAUACACUUAUACAUGUGAUGGUAUAGUUUAUAUUUCGAAAAUAAACAUAUAUGGCAUCGAAGAUCUAGUAUAUCUUUAGACACUUAUUGAAAGAACUUUUUGUAUACUAUAUGAUAGUUAUCCAAUGUAAAAAUCUAUAAUUUCAAUCUUGAAUCAUAUAGUUAUAAGCGUAUGAAAUCAGAGAUUUACCGUAAUAUUCUCCACAAAAAUGGCAAUUUUGUUCCAUCAAUUAUCUUAUAUCUAAACAUAACUCUUAACUACCUGAAAUUAGGCCUAAUAAUUUUUUCCUAAAGUUAUGCCUACAACAAUGCACAAAAGAUGUAUUAUACAGAUUAAACAAAACCGAGUUUUUAUAACUAUGUUUUUACCUAAUCAGUGAAAACAUCACUACUCCUACUAAGAAUUGGCUACCAGCACUAUACUCCAGACAUUAUUCUAUAUUGUGCAAACCAAGAACUCAGUAUACUACUAUGAGGAAAACUAGAGAAGGGGGCAAGCAUGAAUUUUUUACACAGAAACCAUCAAAGAGAAUUCAUAUGGACAGAACUUCCAUUCCAAUUCGCUGAUCUGACCGACUACAAUCAACCCAAAUCGGUUCUAUUCCAUUAAGGGCAGUAUUCACAUGGAUUUAAGGCGAACUAAAAAACGUAACUAGCGAAAACAAUUUUAUGAGAAACGAGCAAGUGCACUUCCAGCGAAGUGAAAAAUCUACUCUGGGUCUUAGAGAUCGUGAAUGUAAGAAAUGAUUCAAUGUCUGAUUGGAAAAAUAUAAACUACACCAUCUGACUCUAAUACAAACUUUCUCCAUUGUAGCCAUCUCAAAAAGAAGUAAUCAUCGUGUUCUUAAUGACAUUACAAAUACAACUCCAACCGAGACCUUAACUCAACUCUCAACCCAUAAUUUCCCAUUACAGCUUCCUGCCAAAGGUAACCAUACUAAUUACCAAAUGUAUGGACUAUUUACAACUAAUUGAUACAUUGAAUUGGAAGAAGAAAAGUUGGCACGUGUAACAAACGAGGGUAUCCAACCCAAAAGUAAAAGUCCCGGACACUAAAGCUCAAGAUGAGUAUUUCUAGACGCGCCAACAUUACGAUCAGGAAUAUGCACGAUGCGAUAGAAUAAAAAAAGCGUCCCAAAAAAAACAAACGUCAAUAAACCAUGGAAAAAGUGGAACCCCGACACUAGUUCGGUGCCCUAGAAACGUGGAUAUUGCAACUUUUACAAGUGCGCUGUUGCCAACAGCAGGCGCUGCUCCUUGAAAACUUUAAAAAAGGUGCAAGCGCUGUUAGACAGACACAACGCGUAAGGUGGAGUUGAUCUACAACAACACCAAUGCGUCGACAUGCCGGAUGACGAGGCACUACGCGCACUCCCACAAGCAGCUUGGUUUCCACCUUCUCCAAAGCGAAAAAAUGAUUACCACCGAUUGACGGUUAUACCGACCGACAAGGAGUAACAAUGAUAAUGGGCGGCCUAACGAGGUGCAACGACUCGGUUCACUCAAUACAGGCGUAAUGCCAGCAAGGUGAAAAUAGACGCAACUGGCUCACAAGAAGUAUCCCGGAGGUUGAAUAUUACGAUCCUAUCUAUUUCACUGAGGGCGAUGCUCUGCAAGCAUGUUUCUCGUCGAAAUGGUUAUUGGAGAUAGUGUAGUCACCAAGAUCCUAAUCGACACUGGAAGCUCAGUCAUUGUAAUUUCAAAAGAUGUAUUGAUUCAAAUGGGGGUCGACUUGCGCCUCGCCGAACAUUACACGCAGCCCCAACGAUGGAGAUACCGUUAUGAUAGUGGGUACAAUAAUGUUGCCGAUCUACGUUGGAGGGACAAUGCAGUGCUUUAACUUCGCAAUUGUCGACAAACCAAUAGUGUACAACGUCUUGAAUUGAAAUCUGUCCCAUCAAUGUACCAUCAGUGUGUCAAGUUCCAUACACAGCAAAGAAUCUACACUUUGCAUGGCGACCCAUUGGUACCCAGCACGGCCCGUCGGGUUAGGUGCCGACCUGCCACACCCUUUGAAAGACGAACUCGUAAAAUUUUUGAAGCAGAAUUCUUUGACCUUCGCUUGGACCCUUGAUGACAUGCCCGGCAUAGACCCUAAUGUCACAUGUCAAGAACUCAAUGUAGAUCCCACCUACAAGCCGGUCAACCAAAAGCGAAGAAAGGUAGGCCAUGAUCGUGCUACUACUGUCAACGAGGAAAUCCGAAAGCUGUUUGACGCUGAUUCUAAUAUGGAAGUUCGAUACCCUGAGUAGAUAAGCAACUCCGUUGUCAUUAAAAAGAAGAAGAACAAGUGGAGGGUCUGCGUCGAUUAGACCGACCUCAAUAAGGCGUGUCCGAAAGCUACGGCUAGGAACGAGCUACUCUCCUUUAUAAACGCUAUUUCUGGUUACAGCCAAAAAUGAUCAUGAGAAAACAUCAUUCAUCACCGAGCAAGCCAGCUUGGUCUGGAGCUGGAGCUACGUACCAACGCCAAACAAUGUAAUCCCCUUCGGGCUGGAGCUACGUACCAACGCCUUUUCAAUCAAAUGUUCGCAAGCCAGCUUGGUCGAACAAUAAAGGUAUAUAUCGACGACAUGCUCGUUAUAUCUGCCCACACCGCCAACCACGUUUCUCAUCAACAACAAUAGUAUUUAAAUACUAAAAGAGUACUGAAUGAUGUUAAGUCUUGCUAAGUGCUCCUUCGGCUCGGAAACUAUUUCCAAUUAGAUUCCGUCGAAAUCCUUACAAAUCAACCGCUGCAAACGAUUUUCCACAGCUCGAGCCAAUCUGUCCGACUAGCAAAAUGGCCUGUCGAUCUCGAUGAAGUUAAAGCCAAAAAUGAAACAAUUUCCAAUCACAUUAUGUAGAAGUCCCAAGUACUCGCUGACUUUCUCGUUGAACUAUCGCUGGAACUCGAUCAAGGAGUGUCGGAGGACGAUAAGUGAACACUGCACGUAGACGGCGCAUCUUUAAAACAUGUUUCAGGGGUCGGCAUUCACUUGCAAUUCUUUACAGGAGAAGUUUUAGAACAAUCUUUUCGAUUAACGUUUACAGCCUCAAACAACGAGGAAGAAUACGAGGCGCUUAUCGCCGGCCUUCGGCUAGCACACGGCAUUGGCAUCAAAAGAAUUCAGAAAUACUGCGACUCACAGCUUGUUGUUAACCUGUUCAGCGGCAAUUAUGAAGCUAAGGAUGAUAUAAUGGAUGCAUAUCUCAAGGUCGUCCGUGAUCUCUCUAAAGUGCUCAAACAUUUCGAAACUUGAAAUUCCAUUGGAAUAAAGAAAAAAAAAAGAACAAACAAAAAAACUUAAAAAAUGGCAAAAUCGUUAAUUGAAUUUUAGAAAACUUGCAGAUUUGACUGCGAUCCAAGAGAGGAAAACGCCUAUUUCCUACAUGGACCUUCUCAUAAGCGCUGAUUUAUAUUUUUACAAACUAGUAGUGCCAAUUUAUACAUGUUCUCUAAUAAAAUUUAAGAUACAUAACGUACGAUUCAAAUCAAGCCAAAAUUGGAGUCCACGUUAACAUAUGCUGACUCAGACUGCACGUGUCUAAUGAUGUAGGACCGUCUUCCAUAAAAGACGUCGUUUCGCUUUUUUUUUAUUUACAAAAAUAAAUGUUGAAAAUAUAGACCGUCAUGACUCGAACCCGUUUCCUUGUACAAGUGUAGAAUAUACAUAACCAAUUAAUCCCACAACCAUAUUUAGAAGUAACUCACACAUUUUCAAUUAUAAACUAAAAACAGACGUAAUUCUAGAAAAUAGAAUUGGGUAGGGUUCUUUAGCGAUUUGAUUCUCCCAUUUGGGAUUCAUUUGCUAUUUUUCUUCUCUGAAAUCGAUGAUUAGAGACCGAAUAUAGUGAUUAAAUUUAGUGCCAUUCUACGGUAUGCUUGCGAUUUGAUUCUCCCAUUUGGGUUUCGAUUCGAGUGGAUAGCGAUUAAGAAUGGGUUUUACCCCAUUAUUUGCAGAGUUUUUUUUUAUCUAUAUAAAUUCUUCUUCACUUACGUCUUCCCUCUUUGUCACACUCUACUAUCUCAUGAAACCUUCUUCGUCACUCUCAAUGUUUUAAUUUCACCCUCUUCGUCAAUCUCAAGUCAUCGAUUUCAUGGAAGAAGAAAAACAUAAAUUCCAAAUUCCAAAUGAAAUUUUUUUAUUUUACCCAGAACUAGAUGUCUUAAAAGGUUAUAAUCAUAACUGGUUACGUCCUAUUCUACACUUGUACGAGUACACAGUGAUAUGUCUAGAUUUUACUCAUUUUAACAAGUGUUUUAUGCAUUGUUCUUGUCAUUGUAGGUCUCAUCACUUGAUCAUUUAUGCAUAUUUCCUUUCUUUUGCUUCACUUGUAGAGUACAUGCCUUGCAUUGCAUGCAUUGUAUUUUUUGUGUCCAAACAGGUGUUUCUGAAAGGGAAAAGGAGCCAAACGACCGAGUGAUGGUGAUGCAUCCGAUCGAACACAUGGAUCUGAGCUGAGAAAUCGAGUGAAGACUCGAGUGGAACAGAAAGCAGCUCGAGCGAGCAUCCAAAUCAAGACACUCGACUAGACCGAUCAAGUGCAAAACCAAGAUAACUGAUCGAGCAUUCUAUUUUGUCUUUUUGUGUUUUAGGGCUUCUUAAGCUUUGUAUAAAUAGGUCUCUUGGCACAUGACUGAAAAAGAGAGUUUUGUUCUAGGUCACCCACAAAUUAACUGUGUUACCAACUUGUGGCAUGUUAAGCGCAUACUAGGCACUCUACUCGGCCCGACAUCAAUGAGUCCGGCCCGUCAAGGCUCGUGGGCUGACCUCCCAGAACAAAACUGAGAUUUCGCACAGGGGAUAAAAGGAACUCUAGGUUUUUGAGCCAGUCCUAUAAAUAGCAAAGAGUCUUCUUGAGAACAGGAUCCAAACUUUUAGUCAUUACCCGUAGAGAAUUAGCAUUGUCUACAUUUAUUAGCUAGUUGUUCCCCAGCUGUUGUCUUUUUCGAUCUGUACGAUCGGCAGUUAACCAAAACCCAUAACCUCGGACUCGCAUUUCUGUAAAUAUGUUCUUUAGAUAAAAGAUAACAAAAGGAUUCGGUCAACUAUUCCCACAAAAAUUCUCGUACUAUUGUUAUUGAGACCUCAACAAAAACAAUAGGCGCCCACCGUGGGGCAAGUUUAGAGCUUUCCUUUUCUUGACAAAAAGACUCGAUACGACAUGGCGGACUCGGAAUCAUCAAGCGCCCAUCCGACCAUCGCCAGGCACACCUGUCCUACCUCUUGAGCAACACUUGUGGGGAAGACGACGAGCUCGUACGCUCAAACCACAAAAUCUCAAAGGAGCAACAGGAGACGGCGCCACCCUGGAGAAUAGCGACUUGCAGAAUGCCAACCAAGCGAAUACAGACCAGGCGACUAUAACCCAAGUGAAUGCCGACCAGAGAAAUGCUGACCAGAGAAAUGCCGAUCAGAAGAAUACUAAUCAGGUGAAUGCCGACCAGAGGAAUACCCACCAGGUGAGUGCCGACCGGUCGAACGCCGACCUUGUGAAUGAUCUACCCAACAACACCGGAGUCAAUCUUGCCGCUCCAAAUAACACAUCCACUACCGACCACGACACCCACCUUGACGAUUUAGUCCAAACCAUUCUUGACCGCCUCGAUGGUCAGGACGUGCGGACAACCGAAAGAAUAAACGCACUCGCCACGGCGCAUGCUGCCACUAGAAGUAGCUUGGACCGACUUAACGGUGAAGACGUAGUUCUCGAAACCAAAAAGACCGAUUGAAAGAAACGUCGCCACCCUCCAACACCAGUAGGCAAACGUACCGAAAGCCGAGGACGCCGACCUACUUCUAUCAUCGUUGGAUCCAUCAAAGCUACAAUUAGGAUAGAGCUACUCUCCUUUAUGGACGCUAUUUCUGGUUACAACAAAAAAUGAUCGACAGAAAACAUCAUUCAUCACCGAGCAAGAGACAUAUUGUUACAACGUAAUCCCCUUCGGGUUGGAGCUACGUACCAACACCUUUUCAAUCGAAUGUUUGCAAGCCAACUUGACCGAACAAUGGAGGUGUUUAUCGUUGACAUGCUCGUUAAGUCUGCCUACACCGCCAACCAAGUUUCUCAUCUACAAUAAUGUUUUCAAGUACUAAAAGAGUACGGAAUGAAGUUAAGUCUUGCUAAGUGCGCCUUCGAUGUGAAAUCUGGCAAAUUCUUGGGAUACCGCAUCACCCAGAGAGGCAUUGAAGCAAAUCCCAAAAACAUUUCCGCAGUUAUCAACCUGUCGUCCCCAAAAAAUACUCGCGAGGUACAACGUCUUACCGGGCACGUUGUCGUGCUGAACAGAUCUAUAUUGCCGUCUCUAGCUCGGCUGUGAGCGGUUUUCUUGUCACAGAUGAUUAAGGUGAACAACACCCGAUCUUUUAUGUAAGUAAGACCCUUGACGGUGCCGAAGUUUGCUACCCUAUGUCGGUGGAGCUCGUAUAUGCAGUAGUUAUCUCGGCUCAGAAACUAUUUCCAGUCACAUUCAGUCGAAGUCCUUACAAAUCAACCGCUGCAAACAAUUCUAAACAGCGCGAGCCAAUCUGGCCGACUAGCAAAAUCGGCCGUCGAGCUCGGCAAAGUUUAAGCGGAAAUGAAACUAUUUCCAAUCACAUUAUGUAGAAGUCCCAAGUUCUCGAUGACUUUCUCGUUGAACUAACGCUGGAACUCGAUCAAGGAGUGUCCGAGGACGAGAAGUGGACACUGCACGUAGAUGGUGCAUCUUUAAAACAUGUUUCAGGGGUCGGCAUUCACUUGCAAUUCUCGACAGGAGAAGUGUUAGAAAAAUCUUGCUGAUAAACGUUUACAGCCUCAAAAAACGAGGAAGAAUUCGAGGCGAUGAUCGCCAGCCUUCGGCUAGCACACGACAUUGGCAUCAAAAGAAUUCAAGCAUAUGGCGACUCACAGCUCGUUGCUAACCAGUUCAACGGCAAUUAUGAAGCUAAGAAAUACAUAUUGGAUGCAUAUCUCAAGGUCGUCCGUGAUCUCUCCAAAGUGUUCAAACAUUUUGAGCUAACGAAGAUUCCUCGUAAUGACAACGCUCCAGUAGAUGCACUCGCAACGCUCGUUUCCACAUCUAAUCCUGACCUCCGCCGAGUCAAACCUGUCGAAAGCAUCGACCAGCCAAGCAUUGGCCUCAGUCUGCUAGCAUAGAUUGGUAUUACUCAUGUUACCGCGCCGACUUUGAAUGAUGUCGCGCCUCAUACUAUGGAAUCUGCCACCCUGGUUGUCGAUCCAACCCAUGUACAAUCAAUUCCUUUCGUUGUCGAUUCGACCUUGGCCUAGCCAGCUGCUAUGUCAACCGCGAAAGUGGCGUCCUAGCAAACGAUGUGAACUCGGUGCAUCAAGUGGCGAGCAAACUCCCAAACUUAUCUUUUUGGUACCAACGAGUGCAUUACCACCGUCUACACAAAUUCUCGCAAUACCUCUACCGAUAGGCGACACCGACCUCGCCAACGGCGCCAAACUCGCUAGCAACACCAACCUCACUAACAAUGAUAAUAUGCCAGCGCGCAGUCCGUCCGCUACCUCGCAAGAUCCUUCUUCGAACUCAGAGGCUGUCGUCAAGACUCCACAAUCAGCCGACAUGCGAUUUCGACCAAUUGGCGCUCUGAAAUAAUCAACUUUAUCGUCGAUGGCAUUGUACCAUCAGAUAAGUGGGAAUGCCGAUGUUUAAGAACACGAAGCGCCUAAUACACAAUGUUAAGGCUUCGAAUGGUAAAAGCAGAUCAAGCGUUGCAGAUCAAGCGUUGGAGAUCAUGCAUAUCAUAUGGAACAAAUGCAGAUCAGGCAGAACAAGUGCAGAUCUUGCUGAUUGUGCAGUCUAUAUUAUAUGUUUGAAUGAUAAAAGCAGAUCAAACAGUGUAGCUCAUAUAUGCAGAUAAAAUAUUAAACAGUAAAUUAUAUAAAAACACAUAAAAUUCAAUAAAACUAUUUAAAAAAAUAAUCAAUGUAUUUAGCGUAGAUUAUUUUCUAAAUAUUUUUACAAUCUGAAAACAUUAGAAACAAAUAUCUAAAUAAAACAAAAAUUAAACUAAGAAUAUAUUAAUGCGGAGUAUUUUGAUUUGCCCAUAACAUAUCAACAAUAUUUUGUCUAAUAUUUUUUCAUUUGAUCUCCAUCAGCUAUAGCCGUAGUUUCCAUGUCACCUUCGUCAUUCUCUGAAUUUGUGUUGCUAGUAUCAGUAUGCUCCAUUACUUCAGCAAAAUCUUCAUCAAAAUAAUUUGAAAUUCUGAUAAAAUUAUGUAAUCCCAUUGUAGCCAUCACCACUCUUUUUUGAACAUGUGUGUUAUAUCUAGGAAACUCAUAAAGAAUCCUCCAUUUCUUCUUUCAAACUCCAAAUGUUCUUUCAAUAACAGAACAUAGUGAUGCAUGACAACGAUUAAAUAGUUCUUGUAUGUUCCUAGGAAGAGGACUGAUACUAGGAUUUUUCUAUCAAUUACCCUAGAGUACUAUCAUGUCAUUGCAGUACAAUAGGUAUCAAUCCAAUCAGGUGUGAUGCUAGCAAUCAAGAUAUAUCAGAGAUGAUUAAGUCAAACAAGCAUAAAUGAUUUUUGGUUUUCAGCGAUCCUAAGCGAACAUGUUAAACAUGCAAUAAAUGUAAAGCUGUAAAACAUAGACUACCAUGCAUAAACUAAAACGUAACGAUUAUUGAUACUGGCAAGAAAACAAAGCAGACCAAGUAAAUAACAAGAGAAUUAAACAGAAAGCACAAAUGGAUAGAAGAUCCCGAGGAUGAGGUUAUUGAUAUAGGUGGAGUAUGCUAAUCUACUUCGAGUGUUUAUCAAACUGCAAACAUUCUAAUCGCUAGACAAUGAACUUCUAAUACUAGUCAAUCCAAUCUCUUGGCAGAAACUAUCAAGUUUACAACACUUCCUAAUCUCAAUUCUCAUUGAUGAAACAUGCAGUAAAUAGGCAUAAAGAAACAGCUCAUUAAUGUCAAUAAACAUCUUAGACAACCAAUCUCUUGGGCUAAGCAUGUAAAUCUCUGGCACUAGUUGGUUCAGACAUUUCAUCAUAUACCUUUCGGGUAUGAAAUGUCUAUGACCUAGUUCCAAUUGAUCAGAGAAGAACUAGCUAAUAAAACUCUAGUCCAGAAGGGAAACAAAAUGAAUCUAACAUAAACACUCUAGCAAACUAACAUCCUCCACCUAAUCUAUCCCAUCCUCAAGAACCCUAACACUACUCAGACGCAGAAAUCAUGUUAAACAUCAUGAAACAAGAAUCGUUCAAAACNNNNNNNNNNNNNNNNNNNNNNNNNNNNNNNNNNNNNNNNNNNNNNNNNNNNNNNNNNNNNNNNNNNNNNNNNNNNNNNNNNNNNNNNNNNNNNNNNNNNNNNNNNNNNNNNNNNNNNNNNNNNNNNNNNNNNNNNNNNNNNNNNNNNNNNNNNNNNNNNNNNNNNNNNNNNNNNNNNNNNNNNNNNNNNNNNNNNNNNNNNNNNNNNNNNNNNNNNGCGGUUCAAAGGUUGUUUUGACUAAGUUGGUCGAGUGAGCACCUCGAGUGACCAUCUUCUCUGCUUUACUCGAUCGUGUCACUCGAGUGAUCGUGUCGAGUGACCUGUAAAACCAUCAGCUACUUCUUUGCUUUGCUCGAUCAUGUGACUCGAGUGAGUGCAUCGAGUGACAGGUAGUUCUGCUUCGCUUCCCAUCUGCUCGAUCUGCCACUCGAUCGUAUACGUCUGCUGCUCACUCGAUCGUCGAUGUAACUGCAACGCAUCCUUGCUUCUCACUCGAUCGUCCCACUCGAUCGUUUGCAUGUCGAGUAACGCUUGUUCCUCUGCUUCGCUCUGCAUGUCUCCUAAGUACCUGAAACACUCCAAAUAUGCACAAUGUAUGCAAGAUAUGCAUGAUAUGCAUAAAACCUACCUAAGUAUGUAAAACAUUCAGAAAGGGAUCAAUAUGAUGCGAAUCAACAAGUGAAUGAUGCUGAAAAGAUGAUGAAUGCAUGCUAGAAAAGCGAUGAAAUGCAGACUUAUCAACUCCCCCAAACUUAGUCUUUGCUUGCCCUCAAGCAAAACAAAAAGAAACAAAGUGGAAGAGAGGUUUGAAAAUGGGGUCUCAGAACCUGUAACUUGCAAGAUAGAGCAGUUAAAAUCAAUGUCCUGGUUGCUAAGUCUUUGAUGCAUGCUGAGAGAACUUUACUUAACGACUUUAGACAAACUCAUCAAAUCCGAAACUGAUUCUAUCCCUUGAUCUACACAUGCAUUCAAAUCAUUCAUUCCUUUUAACAUUCAUUACUCAAGUAUAUGAAUCUGGUUGUGCAAGGCUUAACAAACUCACUUGGCUAGGCAGAAAAAGGUUUUGAGAAUCAUGAGGGUUUAAACAAUUUCAGGACAAGGAUCUCUCAAUGAAUGGAUUGAGCUUUAGGGAGAAUGCUAAAGGUAAGGACCAACAAAUGCAUACAGGAAUAAAACCUUGACUACCCAAUGGUUCCCAAGUGCUUACUCCUAAUCAUCUAAACCCGGAUGAUCCCUAUGUCUACCCUUCAACAUCAAUCCCAUUUUUUUCUUUUUGCUUUUUGCCUUAGGAGAAGUUUCUUAUCAAUACUAGUAGAUAGGGGAUUUCUUCUUAACUAUGGUUUUGUUUUCUUCUUACGUUAUAAGACAUCAAAACUUUUUCACUUUCUUAACAUCCCAGAACCAUUCUCCGUAUAUCAUGCUAACCCCACAAAAAUCAAUCACUAGAUUAUAAACUUCUAGAAAACAUUCUCCUCCUAAGGACACAACUUUUUCUGUUUCUCUUCUUUCUUUCCAGAAUCAUCCCAAUCCCAAACCCAAGUAAGAAUCCCGACCUAGUCCUAUCUGAUUUGAAACUGAAAAUCAGAACUACUCAAGAUUUUAAUCCUGUCGGCUCAUACCUAACACGUUCUCCCCAAGCAUAAUCCGGUAAAAGACCUACCACUCAAAAAUUAUCAAUUGGCUUGAAAGAAAAGGAUAGGCUGUGGGUGUGGCAAACUGAUCAAAAGAAAGAUCAGCUAUUUGGAUCAACAAGAGUGGUGAAAGGAGGAAAAUGAUCCAAAUAUGUAUAUGGUGACCAUGAGCAUGCAAGCAAAACACAACCAGAUAUUUGCAAGUCAAGAUUAAGUUCUUAUAGGAUAAGGAAUGAGAUCAUAUCACAACAUGUUUCAACCAAGUUCAAGAAUGCUCUUCAUGAAUUCCAAGUUUGUUUCAGACUUACUUCAAGUUCAAUCAUCAUGCAUCAAAAAGCUAACAACCAGGGCAUUGAUCUCAACUGGUG